Molecule: long non-coding RNA, 110829 nt
Filed under: Solanum tuberosum (potato)
Lineage: Eukaryota; Viridiplantae; Streptophyta; Magnoliopsida; Solanales; Solanaceae
Description: long non-coding RNA (STUB_LNC010724)
Source: RNAcentral
AAGCAUGAGGUCGACAUAGACGACUCCUUCCCCGAUGAACAGGUGUUGGCAAUAUCUCUCAAACGUACGCCAUGGUAUACGGAUUUUGCAAAUUACAUUGUGUGUGGGCUGAUGCCGGAUGAGUUGACCUUUUACCAACCGAAGAGGUUCAUGUUCGAUGUUAAAAAGUACUUUUGGGAUGAACCAUACUUGUUUUGAGAGUGUGCUCACCAUGUUAUUAGAAGGUGUGUUCCGAAAGAAGAAGCGGUAGAAAUUCUCCAUGCUUGUCAUACAUCUCCAGUGGGAGGUCACCAUGGUGGUAUUCGCACCGCCGCUAAAGUUCUCCAGAGUGGAUAUUACUGGACGUCCCUUUACAAGGAUUCAGAUGAGUUUGCGAAGAAAUGCUCUCAAUGUCAGCAGUAAGGCGGAGUGUCUAGAAGACACAAAUUACCUCUCACUCAUAUUUUAGAGGUCGAGCUAUUCGAUGUAUGAGGGAUCAAUUUCAUGGGCCCAUUUGUGAGCUCAUUUGAAAAUAAAUAUAUCUUGGUGGCUGUAGAUUAUGUUUCCAAAUGCGUGAAAGCCAUCGCACUUCCAAAUAACGAAGGAAAAUGUGUUGUCCAAUUUCUGAAACGCUACAUCUUCGCAAGAUUUGGCACUCUGAGGGCAAUCAUUAGCGAUGGGGGGUCCCACUUUUGCAAUAGGUGGUUUUCAAUGGCACUGAGCAAAUAUGGUAUGAAACACAAAGUAGCAACCCCAUAUCAUCCCCAAACAAGUGGCCAAGUCGAAGUGUCAAAUCGGGAAAUCAAAAGCAUCUUGGCAAAGACAGUAAAUGUCAACAAAACUGACUGGUCUAGGAAACUCGAUGAUGCACUAUAGGCAUAUCGGACCGCGUACAAAACACCUAUCGGUAUGUCUCCAUAUCAGUUGGUUUAUGGUAAGGCUUGUCAUUUACCCGCCGAGUUACAACAAAAAGCAUUGUGGGCAUUGAAAGCUUUAAAUUUGGACUGGUCAAAAACUUCAAGGGAGAGGGUAGAGCAGCUGAAUGAACUAGAUGAAUUUAAAAUCAGAUCGUACGAAAGUUCAGCCUUCUACAAAGAGAAGAUCAAGAAGUGGCAUGACACUCAGAUACUCAAGCAGGACUUCAAGGUAGGAUAUUGGGUUUUGUUAUACAACUCUCGACUUAAAUUCUUUCUCGGAAAGCUCAAAUCCAAAUAGUCUGGACCUUUUAGAGUAACGUGAGUGUUCACCAAUAGUUCCAUAGAAGUUGAAGAUCAGGAAGGACCUCCAUUUAAAGUGAACGGUCAACAUCUGAAAUUAUAUUUGGGGGAUUGUCAAGAGAUAUGUUUUGUUGAAGUGGUGUAUUUGGAAGACGCCUGAAGGCGCUGCUGCGUCGUGCCGCGACGUUAACUAAGGCGUUGUUUGGAAGACAACCCAAAACCCUUUAUUUCUUUAUGUUACUUUGAUAAAAUAAUGGUGUGUUGAUUGUGCAGAUGGAAGUGUGGAGAGUGAACAACUAGUGCAAAUUGGCGAGCAACAGGUCUAAUCAGCGAAUCACCAAAUGAUUCAGCGACUCUGAACUAGACCGCCGUUAGACUCAAGAUCAUCUUGCAUUGGAGUCUGUAAAACUCGGCGAGCACAUGAAAUUAUUGGCGAACCGCCGAUCGUGUUGGCGAUCUCGACAGAGACCGCCGUUUGGACUCCCACACAACAUGGAGGUUCUGUAAACUUUGGUGGGGUAAAUGACUAUUUGGCGUUACGCCGAAUAGAUCAGCGAUCGGGACUAAUGUCGCCGAACGGGUGAAAAAUGGACGGUUUUGCAAGCCAAAGGUUUAAAAGUUUCAACUUCAUUCCAUUUCCCUCACUUUUUGUCUUCCCAAACUCACACCCGCAUGCUAGCUCCUAUAUUUUUGCAUUUCUAGAGUAUUUUUAGUGUCGAAUUGUGCUACGAGUUGGAUCACAUUGCUUCCUAGAAUCUCAAUAUCCAUUUGAUUGGCAUAAAAUGUUGGUAGUUCAAACUCCACGUUCCUUUCCUUGAUUGUUGUACUCAAAUGAAAUGGCAUUACUUUGAUGAUGUGUGCUGGGACUAUCUGGUAGGAUUUGAAUAUUUGUUUACCUGUUAGGUUCGCAAAUUUCGCCCGUACUAAGUUAAAUAGUUAAUUCCUGAAAGUUACACUUUAAAUUGGAUGAAAAUCAUGGGUUGUGCAUGAUUGUCACUGGGUUUAAGCCUAAUUUGAGUUGUACAUGCCUUAAUUUUGUUUUCGAGGGUUGCGGUGGUGAAGUCGAGAAGUUAGGUUGGAAAUAGGCACGUUGGGACGUUAGGUGAGUUGGUCGAGCUCUCUAAACCACUCGACGAUUCGCCUAUUGACCCCAUCUCGCCUUUAAUUUCAUGUUACUUGUGAUAUGGGUCCUGUAACUUUCGGCGAGAAACCUUUGAUCGCAAAAAGCAUUCGGCGACUCGCCGAAAGACUUCUUUUUCGCCCUUUGUCUGCACCUUUGUAUUUUCUAUGCACUGCACUCGGUGAACCGCCGAAGUAGCUGCGCGCUUCGCCAACUAGUUCAGCGAAGUGAUUUUGCAAUUUAACUGCCUUGCUUUUGUCUGAAUACUUUCUAACUUUUUCUCGAAGCUUUGCAGAAAUGGCUAAACCUAAAGUAGCUGGAAGAGAUAUGCCACCCCGACAAACAAGAGCGAAAAAUUUCAGGAAAAAUACAAAGGCAACAAAUCCUCCCAAAAAUGGAUAAUGAGGACAAGAAGCCCAGUGCCAACAAGAGAACAAAUCCCCGAGACCCCACUAUUCCCUCAUGGAGACGUGAAUUCUUCACAGCUAUCCACUCUUUUCUGGCAGCUCAUGACUUGGACAAUCUUAGUAAGUCAGCUGCCGCAUAAUCUUCUGAAGAAGCUCUGGGGGCCAUUAUCAAGUUCAAGGCUGACACAUCGGGAACUGAUGCCCAGACAAACGGAGCGACUGUGUAGACAAGAUUUUUUUGUACCUCCCUCUCUGUCCUUCUCUAUUCUAAAGUCUGGAUAUUCUGUUAUUUGCAUUUGAGAACAAAUGGUGGGGUGAGGCCCACACCUUUUGUGUGCUACUUUUGUUUGUGUUUUGUGUAUGUAUUUGGGCUGUUCUGUUUAACAUUGUGUUAAAUACUGCUUUCUAUGGAUGUUUGAGCUUAUGGCUCAUUUUAUUUUAAAUUGCAAAAUGAUUUGGACCCUUCCAAAUUUUUUUGAAUUUUUCACACAUUUUCACCACCAUUUAUAUGCUCUUGAAUGUGGCUGUUAUUUUGCAAAAAAUUGAGUCUCGGUUCCAAUCAAUACCGGUGACUUGAAUAGUGCUCACAAUCGAACGAACGUGAAUACGCAGCUACGAUGAGGCCAAAUGAAGUUGCAUAAACAAUAUGUGAAUUCUUUGCAUCUCGUUUUGACUAGCCUAGUAUCGAAUCGAGUCUCUUGUAAUGACCGUUGCACACUAGCGAAAGUGUGUAGUCUUGUUUGACUAUAAUGUCGAUGCCUAUUGUGAUGAGCUUACCUGUGAACUAUGCAUACAUUAUAGAUCCUAGAAUUUGCCCUGUUGGUCUGGUCAACUGAGUUAUGCUAUCUCUUGAUAUGAUCUUAGGCAACUUCUACGAAUGUGAGCCAAUUUGAUAGCCAAUGUGAGCCAAUUUGACAUAUACCUCCUUUGUGGCAUAUGUCAAAUUGGCUCACACUCAUAGAAGUUGCCUAAGAUCAUAUCUAGAGAUAGCAUCACUCAGUUGACCGGACCAACAGGGAAAAUUCUAGGAUCUAUAAUGCAUAGUUCACAGGUAAGCUCAUCACAAUAGGCAUCGACACUAUAGUCAAACAAGAGUCAUUACAAGAGACUCGAUUCGAUACUAGGCUAGUCAAAACGAGAUGCAAAGAGUUCACAUAUUGUCUAUGCAACUUCAUUUGGCCUCAUCGUAGCUACGCAUUCAUGUUCGUUCGAUUGAGAGCACUAUUCAAGUCAUCGAUAUUGAUUGUAACCGAGACUCAAAUUUUUGCAAAAGAACAUCCACAUUCAAGAGCAUAUAAAGGGUGGCGAAAAUGUGUGAAAAAUUCAAAAAAAUUCGGAAGGGUCCAAAUCAUUUUGCAAUUUAAAAUAAAAGGAGCCAUAAGCUCAAACAUCCAUAGAAAGCAGUAUUUAACACAAUUUUAAAUAGAACAUCCCAAAUACGUACACAAAACACAAACAAAAGUAGCACACAAAAGGUGUGGCCCCACCACAAAUAAAAUAAAUUUGUCCUCAAAUGCAAAUAACACAGAAUCCGAAUGAAAAAGGGAGGUAAAGAGGGGAUCCUGUCUAAGUAGUCGCUCCAUCUGUCUGGGCAUCAGUGCCCGGAGUGACCCCAGAAGGACCAUCUUCACUGGAUCCAGCAGUAGGAGCCUUUGCCAAGGAAGCCUACACAACAACAUCUACUAUGAUUUCUUCAGUCUCGGCUAUGUCGUCUGCUGCAGCUUCCUCAAACAUCUCUUCGUCAGUCUCUGCCUCUGAUUCAGGAUAAGUUGUAUGCUCCAUUCCAUCCCCAAGUCCUGUGGUGGUCUGAGGUAUCUCAGGCACGUCUAGAAUCUCCACUGUUCCAAAGAUCAUGGACACAUUGGUGGACUUCAGGUGGUCUACAUAUUUUCGCAGCUUAGCAAUGGUAGCUUUUAAAGCCGUCACCUCCUUUGUGGGACUUUGGUUGUUCUCACACAUCGCUUUCCUGGCCACUAGGGCAUCAAUGGUAGUGCUCAGAGGUGUCACAACAUCAGUUAGGGCAACCUGGAUCAUGCCUGGAACAGAGGCCUCUAAACUGGCAGCUCGACAAUCAGCAAAAAGAGCCAGUUGUCCCAUCCUGAGUAGGGAAGCCUGGGUGAGUGGAGGUCGAGAAACAACAACAAUAGUAGUGGGUCUGGGAGACCGUGCAGCAGCAGAAGAACCUGGAGUAUCAGUGGGAGUAGCAGUGGCAAUGAAUAUACUUGAAGGCGCAGGGGCCGGAGUAGGCAGAGAUGCCUCUGCAGGGGAUGAUUCUGUGUUUACUAACUCCACCGAUGUUGCCUUCUUCCUUUAUUCUUGAUCCUUAAGGUACUCCGCUUCGAUCCUCCGAAUAUCAGUAGAGGCUGUGAGCAUCACUUCCAUAUCCUUCUUGGCAUCUCGAGGUACCCGAGCUUAUUUGCAUAAUUCUGUGAUCAAUACUGGGAAUGGAAAUGAGGUCUGGCUCUGCCUUGCAGACAUGAGUAUUUCUGAAGCAAUGAUUGUACCCAUGUUUAUCCGAGUUUUCUCUAUGAUGCAACCUAGGCAAGCUGCUUUGGCAAGGCGAAGGAUCGAUUCAUUCUGGGACAGCAUAAUGUGAUGUUGAUAAAACUGAACUAGAUCCUUGUGGUUAUGUUUAGUUCUUUCUUUUCAAUCGGAACUCUUUUCGUCAACCACUUUGGAGUAUCGUCUGAAAUUAGUGAGGCGAACCACUUUUUCAUCUCGUCUAGAUUCUUUGUUCUGAUCAGGUGCUGCCAGUGAUCCCUAGUAUUCAUGGACAUGCCCAAGACUGCGUUGAUUGCCUCACUAUCACACUUCACCCUCUUUCCUCUAACUACCACAAAGUCCAGUUCCUUAAAGGUUGCUGCUAGCUACUUUUUCUAGGGUAUUAGUGCACUGUAUGCACUGUAGAACUAUCUUACCCAGCUUGGAAUAUAAGGGCCACGGGGUUUGGUGAAGAUUUGGAACUUGUGGUAUCUCAGGCAUUCCAAUAUGUCUGGGUGCCUGUCUAUAACCCCGUCUAUGGAUAGACGCUUUUCUUCCAGAAUUGCCCUCAGCCCCUCAGCCUUUACUCGAUUCAUUAACUUAAGCAGAGGACCUUGUACUAGAGACGUUAAUACCAUUGCUUGUUCUGGAACUGGAGGUGUAGUAGUGCUAGGUUGGGGAGUCCUGACCCUGGAUGGAUUAUUCAGCUCACUCAGCCCUCUGUGCUAUUAACAGAUCAUCCUCAUCACAACCCACACCUUCGCUUUCAGAUUGGUUGGGAUCAUUUCUAUAAAAUCCAUCACUGUCAGUGCUUGCAUCUGAUAAGUCAAGGGUCUUGUCUUUGCCCUUGCCUUUCCCACCCGUUGUUGAAAGUUCAGCAACUUUGCUUCUGGAUGCAAUUGUAUCCUCGUUGAUUGUAAUCCCUUUUGUUUUACCUUGUGGUGGCCUGCCUCUUCCUGCAACCUUCGAUCUAGCCAUUUCUGCAAAGAAUUAGGAAGAAGUUAAAACAACUAAAUUAAAUUCAUAGGGACACAAUUGCAGAAAAACUCGCCGAAUAGAUCGGCGAUUCGCCAAGUUGCUUUGGCGAGCAGGGUUUUAUCCGCCGAAAGAUACAGUGUGAAAAGGUUCAGGGGUACAGACAAAUGGCAAUCAAGGAGACUUUCGGCGAGUUGCUGAAUGCUUUUGGCGAUCAAUGAUUUCUCGCCGAAAGUUACAGAAUCCAUAUCACAAGUAGCAUGAAAUUAAAGGCGAGAUGGGGUCAUUAGGCGAACCACCGAGUGGUUUAGCGAGUUCGACCCAUCUCGCCUAACGUCCCAACGUGCCUAUUUCCAACCUAUUUUCUCGACUUCAACCCCGCAACCCUUGAAAACAAAAUUAAACUAUGCACUAGUAAAAUUAAGCUCAGACCCAUAACACUUAAUCAUGAUAAACAUCAUGCACGCACAACCCCACAAAAUUUAACUCAUUUCUACCCGCAACAAAAAGAGAGUUUAAAAAUCAAGAUAAAAUGGGCAAGAUUAAUAGAUUGAACUCGGCAUUUCGAUAAUCUAAAUCUAUUAUAGAGGCCCAACACACGUCAAUUCAAUAAGCCCAAUUGCAUAAGAGAACAAAUGUUUCAAUGUAGUCUCGGGAUUUGGGAAAACCAACUUUUUAUGUUGAUCGAUGUACUUUGAAAUUCUAGGAGGCAAUGUAAUCCCAAGUCCGAACACCAAUCGACGACUAAAAUACCAGGAAUGCAAAGAUAAUGAAAAUUACUUACUAGGUGCACAUUUGCGAAAGUUAAAAUCGAGUGGAAAAUGAAAAGUUGUCAAACUUUGCAAUCAUUGGCCUUUAAAACUGUCCAUUUGUUGCCCAUUCGGCGACAUUAGUCACGAUCCCCGAACUACUCGGCAUGAUGCCGAGUAGUCACCUUCCUCAUCGAGUUUUACAGAUUCCAAAGUAAAUUGGUCUUGAGUCUAACGGUGGUCUAGUUCGGGGUCGCCGAACCCUUUGGUGAUUCGCGGAAUGGACCUAUAGAUUGCCAAUCUACACUUGUCGAUCACUCUCCACAUUUCAACCUGAAAAAUCAAUACACCAUUAUUUCUAUAAUAAAACAAAGCAUUUAAAACCUUGGGUUGCCUCCUAAGAAGUGCCUUAGUUAACGUCGUGGGAUGACACACGUCAACACUCAAACUCUAUUUUUGGGGUUAGCCAUAGUAUCACUAGGCAACCCCCUGUUUUGUUGGAAUUGGAGAUGGGGAAAUACAUGUCCCAAAAGGUUCUCAAGCAGCUGGACGGCUCUGGAAUGAGACCAAAUCAUUCGCUUCAUCCCUUCAAUGUUUUCCUUCAUUUCUUCCAGCUCUCUAUCUUGCUCAGUUACCUUGUGGAAAAUGAUUGAGAGUAUUCCCUCAAGGUGUUUAACCUCAUUGUCCUUGGGACUUCGUCGCUCAUGAGGAGGGAUGUAUUUAUCCUUCCUCUUGCACUGGACUUCGGUCUUCAUCAUCUUUUUGGCAAGCUCAUCCAACUUAAUCAUCAGUGUGGCCAACAUGAAAUACUUUUCUACUUCUUAGCUCAUUUUAGCUAUGUUGUCGAGCAGUUGUAUUGCCCUCGCAUAUCGCUAUUUUGCAAUACCACCCGGAAUGAGUUGGUCGACCAACCUCUUGUUUUCGGGGCCAAGACUUCUGUAGAGAAGUCAAGAAAGAUUAUGUUGGGAAUGACAUGAAUUGGCAUUGCAUGAUCAGUUCUUUAAACCUUUUCCCAUGCCUUGUGGACCCUUUCACCCUCCAAUUGCUUAAAGGUUAGGAUACGAUCCCGAAUCAUCAUUACCUCUAAUAGAGGAAACUCCAUUAGCUAGCAUGUGUUGAUUGAUAUAUUCACCUCCUCUUCUUUUAAAGCUCAAACAAGCAAAAUACAAAACUAAAAAUUAGGUAAGUAAACUACAACUAAGAAGAACAAAAUUUAUACUAAACUAAGAAUUAUCAAAUAACACCACUCCCCAGCAGCGGCGCCAUUUUGAUGUUUGCGUAAUCAAGACACAACUUUCGAUGCAAGUGUCUACGAUCGUACAAUAGUUUAGUAACCCAACCAAGGGUUGGGAUCGUUCCCAAGAGAGUGGUUUUGAUAAUUAAUAGAAAAAUAAAACUUAGUUCUAACUAGUCGUAGCUAAAGACAUUAACGAUUAAAAACAUUGUAAAUUAAAAGGGGGACACAAGAGUGUCAAUUAACAAUGGGGGUUUUUGUCGCAAGUAAGUAAAAAUAGCAAAAAAAAAACAAGGGUUCCUAAAUAAUAAUAGGGGAUCCUUGGGAUGUGACGGGAAUAAGAAUUAAGAUAAAUUAUUGGGUAUAUGCUUUCGAUAGAAGAUUCAUAGAGUAAUUGUGACUAGGCUAGACUUUAAGGGGGAUAAGCUCUCUCUCGAGCAACUUACCCCGUGUCAAAUGCGUUCCUCUCGGACACCAACUUGCCGCAUGAAGACCAGGUUACAGCUUAACCCACUCACUCUCUCGAGCUGAAUGUGUGGACAUGGGACUAGGGUUUGCUCUCUCGAGCUGAACCUCAUGUCGACCCACUCGUACUGGCCAUCAAUUUAGUAGUCUUAAUUUUACGACCACUCUCUCGAGCAAGCCGAAAACACUUAAAUAAACUUGUAUUUGCAACUACAAAUUCAUUAAAUUCAUCCACCACUACUAAACGAAAUCACAAUUAAACUAUGAUUAAACUAUCAGCAAGCAAGACCCAACAAUUAUCUUAACCCAUAUUCGCUAAAUCACACCCCAAGAAUUGGGGGUUUUAGCCACACAUGUAUAAGAGAUAGAAAUUUAUACCAAAUUGAGCUUGCAUUCAACUGGGUAUGGAGAUUUAAGUCUUGAUAUAGGCUAAAAUUGAAGAAUCCAAGAGACCCAAAUCCAAAUCUUGAAGAUGAAACCAUUUGGAUCUUCAAGUCUUCAAAACCUUCUCAACAAGAGAAUAAAAAUAUCAAAAAAUACUAUUCUAUAUGAAAAUUAUAAUAAUUGUUCGACUCUUAAAACUACAACUCUAACUAGUAUUUAUAGUUUUUAUAGAUUUGUGUUGCAGCGGAUCAUUCGGCGUCGUUAGUCGAAAUCGCCGAUCAACUCGGUGAUUCGCCUUUUGGUGUAGUUCACCACCGUCUUGCACCAGCCUUCAACAUCGUCGUGUUCUAGGUCAUUGGGCGACAUGGUACUGCUUCGCAGAACUUCUCGGCGAUGCGCCGACUGCUUCCUUUUUUCUGCAGACUUAAUCCUUUCCUUUAGGGCUCAGCACACUGGAACAAAAGGUGAAGUAAGACCCUUCGGCGACUCGCCGAGUUGACUCGGCGAUCCUCAGGCCUUCAUUUCUUUGUUCUUUUCAGCCUUUUCGUUCCUUUUUGCGACGUAGUGUCCAUGCUUUCCUUCAAACUUCAAAUACCUGAAACUUAAAGGUUUUCAUUAGAUAUUGAGAUAAAAUAAGCAUUUGAGGACACAAUUUCUAUGAAAUAUAACCCUAAAUGAGUCUAAUUUGUGGACUCAUCAGUGGAAUAGACAUGCCACCCCCAAAAUUUGCAUCACAAUCACUCGCGAGAUUGUCACUAUUGGCUUUCUUAGCAACAAACUCCGGCUUAUUAACAUUAGUUUCCAUCAGUGAUCCAUUAUCGACAAUCACCUUGUUAGAUCCAUAAUCUUCAUUGGAAGCAUCAUUAUUCAAUGCCAUACCACUUUGGGUCACAAUAGCCAAUACAUGAGCAUCAUUCUUCGAGUUAGCAAUUGUAUCACUUGGCAACCCUCCCUUUGUUCUAGGAUUUAAAUAAGUUGAGAUUUGACUCAUUUGUGUCUCAAGUUUCUUUAUGGAGACCGAGUGUGAGGUGACAGUUUGAGUCAAAGAAGAGAAAUUAGUUUUCAUCUCUUUCAGCACCUUGUCAGAAUCUUCUAUUUUGUUGAGUAUCCUCCCGAACAUAUCUUUAGUCCAAAAACUUUCCAGAUCUUCUUAUUGUUCCUUUGUCGUGGGUCGGUCAUGCACUGGCACAUAACAAUCUCUUUCCCCUUCACAAUAUCUCCAAUUUAUGCCCCUAUCAUGCUAAUCCCUUUCUGUAUAUCUCCAAAUGCCUCCAUGUUUCUUGUUCCAAAAUUGAUUUUUGCCCGACUUUUGAUAGCUCAGACGAGAACCCCCACUUGGUUGCCCAAGAAUUGAAACUCUUCAUUAUACAUUGUCUCAAACAUAUCAUCUUCUGAACUCAUCCCACUACUUGCUUUCAUUACAUUUAUCGCUGUGAAUUUACCACUCAUGAUAUGCUUUGAUAGUAAAUCAAGUUGGGUCAUUAUUUUUGUCAUAUUCUUGUCACGCUCUUGGUUUUUCUCCAUCUUCUCCUUAGUCAUACAAAAAGAGAUGGGGAAGACUUGAUCUUUCCUAGUAUGCAGGGAUCAAUUGAUCCUUAUCAUCUCAUCUAGCAAAGCUGAAGCUACUAUGAAUGGUUGCCGCAUGACUCCGCCACACACAAGUUAGUCAGUGGUUCCUUUAUUCACUGUAUCAAGGCUUCAAUAGAAGAAUUGCAAGAAAACGUUAUCAAGGAAACCAUGAUUUGGACAUUGAAUAAACUUUUUUUUGGAACCUCUGCCAAGUCUCAUGAAUUGGCUCACCAUCAAUACAUUUGAAAUUUUGAAUGUCAUUUCGAAGCUUCAACAUCUUUGAUGGGAAAAAAUCUCUCUAGAAAUGUUACAGUUAGUUCCUCCCAGGAUGUAAUUGAAUGUAACGACCCGAGAGCACCCCCUAGUCAUUACCGGCGUAUUCGACCUCUCGGAGGUGUUAUACAAGCCCUUAGCAUUCGUCAUAGUAUUUAUCAUAGAAAAAUAGCCGAAAAUUUAAAACUUCUUCAUAAUAUAACACAAGACAUAAAAGUCACCUCAUUAAACCUUUAAUACAAAAAUUGGAGUACUACGUCUCAAGGUAGCCAUCUUAAAACAUGACUACAACACAAGAGGGACACAUCCCUUACAAUACAAAAGAAACUACUAUCUAGUACAUAGAACUUAAGGAAACUCUUUAACAUAAAGGUCCUUGAAUCUUUAAGGACACACCCGAACUUGGGAAUAGUAAGCCAAGCUCAUCNNNNNNNNNNNNNNNNNNNNNNNNNNNNNNNNNNNNNNNNNNNNNNNNNNNNNNNNNNNNNNNNNNNNNNNNNNNNNNNNNNNNNNNNNNNNNNNNNNNNNNNNNNNNNNNNNNNNNNNNNNNNNNNNNNNNNNNNNNNNNNNNNNNNNNNNNNNNNNNNNNNNNNNNNNNNNNNNNNNNNNNNNNNNNNNNNNNNNNNNNNNNNNNNNNNNNNNNNNNNNNNNNNNNNNNNNNNNNNNNNNNNNNNNNNNNNNNNNNNNNNNNNNNNNNNNNNNNNNNNNNNNNNNNNNNNNNNNNNNNNNNNNNNNNNNNNNNNNNNNNNNNNNNNNNNNNNNNNNNNNNNNNNNNNNNNNNNNNNNNNNNNNNNNNNNNNNNNNNNNNNNNNNNNNNNNNNNNNNNNNNNNNNNNNNNNNNNNNNNNNNNNNNNNNNNNNNNNNNNNNNNNNNNNNNNNNNNNNNNNNNNNNNNNNNNNNNNNNNNNNNNNNNNNNNNNNNNNNNNNNNNNNNNNNNNNNNNNNNNNNNNNNNNNNNNNNNNNNNNNNNNNNNNNNNNNNNNNNNNNNNNNNNNNNNNNNNNNNNNNNNNNNNNNNNNNNNNNNNNNNNNNNNNNNNNNNNNNNNNNNNNNNNNNNNNNNNNNNNNNNNNNNNNNNNNNNNNNNNNNNNNNNNNNNNNNNNNNNNNNNNNNNNNNNNNNNNNNNNNNNNNNNNNNNNNNNNNNNNNNNNNNNNNNNNNNNNNNNNNNNNNNNNNNNNNNNNNNNNNNNNNNNNNNNNNNNNNNNNNNNNNNNNNNNNNNNNNNNNNNNNNNNNNNNNNNNNNNNNNNNNNNNNNNNNNNNNNNNNNNNNNNNNNNNNNNNNNNNNNNNNNNNNNNNNNNNNNNNNNNNNNNNNNNNNNNNNNNNNNNNNNNNNNNNNNNNNNNNNNNNNNNNNNNNNNNNNNNNNNNNNNNNNNNNNNNNNNNNNNNNNNNNNNNNNNNNNNNNNNNNNNNNNNNNNNNNNNNNNNNNNNNNNNNNNNNNNNNNNNNNNNNNNNNNNNNNNNNNNNNNNNNNNNNNNNNNNNNNNNNNNNNNNNNNNNNNNNNNNNNNNNNNNNNNNNNNNNNNNNNNNNNNNNNNNNNNNNNNNNNNNNNNNNNNNNNNNNNNNNNNNNNNNNNNNNNNNNNNNNNNNNNNNNNNNNNNNNNNNNNNNNNNNNNNNNNNNNNNNNNNNNNNNNNNNNNNNNNNNNNNNNNNNNNNNNNNNNNNNNNNNNNNNNNNNNNNNNNNNNNNNNNNNNNNNNNNNNNNNNNNNNNNNNNNNNNNNNNNNNNNNNNNNNNNNNNNNNNNNNNNNNNNNNNNNNNNNNNNNNNNNNNNNNNNNNNNNNNNNNNNNNNNNNNNNNNNNNNNNNNNNNNNNNNNNNNNNNNNNNNNNNNNNNNNNNNNNNNNNNNNNNNNNNNNNNNNNNNNNNNNNNNNNNNNNNNNNNNNNNNNNNNNNNNNNNNNNNNNNNNNNNNNNNNNNNNNNNNNNNNNNNNNNNNNNNNNNNNNNNNNNNNNNNNNNNNNNNNNNNNNNNNNNNNNNNNNNNNNNNNNNNNNNNNNNNNNNNNNNNNNNNNNNNNNNNNNNNNNNNNNNNNNNNNNNNNNNNNNNNNNNNNNNNNNNNNNNNNNNNNNNNNNNNNNNNNNNNNNNNNNNNNNNNNNNNNNNNNNNNNNNNNNNNNNNNNNNNNNNNNNNNNNNNNNNNNNNNNNNNNNNNNNNNNNNNNNNNNNNNNNNNNNNNNNNNNNNNNNNNNNNNNNNNNNNNNNNNNNNNNNNNNNNNNNNNNNNNNNNNNNNNNNNNNNNNNNNNNNNNNNNNNNNNNNNNNNNNNNNNNNNNNNNNNNNNNNNNNNNNNNNNNNNNNNNNNNNNNNNNNNNNNNNNNNNNNNNNNNNNNNNNNNNNNNNNNNNNNNNNNNNNNNNNNNNNNNNNNNNNNNNNNNNNNNNNNNNNNNNNNNNNNNNNNNNNNNNNNNNNNNNNNNNNNNNNNNNNNNNNNNNNNNNNNNNNNNNNNNNNNNNNNNNNNNNNNNNNNNNNNNNNNNNNNNNNNNNNNNNNNNNNNNNNNNNNNNNNNNNNNNNNNNNNNNNNNNNNNNNNNNNNNNNNNNNNNNNNNNNNNNNNNNNNNNNNNNNNNNNNNNNNNNNNNNNNNNNNNNNNNNNNNNNNNNNNNNNNNNNNNNNNNNNNNNNNNNNNNNNNNNNNNNNNNNNNNNNNNNNNNNNNNNNNNNNNNNNNNNNNNNNNNNNNNNNNNNNNNNNNNNNNNNNNNNNNNNNNNNNNNNNNNNNNNNNNNNNNNNNNNNNNNNNNNNNNNNNNNNNNNNNNNNNNNNNNNNNNNNNNNNNNNNNNNNNNNNNNNNNNNNNNNNNNNNNNNNNNNNNNNNNNNNNNNNNNNNNNNNNNNNNNNNNNNNNNNNNNNNNNNNNNNNNNNNNNNNNNNNNNNNNNNNNNNNNNNNNNNNNNNNNNNNNNNNNNNNNNNNNNNNNNNNNNNNNNNNNNNNNNNNNNNNNNNNNNNNNNNNNNNNNNNNNNNNNNNNNNNNNNNNNNNNNNNNNNNNNNNNNNNNNNNNNNNNNNNNNNNNNNNNNNNNNNNNNNNNNNNNNNNNNNNNNNNNNNNNNNNNNNNNNNNNNNNNNNNNNNNNNNNNNNNNNNNNNNNNNNNNNNNNNNNNNNNNNNNNNNNNNNNNNNNNNNNNNNNNNNNNNNNNNNNNNNNNNNNNNNNNNNNNNNNNNNNNNNNNNNNNNNNNNNNNNNNNNNNNNNNNNNNNNNNNNNNNNNNNNNNNNNNNNNNNNNNNNNNNNNNNNNNNNNNNNNNNNNNNNNNNNNNNNNNNNNNNNNNNNNNNNNNNNNNNNNNNNNNNNNNNNNNNNNNNNNNNNNNNNNNNNNUGGAUCAAACCACACAACAUCAAUUCUCAUUCUAUAGACUAGAAGUUAGGUCAACUUACCAAUUCUCCAAGCCAUGAUCACCAUGGAUCAAUCCUCAACAAUUCAUAAUCAAUUGACAUAUAUAGAAAUAGGAAUCAACAAUGUAAUUCAAUAACAUAAACAUAAUCUAAGUACAAUUCUAUAAACAAAGGGAUCAACCCAUAACUUUGCCCAUAAGGCCAUAAUCCUCAACUCAUCAAUAUACCAACAAUUCAACAUGAAUAAGUAUAGAUAAUCAUAGGAAACAUCAAUACAAUCUAAUCUAAACAUAAUUUCACCAAUAGAGAUCAUAUUCACAAAGACCCACAUCAUAGGCCCAUUUUUGAGAAUUUGGGGAUCAUGGGUUCUUCAAGAAUUCCUUUGAAAAUUGUCUUAAAAACAUUAAUUCCACAUUAAUUCAUCAAUAGAAUGAUUUAGAAAAUCGUUUGACAAGGAACCCAUGUUUAGAUUGAAAAUUGGGAAUUUUGGUCUUUGAAUCACUUUUGAAGAUCUUUGAUAGAACUCCUUGAAUGAGAGGUUAUUCAAGAAUCAAGAGUUACCAUACCUUAAUUAUUGAAGACCCAUGAAAUUGAAGAAGAAAUCAGUUGAAAACCCAUCUUCUAGCUUGAGCUUCAUCAAGGUCUUCAAUGGAGUUUUUGAGAGAAUCUAUUUUGAGAGGGAAGGGUCAAUUUGAAGAAUGGGGUCUAAUUUUAGGCUUUGGGGUUUUAACCAACUUAAAAUACCCUAAAAUAGAUAGAAUAACCAUUUUUAAUAAUUCCCCGAAGUACCCAAACUAUCCCUCACUUAGUUGGACCUUUUUAAAUAAGUCAAACUUGAGUUUUAUUUUCGCAGAUUUCGUCGAGAAACAAAUUCGCGACGCAGAGGUGUUCCCACAAGUUUUCUGGAAAUUAACUUCGAGACAGUAGAGUCUGCGACAUGUCCGCGAUGCGGAUCAAACUUUUAGCCCUUGGUGUAGCUAGUCCGCGAUGCGGACAUGCUCCCUCCAAGCACAACUUCAAGCUUGCUUGGCCAAGGUUGGGGUCCUCCUCGGGGACCCUUAGGGUGGCCCACGGGGAGUCGUAUCCAAACGUUUUGACCCUAAAACAUUUAUUAAGACACUAGGGUCACCUCCACUGAUUUUAGACUCCAAACAACACAUAAAAACAUGAACAACAUACUAGAACACACCAACACGUAAAAGACUAAGUUUCCGAACGUCUUGGUCGUCCCUUGACGUUUGACUUCCAAACUCUUUAAAGCUGACUAAAAGGCUAUUCUUCAUUAUUUUAACAAGUUAUUAAUACAUAAAACUCAUGUGCGGACUCUACUUUAUCCUACUUCAUUUUGAGGGUCGUUACAUUGAAUCUCUUAGAAACUCCGUCAAUCACUUCAUAGUCUCACCCGUCAAAGAAAAAGGAAACAAUCUUAGCUGGAUGGACUCUUGAGUGAUGUUUUUUGAAAAUGAAUGGGCCACACACAUCCACAAACUUCUAAAAGUGAUCAUGAGGGUCUUCAGAGCUAAAACACUAUACUGCCCUUUCAUUUGAAGUAGUUAGAGAAUGGUUCUAGUCAUAUGAAAUAUAGCAUUGCUCAUGAUUGGGAAAAACGGAUAGCUCUCGCACUCCCAAGAUCUUUCAUGUUGAAUUCAUUCAAGUUUCCCACAUCAUUCAUGUGUCCAUCAUUGUUAGCAACAUUUCUACCAAUGACACUCAUAUCUUCACCUAUUAAGAACACAAUACGAAAAGCAAUGGUAAGAGUGCUCAACUACAAAUAAAUCAGUUCACAAAAUUACUUCACUAAAAUAAUUUUAUGCUCCAUUCCUUUGCAGUGGUGGCAUUUUGAUAAUGUUCAAUUGUACACCUUAUAAAUCAGUGUACAAGCGAUCGUUGAUCAGAAAAAACCCAAACAAGGUUGGGGUCAAAUUAUACCGGGAGCGGUCUAUGUUAUAAUUCAAUUAAGAAGUUAAAAUCGUGAACUAAUUCUUUAUAGAUUUAGAAAGACAGCAUGUAACAUAAACUAAAUCUUAGGAAUUUCAAAUUAUCAAAUUUAGAGAGUAUAGUUAACAAUUACUCACUAAGAUCAAGUAAAUAAGUAUGAGAUUGAAGCUAGGAGUGUGGGUAAUUGGGUAUCAAUUUCGAUCAUGGGUAAAGAUGUUUGCUCAAUAACAUUAAUGCCUAAUGGAUAGGCUAGGUCAAUCUAAGAUAUAAAAUGUAUUACCCAAUCACACGUUGUUUACUCACACGAGCUUUACCAAGCCUCUAGUGCAAAGCAUUACAAACCAAUCUAAAACCUUAAUAUAGAAUUUUUUUUCACAUGCAACUUUAGCAUUUGACAAUAACAUCUAAAUCCCUUCACCAAGAAAACUUAGCUAUUAAGGCCAAUAUGCAAUUAUCAAUCACAAUUACUCACUUAAUGCAAUAUAUCCCAAGUAAAACCACGAAGUUCUAAUCUAAGCUUGGGUUUGCAACCCCAAACUAUCAAUUUCCACUACUAAAAAACUACUAAAAAACAACGGAAGAAAAAGCGACGGACAGCGUCGCUCCAAAAAAGCGACGGACUAAGAGAAGCCGUCCGUCAUUUUUAAUUAAAAUAAUUAUUUUUAAAAUUAUUUUAUAAAAGGCGACGGACUGCAUCUCUUAGUCCGUCGCUUUUUAUUAAAAAUAAUUAUUUAUAAAUUAAACAAUAACCACGCUGUCCGUCGUUUUAAUUUAUUUUAUUUUAUUAAUUAAUUUUUAAAAAAAGCGACGGACAACAUCUCUUAGACCGUCGCUUUUUGGUCAAAAUAUCUAGUCAAACAUUUUUAAAAAGCGACGGACAGCGUCUCUUAGUCCGUCGCUUUUUAAUUAUUUUUUUUAUUUUUUUAUUUUUGUGGUUUAGUUGGUGGAUUUAGUGUUGUAUUAAGUCAAAACUAAACUAGUUAAAGUUGUUAAGUUGUUUAAAUAAGUUAAAUUAAUUAAUGUGGUUUAGUUGGUGGAUUUAGUGUUGUAUUAAGUCAAAACUAAACUAGUUAAAGUUGUUAAGUUGUUUAAAUAAGUUAAAUUAAUUAAUGUGGUUUAGUUGGUGGAUUUAGUGUUGUAUUAAGUGAAAGCUAAACUAGUUAAAGUUGUUAAGUUGUUUAAAUAAGUUAAAUUAAUUAAUGUGGUUUAGUUGGUGGAUUUAGUGUUGUAUUAAGUCAAAACUAAACUAGUUAAAGUUGUUAAGUUGUUUAAAUAAGUUAAAUUAAUUAAUGUGGUUUAGUUGGUGGAUUUAGUGUUGUAUUAAGUCAAAACUAAACUAGUUAAAGUUGUUAAGUUGUUUAAAUAAGUUAAAUUAAUUAAUGUGGUUUAGUUGGUGGAUUUAGUGUUGUAUUAAGUCAAAACUAAACUAGUUAAAGUUGUUAAGUUGUUUAAAUAAGUUAAAUUAAUUAAUGUGGUUUAGUUGGUGGAUUUAGUGUUGUAUUAAGUCAAAACUAAACUAGUUAAAGUUGUUAAGUUGUUUAAAUAAGUUAAAUUAAUUAAUGUGGUUUAGUUGGUGGAUUUAGUGUUGUAUUAAGUCAAAACUAAACUAGUUAAAGUUGUUAAGUUGUUUAAAUAAGUUAAAUUAAUUAAUGUGGUUUAGUUGGUGGAUUUAGUGUUGUAUUAAGUCAAAACUAAACUAGUUAAAGUUGUUAAGUUGUUUAAAUAAGUUAAAUUAAUUAAUGUGGUUUAGUUGGUGGAUUUAGUGUUGUAUUAAGUCAAAACUAAACUAGUUAAAGUUGUUAAGUUGUUUAAAUAAGUUAAAUUAAUUAAUGUGGUUUAGUUGGUGGAUUUAGUGUUGUAUUAAGUCAAAACUAAACUAGUUCAAGAGUUAAAGUUGUUUAAAUAAGUUAAAUUAAUUAAUGUGGUUUAGUUGGUGGAUUUAGUGUUGUAUUAAGUGAAAGCUAAACUAGUUAAAGUUGUUAAGUUGUUUAAAUAAGUUAAAUUAAUUAAUGUGGUUUAGUUGGUGGAUUUAGUGUUGUAUUAAGUCAAAACUAAACUAGUUAAAGUUGUUAAGUUGUUUAAAUAAGUUAAAUUAAUUAAUGUGGUUUAGUUGGUGGAUUUAGUGUUGUAUUAAGUGAAAGCUAAACUAGUUAAAGUUGUUAAGUUGUUUAAAUAAGUUAAAUUAAUUAAUGUGGUUUAGUUGGUGGAUUUAGUGUUGUAUUAAGUGAAAGCUAAACUAGUUAAAGUUGUUAAGUUGUUUAAAUAAGUUAAAUUAAUUAAUGUGGUUUAGUUGGUGGAUUUAGUGUUGUAUUAAGUGAAAGCUAAACUAGUUAAAGUUGUUAAGUUGUUUAAAUAAGUUAAAUUAAUUAAUGUGGUUUAGUUGGUGGAUUUAGUGUUGUAUUAAGUGAAAGCUAAACUAGUUAAAGUUGUUAAGUUGUUUAAAUAAGUUAAAUUAAUUAAUGUGGUUUAGUUGGUGGAUUUAGUGUUGUAUUAAGUGAAAGCUAAACUAGUUAAAGUUGUUAAGUUGUUUAAAUAAGUUAAAUUAAUUAAUGUGGUUUAGUUGGUGGAUUUAGUGUUGUAUUAAGUGAAAGCUAAACUAGUUAAAGUUGUUAAGUUGUUUAAAUAAGUUAAAUUAAUUAAUGUGGUUUAGUUGGUGGAUUUAGUGUUGUAUUAAGUGAAAGCUAAACUAGUUAAAGUUGUUAAGUUGUUUAAAUAAGUUAAAUUAAUUAAUGUGGUUUAGUUGGUGGAUUUAGUGUUGUAUUAAGUGAAAGCUAAACUAGUUAAAGUUGUUAAGUUGUUUAAAUAAGUUAAAUUAAUUAAUGUGGUUUAGUUGGUGGAUUUAGUGUUGUAUUAAGUCAAAACUAAACUAGUUAAAGUUGUUAAGUUGUUUAAAUAAGUUAAAUUAAUUAAUGUGGUUUAGUUGGUGGAUUUAGUGUUGUAUUAAGUCAAAACUAAACUAGUUAAAGUUGUUAAGUUGUUUAAAUAAGUUAAAUUAAUUAAUGUGGUUUAGUUGGUGGAUUUAGUGUUGUAUUAAGUCAAAACUAAACUAGUUAAAGUUGUUAAGUUGUUUAAAUAAGUUAAAUUAAUUAAUGUGGUUUAGUUGGUGGAUUUAGUGUUGUAUUAAGUCAAAACUAAACUAGUUAAAGUUGUUAAGUUGUUUAAAUAAGUUAAAUUAAUUAAUGUGGUUUAGUUGGUGGAUUUAGUGUUGUAUUAAGUCAAAACUAAACUAGUUAAAGUUGUUAAGUUGUUUAAAUAAGUUAAAUUAAUUAAUGUGGUUUAGUUGGUGGAUUUAGUGUUGUAUUAAGUCAAAACUAAACUAGUUAAAGUUGUUAAGUUGUUUAAAUAAGUUAAAUUAAUUAAUGUGGUUUAGUUGGUGGAUUUAGUGUUGUAUUAAGUCAAAACUAAACUAGUUAAAGUUGUUAAGUUGUUUAAAUAAGUUAAAUUAAUUAAUGUGGUUUAGUUGGUGGAUUUAGUGUUGUAUUAAGUCAAAACUAAACUAGUUCAAGAGUUAAAGUUGUUUAAAUAAGUUAAAUUAAUUAAUGUGGUUUAGUUGGUGGAUUUAGUGUUGUAUUAAGUGAAAGCUAAACUAGUUAAAGUUGUUAAGUUGUUUAAAUAAGUUAAAUUAAUUAAUGUGGUUUAGUUGGUGGAUUUAGUGUUGUAUUAAGUCAAAACUAAACUAGUUAAAGUUGUUAAGUUGUUUAAAUAAGUUAAAUUAAUUAAUGUGGUUUAGUUGGUGGAUUUAGUGUUGUAUUAAGUGAAAGCUAAACUAGUUAAAGUUGUUAAGUUGUUUAAAUAAGUUAAAUUAAUUAAUGUGGUUUAGUUGGUGGAUUUAGUGUUGUAUUAAGUGAAAGCUAAACUAGUUAAAGUUGUUAAGUUGUUUAAAUAAGUUAAAUUAAUUAAUGUGGUUUAGUUGGUGGAUUUAGUGUUGUAUUAAGUGAAAGCUAAACUAGUUAAAGUUGUUAAGUUGUUUAAAUAAGUUAAAUUAAUUAAUGUGGUUUAGUUGGUGGAUUUAGUGUUGUAUUAAGUGAAAGCUAAACUAGUUAAAGUUGUUAAGUUGUUUAAAUAAGUUAAAUUAAUUAAUGUGGUUUAGUUGGUGGAUUUAGUGUUGUAUUAAGUGAAAGCUAAACUAGUUAAAGUUGUUAAGUUGUUUAAAUAAGUUAAAUUAAUUAAUGUGGUUUAGUUGGUGGAUUUAGUGUUGUAUUAAGUGAAAGCUAAACUAGUUAAAGUUGUUAAGUUGUUUAAAUAAGUUAAAUUAAUUAAUGUGGUUUAGUUGGUGGAUUUAGUGUUGUAUUAAGUGAAAGCUAAACUAGUUAAAGUUGUUAAGUUGUUUAAAUAAGUUAAAUUAAUUAAUGUGGUUUAGUUGGUGGAUUUAGUGUUGUAUUAAGUGAAAGCUAAACUAGUUAAAGUUGUUAAGUUGUUUAAAUAAGUUAAAUUAAUUAAUGUGGUUUAGUUGGUGGAUUUAGUGUUGUAUUAAGUCAAAACUAAACUAGUUAAAGUUGUUAAGUUGUUUAAAUAAGUUAAAUUAAUUAAUGUGGUUUAGUUGGUGGAUUUAGUGUUGUAUUAAGUCAAAACUAAACUAGUUAAAGUUGUUAAGUUGUUUAAAUAAGUUAAAUUAAUUAAUGUGGUUUAGUUGGUGGAUUUAGUGUUGUAUUAAGUCAAAACUAAACUAGUUAAAGUUGUUAAGUUGUUUAAAUAAGUUAAAUUAAUUAAUGUGGUUUAGUUGGUGGAUUUAGUGUUGUAUUAAGUCAAAACUAAACUAGUUAAAGUUGUUAAGUUGUUUAAAUAAGUUAAAUUAAUUAAUGUGGUUUAGUUGGUGGAUUUAGUGUUGUAUUAAGUCAAAACUAAACUAGUUAAAGUUGUUAAGUUGUUUAAAUAAGUUAAAUUAAUUAAUGUGGUUUAGUUGGUGGAUUUAGUGUUGUAUUAAGUCAAAACUAAACUAGUUAAAGUUGUUAAGUUGUUUAAAUAAGUUAAAUUAAUUAAUGUGGUUUAGUUGGUGGAUUUAGUGUUGUAUUAAGUCAAAACUAAACUAGUUAAAGUUGUUAAGUUGUUUAAAUAAGUUAAAUUAAUUAAUGUGGUUUAGUUGGUGGAUUUAGUGUUGUAUUAAGUCAAAACUAAACUAGUUCAAGAGUUAAAGUUGUUUAAAUAAGUUAAAUUAAUUAAUGUGGUUUAGUUGGUGGAUUUAGUGUUGUAUUAAGUGAAAGCUAAACUAGUUAAAGUUGUUAAGUUGUUUAAAUAAGUUAAAUUAAUUAAUGUGGUUUAGUUGGUGGAUUUAGUGUUGUAUUAAGUCAAAACUAAACUAGUUAAAGUUGUUAAGUUGUUUAAAUAAGUUAAAUUAAUUAAUGUGGUUUAGUUGGUGGAUUUAGUGUUGUAUUAAGUGAAAGCUAAACUAGUUAAAGUUGUUAAGUUGUUUAAAUAAGUUAAAUUAAUUAAUGUGGUUUAGUUGGUGGAUUUAGUGUUGUAUUAAGUCAAAACUAAAUUUGUUAAAGUUGUUAAGUUGUUUAAAUAAGUUAAAUUAAUUAAUGUGGUUUAGUUGGUGGAUUUAGUGUUGUAUUAAGUCAAAACUAAAUUUGUUAAAGUUGUUAAGUUGUUUAAAUAAGUUAAAUUAAUUAAUGUGGUUUAGUUGGUGGAUUUAGUGUUGUAUUAAGUCAAAACUAAAUUUGUUAAAGUUGUUAAGUUGUUUAAAUAAGUUAAAUUAAUUAAUGUGGUUUAGUUGGUGGAUUUAGUGUUGUAUUAAGUCAAAACUAAAUUUGUUAAAGUUGUUAAGUUGUUUAAAUAAGUUAAAUUAAUUAAUGUGGUUUAGUUGGUGGAUUUAGUGUUGUAUUAAGUCAAAACUAAAUUUGUUAAAGUUGUUAAGUUGUUUAAAUAAGUUAAAUUAAUUAAUGUGGUUUAGUUGGUGGAUUUAGUGUUGUAUUAAGUCAAAACUAAAUUUGUUAAAGUUGUUAAGUUGUUUAAAUAAGUUAAAUUAAUUAAUGUGGUUUAGUUGGUGGAUUUAGUGUUGUAUUAAGUCAAAACUAAAUUUGUUAAAGUUGUUAAGUUGUUUAAAUAAGUUAAAUUAAUUAAUGUGGUUUAGUUGGUGGAUUUAGUGUUGUAUUAAGUCAAAACUAAACUAGUUAAAGUUGUUAAGUUGUUUAAAUAAGUUAAAUUAAUUAAUGUGGUUUAGUUGGUGGAUUUAGUGUUGUAUUAAGUCAAAACUAAACUAGUUAAAGUUGUUAAGUUGUUUAAAUAAGUUAAAUUAAUUAAUGUGGUUUAGUUGGUGGAUUUAGUGUUGUAUUAAGUCAAAACUAAACUAGUUAAAGUUGUUAAGUUGUUUAAAUAAGUUAAAUUAAUUAAUGUGGUUUAGUUGGUGGAUUUAGUGUUGUAUUAAGUCAAAACUAAACUAGUUAAAGUUGUUAAGUUGUUUAAAUAAGUUAAAUUAAUUAAUGUGGUUUAGUUGGUGGAUUUAGUGUUGUAUUAAGUCAAAACUAAACUAGUUAAAGUUGUUAAGUUGUUUAAAUAAGUUAAAUUAAUUAAUGUGGUUUAGUUGGUGGAUUUAGUGUUGUAUUAAGUCAAAACUAAACUAGUUAAAGUUGUUAAGUUGUUUAAAUAAGUUAAAUUAAUUAAUGUGGUUUAGUUGGUGGAUUUAGUGUUGUAUUAAGUCAAAACUAAACUAGUUAAAGUUGUUAAGUUGUUUAAAUAAGUUAAAUUAAUUAAUGUGGUUUAGUUGGUGGAUUUAGUGUUGUAUUAAGUCAAAACUAAACUAGUUCAAGUUAUAAAGUUGUUAAUUUGUUUUAAAUAAGUUAAAUUAAAUAAUGUGGUUUUGUUGAUGGAUUUAGUUGUUGGAAUUAAGUCAAAACUAAACUAGUUCAAGAGUUAAAGUUGUUUAAAUAAGUUAAAUUAAUUAAUGUGGUUUAGUUGGUGGAUUUAGUGUUGUAUUAAGUGAAAGCUAAACUAGUUAAAGUUGUUAAGUUGUUUAAAUAAGUUAAAUUAAUUAAUGUGGUUUAGUUGGUGGAUUUAGUGUUGUAUUAAGUGAAAGCUAAACUAGUUAAAGUUGUUAAGUUGUUUAAAUAAGUUAAAUUAAUUAAUGUGGUUUAGUUGGUGGAUUUAGUGUUGUAUUAAGUGAAAGCUAAACUAGUUAAAGUUGUUAAGUUGUUUAAAUAAGUUAAAUUAAUUAAUGUGGUUUAGUUGGUGGAUUUAGUGUUGUAUUAAGUGAAAGCUAAACUAGUUAAAGUUGUUAAGUUGUUUAAAUAAGUUAAAUUAAUUAAUGUGGUUUAGUUGGUGGAUUUAGUGUUGUAUUAAGUGAAAGCUAAACUAGUUAAAGUUGUUAAGUUGUUUAAAUAAGUUAAAUUAAUUAAUGUGGUUUAGUUGGUGGAUUUAGUGUUGUAUUAAGUCAAAACUAAACUAGUUAAAGUUGUUAUGUUGUUUAAAUAAGUUAAAAUAAAUAUUGUGGUUUAGUUGGUGGAUUUAGUUGUUGUAUUUAGUCAAAACUAAACUAGUUAAAGUUGUUAAUUUGUUUAAAUAAGUUAAAUUAAAUAAUGUGGUUUUGUUGAUGGAUUUAGUUGUUGGAAUUAAGUCAAAACUAAACUAGUUCAAGAGUUAAAGUUGUUUAAAUAAGUUAAAUUAAUUAAUGUGGUUUUGUCAAUACUAAACUAUUUUUAGGACUAGUACUAGUAAAAUUAUUAUUAAAUUUUAUUUAUAAUAUAAUUGAAUAUCUAUAUUUUUGUAGAUGGAUCAUCGUUUGUGGAUGUAUAAUAUGCAUUAUGAAACUGGUGCUGGUUUGAAACCUGAGUUUAUUGACGGUGUUAGAAAUUUUAUUGAACAUACAAUGACACUUGACAUUUUCAAGAUUAAUGGAUUGGUUAGGUGUCCUUGUAGUGCAUGUAAGUGCUUAGAAGGUAUUGGAUCAUCACUUCAAGCUGAGGCACUUGACGGUGUUCAGAUUGCUGCUAUGUCGGAUCAAAUAGCUAAACUUACAGAGGCACUAGCAGAGUCGGAGCGGAAAAAGAGUAGCUGAACAACAAAGCAUAAGUGAGACCGUUCAGCAAAUCAAAGAACAAGUGAUGAACCUCGCUCGUCGACCUAGUACUUCGGCUCCCGAUGACACCGACGACGAGAGUGAUGAGGAUGAUUAUGUAGAUCUCACUCCCUAGUUUAGAUCUCUGGACAUUUAUGAACUUUUUGAAAUUUUAAAACGAAUUUUAAAAGACUUUAUAAGUCUUUAAUUUAUGAUUUAGAUACUUUUGAAUGUUAUUUUAAGUUUGUUAUUUUAUGUUUUGUUUAGAUUGUUUAUAAUUGUGUGUUUGAUUGAGCUAAAUAGUGUAGAAUUGAAUUGAAUUGCAUUUGCAGGUGGGCAGCAGAAGCUGCGAGCUGCUACUGUCAAAAAUAUUGCAGAAAAAAGCGACGGACAGCGUGGUUUUGUCCGUCGCUUUUUUAAGUUUUUAAAAAUAAAAUUUCCAGAAAAGCUACGGACAGUGUCCUUUUAUUCGUCGCUUUUCUGGAAUUUUCAAAAAAUAAAUUUCCAGAAAAGCGACGAACUGCGUCCCCCUUUAGAAAUUAAAAAAAAGAAAAUUAAAAUAAACAGACGCAGUCCAUCGCUUUUUAAAAAAAAUUCAAAAAAAAAAGUAAAAAAACGACUCAGUCCGUCUCUAAAAGCAACGCAGUCCGUUGCUUUUCUGGGAUUUUAAAAAAAUAAAUUUCCAUAAAAGCGACGGACUACGUCGCUCUUUAUAAAUUAAAAAAAUUGAAAAUUAAAAUAAAGCGACGCAGUCCGUCGCUUUUUUUAAAAAAAAUCAAAAAAUAAAAUAGUAAAGAAGCGACUCAGUCUGUCGCUAAAAGAGACGCAGUUCGUCCCUAAAAGCGACACAAUCCGUCGCUCUUCUAGCGACGCAGUCCGUCGCUUUUUUUGCGAUGCAGUCCGUCGCUUUUUUAAAAACGACGUUGUCCGUCGCUUUUUGAAAACCGUCGAGCUAAAAAGCAACGGAAGUGACUGUGUCGCUUUUCCGUCAAUUUUGACCAAAAAAGCGACGCAGUCCGUCGCUUUUGGUCGUCUUUUUUUGACAAUUUUUUAGUAGUGUUCACACAUGGAAAAGAUUGAAUUCAUUAUAACUAAUGUAAAUUAGAGUUAUUCACUACACCCAAUACUCAAAUUCAAUUGCACACCCCUAGAAUUGGGGUUUUAGCCACUCAUAUGAAAAUUAAAAUAAGAUAUACCAAAAAGGUUGUUCUCCAUUGGAAAUGGUUUAUUCAAACUUCAAAUUCAAAAAAUCCCCUGGAAAAAAAUUUCCAAAAUCAAUUACAAAAUUGCUAAAUCUCAAAAUCAUUAGAAGGUUCAUGUGUACUGUAAUUUCAUAGAUGAAAGAUAUUUUUAUCUUUCUUCAAAGCUAUUUAUACUUCGCUAAAAUCGAAUAAAAUUUGUAUUCAGACUCGUUCGACGACAUUAGUCCGGCACACCAACUAACUUGGCGAGACUCCGACUUCAUCUUCUUCUCAUUUUUAAUCUUUGGCUUCAAGGCUUCAGGUGUUGAACAACAUUUGGCGACCCCAAUGGGCAUCACCGUUCAGGCUCGAUGAGUCAUUGAGUAUCACCUUAGCUUGCCAACUUGUUCUAAAUAAUUAGCAGAACUUUCAGAAAGUUUUGGCAAAAGUAACCUAUACUCGUCGACCUAUUUGGCGAGUAACCGAUUGAAUUUUCAUUUCUCCGAUAUUCUUUGAAAUUUUAGUAGAACUCUCUAGCAACGUUGGAGACUUCAAAUUCCCUUGCCGAGUGAGUUAGUCGCCUUUUGGUCUCUCAUCUCGUUGACCUGCUUUGAGAGAGGUAUGGCCAUCUUGGAGAACUGCCAACUACUCUUGGAGAGUUUCAACUUCACUUCUGCUUUGUUUUUAUAUGUUUUAAGGCUUGUUUAUGCAUACAUUUUGUAACACCCCGUAUGCUAGAAUUAUCAAAAUGUAGAUUUUCAGAAGUUGCAGGUGCCACCGACGGGCACCACCCACGGUCUGUCCCGGUGGUCUGUGGUUCACCACCUGCAACCCCCUCCUAGAACCCCCCGUAAAAUUCAUCUAAGGGUCAACCUAUGAUGGGACUAUGUACCGUAGGUCAGACCACAGUCCGUGGUCCAGGGCCGUAGGUCAGACCCUCAAAUUUCAACUCUCUGAAGCCAAAUGGUGGCCGACCAAAAUGGACCGUCGGUCCUCCCACGGUUUUUCGGUCUGGUCCGUCGGUGACCCCCGAUAGCUUUUAAGUCAGGGGUCGUUUGGUCUUUUCCCUAUGUGCUGGACCCUUAAACUACAUCGUUUAACCCCUAAACUAUGUGGUUUUAGUUAGUUUUAGCCUAUUAAACUAAUUAGAACCUAAACUAAUCAAUUUUUCAUCAAAUCAAGCGAAACUUAGAGCAAAAAUCAGAGAAAAAGUCGACCAAGCCCUAGUUUAAGAAUGCAACGAGGUUUCGUCAGUUCCAGCCCCGAUAUCAAAAGAUUUCUCCGUGAGAUUCGUCACCAAUUAUGUGGUAUUUCACUAGUGGGUUCCUUUCACCCAUUAGGUCCCUAGAUUUCAGUCAGAAUCUUGAUUCCCAUAAUAUUAUCUAGACCUAAGGUUCCUUGAAUAUUAAGAAUUGUUUGGUUUUAGCUGUUAGAAUGAUCCAAAUCAGAUUGUCAUAUUGUUGCUUAGUUUAUUGUAUGAUAUUCAGAAGCCUAAUGAGUCCUGGGUUUGGACUCAUUAAAGGCUUUAUUUAGAAAGAUUUUGUGUCCUCAAAUGCUUAAUUUGUGCCAUACACUGACGAUAAAUCCUUGAUUUUAAGGUACAUGGAUUGAAAAACAAAGCAAGGACACUAACAUGCAAAAAGGAACAAAACAAACUACAGAAAUAAAGAAAGGCAAGUGUGGUGAUCGGCAAGGGCAUUUGGCAAAUCGCCGAGUGGCUAUCUAACCGCCUAAAGUUCAAGUGUGCCAAGCCUUAAAGGAAAGAACCAAUUCGGCGACGAAAAGGAGCAGUCAGCGGAUCGCCGAGUAGUUGCACGAAGCCAAGAUAGAUCGCCCAAAGUUACAGACCUUGAGUAUGCUGAAUGUCAAGGCAAAAAGGCGAUGGAAGGGGUCAAAGGGCGGCUUGACGAGUGGUUCGGCGAGCCCGACUUACUUCGCCGAAGAGCCCUUCGUGGCUUAUUUUUGGCAACUAAAAAUAAUAUUUUGAAUAUUUAGUUUAGGAUCUGAUUUUUGGACAUCUAUUUUCCAUUUGAAACAUUUUUAGAACAGUUUUCUCUGAAGAUUUUCUUAGUUUUUAAAGAACCUUAGAGAUUCAAUUUGGAGAUUUUGGAAGUUCGUUUCAGAUUUUCUUCAAAUUGAGUAUUGUAAAGACAAAAUCUCUCUUACCCAAUAGAUGGCUAAUCGAUUUGGUAAUAGUUAUUACCUUUUUAUGAUGCUUGGCUAAAACCCCAAUUCUUGGGGUGUGAUCAUGUGAUUAUGGGCUGAAUUAGUUUAUGGGUAUUUCUAAUUACUAGUUUAAAUGUUAUUUAAAAGUGAGUUUAAUAAUUAAUCGUGGUUUAAUUUAAGAAUUGUAGUUGCAAAUGUAGUUCUUUAUUUGUGUUCUUGGCUUGCUCGAGAGAGAGGUUUUAGAACUAAGAUUAUUGAUUGAUGGUUUGUGGGUAUUGGGUUGAUCUGGGUUUAGCUCGAGAGAGUGAAUCCUAAACCCAAUCCCAUACAUUUAGCUUAAGAGAGUGAAUGAAUUAAGGUGUGGGCUUUUCUUCAUUGUCGUGCUUGUUGAUGUUCGAAAGAAAUCACCUGAUUCGGGGUAGUUGUUCGAGAGAAAGCUAUCUCCCUUAUAGUCUAGCCUACUCACUGAUAUUUAGCUAUUUACUAGUAGUUGCAAUUACCCAUAUGCCUAUAUUUUCCUAUAAUCGAUCACAUCCCAAGAAUCUUUUUCCUAAUUGUUAUUUCAAACCAUUUGUGUCUGUUUGUAGUUGAUAAUUACAACCAAAUCCCUCCAUUUGACAUUUGUGUCACUCCUUUAAUUUGAUAUGUCUUUUUUCGAUAAUGUUAAUUCCUAUGGCUAUUUAGACCGCAUUCAUACUUUUUAAUUGAAUUCUAAUUAUGUAUCGCUCCCUGUGGGAUUCGACCCCAACUCAUUUAGUUGGGUAUUAUACUGAUUUACGAUCGUUGACACUUAGAAUUGGAAGAAGUGUCUUUGAAAUGUUAUUAAUCAAACUGGCUCCGCUGCCGGGGAUCAUCCUUGUUGUGAGGGAAUUUGAGUACUUUUGUUGAGCUUGAACUUGCAUUUGAAGCAAGUAUUGUGAAUAUGAGCAUCUUUGAUAAUGGUGAGUCACAAUUUGAAUCUUUGAGUGCACAAUUGAUCAUUGUACGAGUAAGUUGAGUCUUGUUGUGUGCAUUCAUGUUGAGUCUUAUGCAGCACUAUUUGAGACAUCCUUUUUGAACUGCUGAACUUGAGUUUUACUUGAGGACAAGCAAAAGUAUAAGUUGGGGGUGUUGAUGAGUCCUGGGUUUGGACUCAUAUAGGGCUUUAUUUAGAUAUAUUUAGUGUCCUCAAAUACUUAAUUUAUGCCAUAAACUGAUGAUAAAUACUUGAUUUUCAGGUACAUAGAUUGAGGAACAAAGCAUGGACAGUAACAUGCAAGAAGGAACAAAACAAACUGAAAAAAUAAAGAAAGAAAAGCUUGGUGAUCGCCAAGGGAAUUUGGCAAAUCGCCGAGUAGCAAUCUGACCGCCUAAAGUUCCAGUGUGCCAAGACCUGAAGGAAUGAACCAAGUCGGCGAUGAAAAUGUGCAGUCGGUGGAUCGCCGAGUAGUUCCGUGAAGCAAAGAUAGAUCGCCCAAACUUACAAACCUUGAGGAUGCUGAAUGUCAAGGCAUAAAGGCGAUGGAAGAGAUCAAAGGGCGGCUCACCGAGUGGUUCGGCAAGCCCGACUUACUUCGCCGAAGUGCCCUUCGUGGCUUAUUUUUGGCAACUAUAAGUAAGAAUUUGAACAUUUAGUUUAGGAUCUGAUCUUUUGACAUUCUUUCCAUUGAAACAUUUUCAGAACAGUUUUCUCUGAAGUGUUUCUUUGUUUUUGAAGAACUUUAGAGAUUCAAUUUGGAGAUUUUGGAAGUGGGUUUCAUAUUUUCUUCAAAUUGAGAAUUGUAAAUACAAAAUCUCUCUUACCCAGAUGAUGGCUAAUCGAUUUGGUAAUAGUUUUUACCUUUUUAUGAUACUUGGCUAAAACCCCAAUUCUUGGGGUGUGAUCAUGUGAUUAUGGGCUGAAUUAGUUUAUAGGUAUUGCUAAUUACUAGUUUAAAUGCUAUUUAAAAGUGAGUUUAAUCAUUAAUCGUGGUUUAAUUUAAGAAUUGUAGUUGCAAAUGCAGUUCUAUAUUUGUGUUAUUGGCUUGCUCGAGAGAGAGGUUUCAGAACUAAGAUUAUUGAUUGAUGGUUUGUGAAUAUUGGGUUGAUCUGGGUUUAGCUCGAUAGAGUGAAUCCUAAACCCAAUCCAACACAUUUGGGUCGAGAAAGUGAAAGGUGUGGGAUGUUCUUCAUUGUCGUUCUUGUUGAUGUUCGAAAGAAAUCACCUAAUUUGGGGUAGUUGUUUGAGAGAAAGUUAUAUCCCUUAUAGUCUAGCCUACUAACUGAUAUUUAGCAAUUACUAGUAGUUGCAAUUACCCAUAUGCCUAUAUUUACCUAUAAUCGAUCACAUCCCAAGAAUCUAUCUUCCUAUUGUUAUUUCAAAACGUUUGUGACUGUUUGCAGUUAAUAAUUACAACCAAAUACCCACAUUUGACAGUCAUGUCACCCCUUUAAUUUGGUGUCUUUUUUCGAUAAUGUUUAUUCUUAUAGUUGAUUAGACCGCAUUCAAACUUCUUAAUUGAAUUCUAAACACGUACCGCUCCCAAUGGGAUUCGACCCCAACUCAUUUAGUUGGGUCUUAUACUGAUUUACGAUCGGUUUACACUUGGAAUUCGAAGAAGUAUCUUUGAAACGUUAUUAAUCAAACCCUAGAUAUGUAGUUCUUUUAGUUCAUGAAUUACAUAUGCUAGGUCAGUUAUUUCAAAUAUAUAUACAUGCUUCAGUUACGAAUGUCACAUUAUCAGUUAUAAUUGUUGCAUUCUCAGAUUUUGGAUGUUAGUAUUUUGAGCUAUCCAGUAUUACAAAAAUUCAGUCAUAAAUUGUUAAUUACAUAUUCAAUUGGGAGUAGCUUAAUACCGAGUGGAUUAGGUUCAGUCACCCUCAAAUCCCAAAACUACGUGCCCCGUAGGUUAAGUCCCUUAUGUUGGGCAUUACAUUUUAGUGAUCACGCGAGUCAUGCCUCUAUACCUCUGGCAGGGUAUAUUGGGUCCUCUCAAAGGGGCGUAUACAUCGGACUCCACAUUUAGCUCAUAUGGUUUUAUGUCGGCUAUUAGUAGCUCCCACAGUCAGAUUCUAGUGCAUUGACAAGGUUAUCAGUUACAGUUCAGUAUUCAGUUUCAGCAUGUUAUAAACUUGGUCAUUGCAUUCAGUUUGUUCAUGUUCAGUAUUAUCCGUAUAGUAUCAUGCUUAUCUCAUAUCAUUGCUCAGUUAUAUGCUUUGUUCAAUUAUGUUAUUGUUCAGCUUUACUCUAUCCUGCAUGCUCAGUACCUUUCAAGUGCUGAUGCAUACUCUGUGCUACAUCUUCUCGUGAUGUAGGUUCAAGUUCUCAGAUUAUAGAUCAUGCAUAGAUCGGUUCCCGAGCUUCAGCUCAGCAACAUCAGUUGUGAGUCCUCAUUAUCUGAGAAUGACAUACAUGUUUUCUUUCUAUUUUUAGUCUUUAGUUUCAGUUUUUGCUAUAUCUAGCUUAGGCAUGUCCCAACAUUUCUAGUCAGUUAGAGGCUUUAUUUCAGACAUAGUUUAGUUUCAGUUUUAUCUUUGGAGUUUGAUAUUUCAGUUGUCAUUGAACUCAUAGAUUAUUUAUUCAGAUCAGUAUUGGGUACUCCCCAUUUUCAGUUUAUGAUAUGUUUCUAGCUUCCGCACAGUAUGUCUAUCUUGUUGAAAAUCUUUAAGAAUGCUUAUGAUAUGCCAACAGGGUUAGCUUGGCGUCACUCGUGAUCCUAGAUCCUGUGUCCGCAUCCUAUGGGUAGCUUCGGGGAGUGACAAACUUGGUAUCAAAGAACUAGGUUCAAGAGUCCUAGGAUGUCUGAAAAGCCGCACUAAGUAGAGUCUUUUUCAUGGGUGUGAAGUGCACCACAUCUAAUGAGAGGGAGGCCAUGAAGUGUUUUAGGAAACCUUCAGUUUCUUGAUAUUCUUAUCGUCUGAAAGGUAUGAUCUCUUUCUAAUCCAUCGUUAUGCCCUUUCAGAUCAUGCCUCCUCACAGAGCUUACGGAUGGAAUGCCCGCAACGCUAAUGCAUCUCCUCCAGUCGCAGAUCAAGAAGUUUCGAAUGCAGAGUUCCAAAAUGCCAUUCAGUUUCUGGCUCAGAGUGUGACCAACCAGAACAACCAGCAAGUUCCAAUUUCUGCAAAUACUAGUGGCGGGUCAGUAGCAGCCAGGGUUCGUGAUUUUGUUAGGAUGAAUCCGCCUGAGUUCUUAGGAUCGCAGAUUGGUGAGGAUCCCCAAAACUUAAUAGAUGAGGUCAAGAAGAUCUUUAGAGUGAUGCAAGUGACAUGUAAUGAUAGGGUAGAGUUGGCAUCUUAUCAGCAUAAGGAUGUAACUCACAUCUGGUAAACUCAAUGGAAAGAAAAUAGUGGUACGGAUGCGGCUCUCAUCACUUGGGAAUGCUUUAGUGAGACUUUUCUGGAUAGAUUCUUCCCAAGAGAGUUGAGGAAGGCAAAAGCUCAGGAGUUCAUGAAUUUGAGGCAAGGUAGCAUGUCAGUCCAAGAGUACGGAUUCAAGUUCACCCAGCUCUAUAGAUAUGCUCCUCACAUGGGGUAUUCGACCUAGUGAAAACCGAGUGUAGGAAUGCUAUGUUGCUAGAAAAUAUGAACAUUUCUAGGCUCAUGACUUAUGCUCAGCAGGUUGAGGGGGAUAAGCUUAGGGAAAAUGCUAAGGAGAAUAAGAAGGCUAGAAUAGGCAAAUAUGAGUAUUCUCAACAGAUAUCUGGUGGUGGUGCAGUUUCAGCAAAAGUCUUCAGCUUCAAUACCUUCAUCAGCUAGUACUCCAUCUUCCAGGUUUCGAAAGGAUCAGAAAGAUUGGGCAUCAUGAUCUAAGUCGCAGGGGGAGUGUUUCAGGUACUAGGACCUACCCAACUUGUCCCAAGUGUGGUAAGAACCAUCCGGGUGAGUGUCUUGCAGGAAAGAAAAGAUGUUUUGGGUGUGGUCAGACUGGUUACAGGUUGAAAGAUUGUCCUUCUUCUAAACAGGGUCAAUGAGGCAAUAAUGGUAGGGCUCAGUCCACUACACCAUUUUAGACAUAAGGUUACACUAAAUCUGGACAACACUUGUAAAGUGUUGCCUAAAAUAUUUGUAGCUACACUUUUAAAGCAUAACCUUAGUUUUUACCUUUUGACUACAAUAUUUUUGGCAACGUUUAUAAAGUAUACUCUUUAAUGGUAUAGGCUACUACUUUAUAAGUGUAGUCAUAUCAUGACAUAAUUAGCAACUACCUAUUUACACCUAUUCUUACACUUUUAAAGUGUGCUAUUUUAUAAUUUUAAAAACAACACUUUACAAGUAUGGCCUUAUAAUUUUCUUAAAAAUUUCACCAAAAUAAUAUAUUCCCUCCCAUAUAUUCAACUCUCCCUCCAAUUUCUAAUUGGCAAAAAAAAGAACUCUCAACACAAACAUAAAAACAAUUUUGCCCAAAUAAAAAAACUCCCUUAGCUGUCAAUUGCCUUUAGCACUAUUCAUAAAUUAAACCCUAAACCCUAACUUUCUCUCCUUCUCAUCAUUUUCUCUCCAAAAUUCUCCAUUGUAACCUUAUCGAUAGUAGGCGGAGAUUUCCAUAACCCUUCUUCACCUUGGUCCGACAGACGGGAGAAACAAUUUGAAGAAUUCCAAAUUUAGAGGAACCGAAGAAUCUAUGAGCAGUGGUGAUGAAGAUAGAUUUUGUCACUCGGCGAACAUGUAAACCUUCUUCUCAUUCAUCAUUCUCACCGUGUUGGAUAUUGGUGUUUGCUAGAAUUUAGCAUGAACAUCAGUUAUUGUAAACUAUGUUCUUUGUUCUUUCUGUUUGUUGGUCCUGCUGUUACAAUAUAAAUCAAUGAGUAUGUAAGCGUUUGAUUCUAUCUUUCUUAGAAAUCACUGGUUUUGACACCUUCAUUCUACUUCUGAAGUUCUUGAAUUUGUACUUCGUUUUCAUUCUAUUUAUGAUGUUGUUGAAUUUGUACUACGUUUUCCUUUUAGUUGCUCUUAUUCAUAUAUCUUUGUUAAUUUUGAGGAAUUUUGAUUAUUUAAUCACACGCCUCUUAUGAGAAUAAAUGUGCAUUGAUGUAGCUUCUGUUUUAUACAAGUGAUAUGCCCAAAGUUCGACAGCUCAAGAGGUACAAUUUUUUUAUUAUUGCUAGACAAUAUUAGUAAGAAAUAUAUCGUAACAUUGAAAAUGACUUUCGUUAUAAUAUUUGCAUAUUUCCAUUGUGUAAUAUCAUUGUCUAAUAACUAAGAACAGUCCACUAUAAAAAGAAAGAGCAGACAGAAAACAAUGAAGAAGCUGCACAAAUAUAGUAAUAGUUUGCUUGCAAAAAUUUCUAAGAAGUCAAAUUUGGGAGGGCAUAGGAAGAGUCUUUAUGAGCACUCUGAUUUUGUUUGUACAGUUUGUUUGGCAGUUCAGUGGCUUAGUCUUGGAGAACCAGUUAUUGCUCUAUUAUAUUGAAUCAUGUAUAUCAAUUGGUUUCAAAGUGUAUAUCAUCUCAUGACACAACCCAUUGAUAUAAGAACUUGAUAGUGAGAGGAUACUGAUACGAUUUGGUGUCAGCCCACACUAGCAGCCUGGCAUUUGCAGUAAGUUCCCAACAUGUAUUAAUUAAUGUACAUUGCAAAUAAUAAAUGUGUACUGAUCUGCUUCAAUCUUGUGUUGUGUUAUUGCCAGAAUCUUGCAAUAUUCAAUGCCUAUGUAGGAUGUUACUUGUUGAGAUCAGUCCCCUUGAAGAGUAAUGGGGUGCGCGAUUUUUGUCUACCAGGUUGGAAAAAAGAAGAAGUAGAAGGGCAUCAUCCCUGAGGUCAGCAUAUUUGUCCCCUCAAUGCGUGUUCCUGCUCAAUGUGAUCUACAGAGGACACUAAAGGGUGUCAUUCCUAAGGAUCUUGCUNNNNNNNNNNNNNNNNNNNNNNNNNNNNNNNNNNNNNNNNNNNNNNNNNNNNNNNNNNNNNNNNNNNNNNNNNNNNNNNNNNNNNNNNNNNNNNNNNNNNNNNNNNNNNNNNNNNNNNNNNNNNNNNNNNNNNNNNNNNNNNNNNNNNNNNNNNNNNNNNNNNNNNNNNNNNNNNNNNNNNNNNNNNNNNNNNNNNNNNNNNNNNNNNNNNNNNNNNNNNNNNNNNNNNNNNNNNNNNNNNNNNNNNNNNNNNNNNNNNNNNNNNNNNNNNNNNNNNNNNNNNNNNNNNNNNNNNNNNNNNNNNNNNNNNNNNNNNNNNNNNNNNNNNNNNNNNNNNNNNNNNNNNNNNNNNNNNNNNNNNNNNNNNNNNNNNNNNNNNNNNNNNNNNNNNNNNNNNNNNNNNNNNNNNNNNNNNNNNNNNNNNNNNNNNNNNNNNNNNNNNNNNNNNNNNNNNNNNNNNNNNNNNNNNNNNNNNNNNNNNNNNNNNNNNNNNNNNNNNNNNNNNNNNNNNNNNNNNNNNNNNNNNNNNNNNNNNNNNNNNNNNNNNNNNNNNNNNNNNNNNNNNNNNNNNNNNNNNNNNNNNNNNNNNNNNNNNNNNNNNNNNNNNNNNNNNNNNNNNNNNNNNNNNNNNNNNNNNNNNNNNNNNNNNNNNNNNNNNNNNNNNNNNNNNNNNNNNNNNNNNNNNNNNNNNNNNNNNNNNNNNNNNNNNNNNNNNNNNNNNNNNNNNNNNNNNNNNNNNNNNNNNNNNNNNNNNNNNNNNNNNNNNNNNNNNNNNNNNNNNNNNNNNNNNNNNNNNNNNNNNNNNNNNNNNNNNNNNNNNNNNNNNNNNNNNNNNNNNNNNNNNNNNNNNNNNNNNNNNNNNNNNNNNNNNNNNNNNNNNNNNNNNNNNNNNNNNNNNNNNNNNNNNNNNNNNNNNNNNNNNNNNNNNNNNNNNNNNNNNNNNNNNNNNNNNNNNNNNNNNNNNNNNNNNNNNNNNNNNNNNNNNNNNNNNNNNNNNNNNNNNNNNNNNNNNNNNNNNNNNNNNNNNNNNNNNNNNNNNNNNNNNNNNNNNNNNNNNNNNNNNNNNNNNNNNNNNNNNNNNNNNNNNNNNNNNNNNNNNNNNNNNNNNNNNNNNNNNNNNNNNNNNNNNNNNNNNNNNNNNNNNNNNNNNNNNNNNNNNNNNNNNNNNNNNNNNNNNNNNNNNNNNNNNNNNNNNNNNNNNNNNNNNNNNNNNNNNNNNNNNNNNNNNNNNNNNNNNNNNNNNNNNNNNNNNNNNNNNNNNNNNNNNNNNNNNNNNNNNNNNNNNNNNNNNNNNNNNNNNNNNNNNNNNNNNNNNNNNNNNNNNNNNNNNNNNNNNNNNNNNNNNNNNNNNNNNNNNNNNNNNNNNNNNNNNNNNNNNNNNNNNNNNNNNNNNNNNNNNNNNNNNNNNNNNNNNNNNNNNNNNNNNNNNNNNNNNNNNNNNNNNNNNNNNNNNNNNNNNNNNNNNNNNNNNNNNNNNNNNNNNNNNNNNNNNNNNNNNNNNNNNNNNNNNNNNNNNNNNNNNNNNNNNNNNNNNNNNNNNNNNNNNNNNNNNNNNNNNNNNNNNNNNNNNNNNNNNNNNNNNNNNNNNNNNNNNNNNNNNNNNNNNNNNNNNNNNNNNNNNNNNNNNNNNNNNNNNNNNNNNNNNNNNNNNNNNNNNNNNNNNNNNNNNNNNNNNNNNNNNNNNNNNNNNNNNNNNNNNNNNNNNNNNNNNNNNNNNNNNNNNNNNNNNNNNNNNNNNNNNNNNNNNNNNNNNNNNNNNNNNNNNNNNNNNNNNNNNNNNNNNNNNNNNNNNNNNNNNNNNNNNNNNNNNNNNNNNNNNNNNNNNNNNNNNNNNNNNNNNNNNNNNNNNNNNNNNNNNNNNNNNNNNNNNNNNNNNNNNNNNNNNNNNNNNNNNNNNNNNNNNNNNNNNNNNNNNNNNNNNNNNNNNNNNNNNNNNNNNNNNNNNNNNNNNNNNNNNNNNNNNNNNNNNNNNNNNNNNNNNNNNNNNNNNNNNNNNNNNNNNNNNNNNNNNNNNNNNNNNNNNNNNNNNNNNNNNNNNNNNNNNNNNNNNNNNNNNNNNNNNNNNNNNNNNNNNNNNNNNNNNNNNNNNNNNNNNNNNNNNNNNNNNNNNNNNNNNNNNNNNNNNNNNNNNNNNNNNNNNNNNNNNNNNNNNNNNNNNNNNNNNNNNNNNNNNNNNNNNNNNNNNNNNNNNNNNNNNNNNNNNNNNNNNNNNNNNNNNNNNNNNNNAAAAUGGUGGUUGAGAUCAUUUGUUUAUAUAAUUAUGUGAUUAGUGAAGAAUAUAUGCAAAUCAAGAUAAUAAUUUUUCUAUUAGAAAUUGUGACUACAAAAAAAAAAAAAAAAGGUUACACUUUAUAAGUGCACAUAAAUUGCAACAAGUAGAUAAGCAAAGGUUACACUUUGUAAGUGUUUGUGUAGAAGAGGUAUAAAAGGCAACACUUUUUAAGCGUGCCCAAUAACAAAGCAAAGACCACACUUUAAAGUGUAAUUUUAUCAAAUAAAAGUGUUGCUAUGAAGAUGCUACAAAGCGUUGCCUUAUACCUCAUUGGCCACGCUUUUAAGUGUAGCUUUUAUGACAACACUUAAAAAGUGUGGCCUAAAGUCAAAGGUUACGCCUCUUUAGGCCACCCCCGAAAAAGUGUUGCCAAAAGUCAAAAAGUGUAGCCUUAUAUCAAAGGCCACACUUUUUGUCUAGUUUAGGCCACACUUGUAGGGGUAGCGAAAAGCCUAAAAUGUUGUAGUGGUCUACUACUUCAACAACACCAGUAUGUUGCCCGACUCAGCAGAGUAACUCAUCUGGUACAGGUUGUGGUCAGCACUAAAACAGGUUAUAUGCUCUUCAGGCUCGCCAGAAUCAGGAAGAUUCUCCUGAUGUGGUCACUGGUAUAUUAUGAGUCUUUAACUUAGAUGUUUAUGCUUUGUUAGAUCCUGGGGCUACUCUCUCCUUUGUAACUCCCUAUAUAACAAUCAACUUCGAUGUUAGUCCAGAAACUCUCUCAGUCUCUACUCCAGUCGGUUACCCAAUUAUACCUAGACGGGUAUACAGAAAUUACCCUGUCACAGUCUCCCAGAAAAUCACCUCAGUAGAUCUUGUAGAGUUAGAAAUGGUAAACUUCAAUGUCAUUUUAGGCAUGGAUUGGUUACAUUCCUGUUAUGCCUCAGUCGAUUGUAGAACUAGGAUCGUUCAUUUUUAGUUUCCAGACAAACUAAUCUUAGAAUGGAAGGGUAGUAGGUUAGCGUCUAUGGGUCGAUUCAUUUCUUAACUGAAGGCUAGAAAGAUGAUUUCUAAGGGGUAUCUCUAUCAUCUAGUUCGGGUUAAGGAUUCAAGAUGCGAAACCUCAACUCUUGAGUUAGUUCCUGUAGUUAAUGAGUUUACAGAAGUGUUUCCAGAAGAUCUUCCCAGAGUUCCUCCCGAAAGGGAAAUCAACUUUGGAAUUGAUCUCCUUCCAAAUACCCAGCCUAUUUCUAUUCCUCCUUACAGAAUGUCUCCAACUGAGCUUAAGGAAAUGAAAGAGCAGUUGAAAGACCUUUUAGAUAAGGGCUUCAUCAGACCAAGUAUUUCCAAAUGGGGUGCACCAGUGUUAUUCGUGAAAAAGAAAUAUGGUUCUCUUAGGAUGUGCAUUGAAUAUCAGCAGUUGAACAAAGUCACAAUCAAGAAUAAGUACCUUAUUCCCAAGAUUAAUGACUUGUUUGAUCAUCUUCAGGGUGCUAGUCAUUUCUCGAAAAUAGACCUCAGAUCCGGUUAUCAUCAGCUCAGAUUCAGAGGUAGUGAAAUUUUGAAAACAACCUUCAGAACUCGGUAUGGUCAUUAUGAAUUUGUAGUUAUGUCUUUUGGACUAACCAAUGCUCCUGCAACUUUCAUGGAUUUAAUGCAAAGGGUGUUCAAACAGUAUUUGGACUUGUUCGUUAUCGUCUUUAUUGAUGAUAUCCUUAUUUACUCUAGGAAUGAGGAAGAACAUGCGAAUUAUUUGAGGGUUCUCCUGUAAACUCUCAAGGAUCGCCAAUUAUUCGCUAAGUUUAGCAAAUGUGAGUUUUGGUUGUAAUUCGCUUGCUUUCCUUGGGAAUAUUGUGUCUAGCAAAGGGGUCCGAGUGGAUUCUCAGAAAAUAAAAGCAGUGAAACAAUGGCCCAGACCUACCUCUCCUUUAGAUAUCAGAAGUCUCUUGGGUUUAGCUGGUUAUUAUAGAAGUUUUGUGGAAGGAUUUUCAUCCAUAGCUUCUUCAUUGACUAGGUAGACUCAGAAAAAAAAGGUUAAGUUUCAAUGGUCAGAUGAUUAUGAGAAAAGUUUUGCCGAACUGAAAACUAGGUUGACUACAGCUCUUGUCUUAACUCUACUAGAGGGUUCAAAUGGUUAUGUUAUCUAUUGUGAUGCAUCCAGAGUCGGCCUACAUUGUGUGUUGAUGCAGCGAGGUAAGGUUAUAGCUUAUGCUUCUAGGCAACUUAAAGGGAAUGAGAAGAACUAUCCAACUCAUGACCUCGAUCUUGCAGCAGUGGUGUUUGCACUUAAGAUUUGGAGACAUUACUUGUAUGGUUUUCACGUAGAUGUGUUCACAGACCAUAAAAGCCUUCAGUAUUUGUUCACUUAGAAAGAGUUGAAUCUUUACCAGAGGAGAUGGCUUGAAUUCCUCAAGGAUUAUGAUAUGAGUGUGCAUUACCAUCCAGAGAAGGCCAAUCUAGUAGCAGAUGCUCUUAGCAGACUAUCUAUGGCUAGUGUAGCACAUAUUGAGGCAGAAAGGAAAGAACUAGCAAAGGAUGUUCACAGGCUUGCUCUCUUGGGAGUUUGCCUUAUGAGCAUAUCAGAUGGUGGUGUAACAGUUCAGAAUGGGGCAGAAUCUUCAUUGGUAGUGGAGGUUAAGGAAAAGUAAGACAGUGAUCCAAUAUUGCUUCAACUAAAGGGUGCAAUUCAUCAUAAGAGAAUUGAGGUUUUUGUCCCAAAGGGGAGAUGGUGUGCUUCCCUAUCAUGGUCGAUUAUGUGUUCCUAAGGUGGGUGAGUUGAGACAACAAAUUCUUGCAGAAGCCCAUAACUCCAGGUAUUAUAUUCAUCCAUGCUCCACUAAGAUGUACCGUGAUCUGCGGGAAGUCUUUUGGUGGAAUGGCAUGAAGAGGGAUAUAUCAGAUUUUGUGGCUAAGUGCCCCAAUUGUCAGGAAGUGGAGGUAGAACAUCAGAAACCAGGAGGUAUGACCCGAGAGAUCAAUAUUUCUAUAUGGAAGUGGGAAGUGAUCAUCAUGGACUUCAUCACAGGUUUACCUCGUACUCACAAACAUCAUGACUCCAUUUGGGUGAUUGUUGACAGAGUUACUAAGUCUGCGCACUUUUUGGCUAUUAAGACUACAAAUUCAACGGAGGACUACUCCAAGCUUUACAUUAAUGAGAUAGUCAAGUUGCAUGAGGUUUCCAUGUCUAUCAUCUCAUAUAGAGGUCCUCAGUUUACCUCUCAUUUUCGGAAGUCAUUUCAGAGGUUGCAUGGGGUUCCCUUGUCUAUCAUCUCAGAUAUAUGUACUCAGGUAAAUCUCAGUACAACAUUUCAUCCACAGAUGGAUUGUCAGGCAUAGCGUACCAUUCAGACCUAAGAGGACAUGUUGAGAGCUUGUGUGAUAGACUUCAGGGGUAGUUGGGAUGAUCACCUUCCUCUUAUAGAGUUCGUGUACAAUAAUAGUUACCAUUUCAGCAGUCAGAUGGCCCCUAGUUGUAGAUCUGCAGUUGGUUGGUUUGAAGUAGGUGAAACAACCUUUAUAGGGCCAGAUUCGGUUAAUGAUGCUAUGGAAAAAGUUCAGCUCAUUAGGGAUAGACUUAAGACAGCCCAGAGUCACCAAAAGUCCUAUGCAGAUGUAAGGAGAAUGGACUUAGAGUUCCAAGUUGAUGAUUGGGUUUUCCUGAAAGUGUCACCUAUGAAGGGGGUGAUGAGAUUUCACAAAAAAGGGAAGCUCAGUCCUAGAUAUGUAGGCCCUUACGAUAUCUUGAAAAGAGUCGGUAAAGUGGCUUAUGAGUUAGAGUUGCCAGCAGAACUAGCAGCAAUGCAUUCGGUUUUUCAAAUUUCGUUGUUGAAGAAGUGUGUGGGUGAUCCAGCAUCUAUAUUACAUUUACAAAGUGCGACUGUGAAGGAUAGUCUCACUUAUGAGGAUAUGCUAGUUGAGAUUCUUGAUCGUCAAGUUCGAAGGUUGAUAAAGAAAGAAGUCGCGUCAGUUAAGUUUUUGUGGAGGAGUCAGUCGGUAGAGAGAGCUACUUAGGAAGCAGAAGCAGCCAUGAAGGCCAAGUAUCCUCAUCUCUUUCCUUCCGAUUCCACUCCAGUUUUCAGUCAUUCAUGCGUAGUUUCAGCCUUAGUAUCAUGUUCCUUCAGUUUGUACUUGCAUUUUCAGCGUAUUUACAUGUUCUUAGAACUUAGUUCAGUCAGGAUUCACUUUCCAGUACUUAGUGGUAGGGUUUGCAGCUCUUUCCCUCCGUAUUCAGUUAGUUUAGUCUUCAUUCGAGGAUGAAUGUUCCCAAGGGGGAGAUAAUGUAACAUCCCGUAUGCUAGAACUACCAAAAUGAAAAUUUUCAGAAGUUGCAGGUGCCACCGACGGGAACCACCCAUGGACCGUAGGGUGACCCACGGUCUGUCUUGGUAGUCUGUGGUUCACCACCUGCAACCCCCAGAAAAUUCGUCUAAGGGUUAGCCUACACCGGGAUCUACAGACCGUAGGUCAGACCACGAUUCGUGGUCCAGGGCCGUAGGUCAGACCCUUAGAUUUCAACUCUCUAAAGCUGAACGAUGGCCAACCAGAACGGACCGUCGGUCCUCCCACGGUCCGGCGGUCUGGUCCAUCGCCGACCCCCGACAAUGUUUAAGUCAGGGGUCAUUUAGUCUUUUCCCUAUGCGUAGGACCCCUAAACUACGUUGUUUAACCCCUAAACUACGUUGUUUAACCCCUAAACUACGUUGUUUAACCCCUAAACUACGUUGUUUAACCCCUAAACUACGUUGUUUAACCCCUAAACUACGUUGUUUAACCCCUAAACUACGUUGUUUAACCCCUAAACUACGUUGUUUAACCCCUAAACUACGUUGUUUGACCCCUAAACUACGUUGUUUAACCCCUAAACUACGUUGUUUAACCCCUAAACUACGUGGUUUUGGUCAAUUUUAGCCUAGGAAACUAAUUAGAACCUAACCUAAUCAAUUAUUCAUCAAAUCAAGAGAAAAUUAGAGCAAAAAUCAGAGAGAAAGUCAACCAAGUCCUAGUUCAAGAAUGCAACAAGGUUUCGUCAGUUCCAACCCCAAAAUCGAAAGAUUUCUUCGUGAAAUUCGUCACCGAGUAUGUGGGAUUUCACUUGUAGGCCUUUUACCCAUUGGGUCCUUAGAUUUCAAUAAGAAUCUUGAUUUCCUUAAAAUUAUCUAUACCUAAGGUUCCUUGAAUGUUAAGAAUUGUUGGGUUUUAGCUGUUAGAAUGAUCCAAAUCAGAUUGUCAUAUUGUUGCUUAGUUUCUUGUAUGAUAUUUAGAACCCUAGCUAUGUAGUUCCUUUAGUUCAUGAAUUGCAUAUGCUAGGUCAGUUAUUUCAGAUAUAUAUACAUGCUUCAGUUACGAAUGUCACAUUAUCAGUUAUAAUUGUGGCAUUCUUAGUGUUUGCAUGUCAGUAUUUUGAGUUAUCCAGUAUUACAAAAAAUCAGUCAUAAAUUAUUAACUACAUAAUCAAUUGGGAUUAGCUUAAUACCGAGUGGACUAGGGUCAGUCAACCUCAAAUCGUAGAACUACGUGCCCCGUAGGUUAAGUCCCUUAUGUUGGGCAUUACAUUUUUGUGAUCACGCGAGUCAUGCCUCUAUACCUCUGGACCAGCAUGCCUUUAUACCUCUGGCAGGGUAUAUUGGGUCCUCUUGAUGGGGCGUAUACAUCGGAUUCCACAUUUAGCUCAUGUGGUUUUAUGUCGGUUAUUAGUAUCUCCCACAGUCAGAUUCUAGUGCAUUGACCAGGUUAUCAAUUAUAGUUCAGUAUUCAGUUUCAGCAUAUUAUAAACUUGGUCAUUGCAUUCAGUUAAUUCAUGUUCAGUAUUCUCAGUACAGUAUCAUGAUUAUCUCAUAUCAUUGCUCAGUUAUAUGCUUUGUUCAGUUAUGUUACUGUUCAGCUUUACUCUAUACUGCAUGCUCAGUACCUUUCAAGUACUGACGCAUACUCUGCGCUACAUCUUCUCGUGAUGUAGGUUCAGGUCCUCAUCUUCCAGAUCACGCAUAGAUUUGUUCUCGAUCUUUAGCUCAGCAACAUCAGUGGUGUGUCCUCAUUCUCCGAGGAUGAUAUACAUGUUUCCUUUUUAUCUUUAGUUUUAGUUCUUGCUAGAUCUAGCUGGGGCUUGUCCCAGCAUUUCUAGUCAGUUAGAAGCUUUAUUUCAGACAUAGUUUAAUUUCAGUUUUAGCUUUGGAGUUUGAUAUUUCAAUUGUCAUUGAACUUAUAGAUUAUUUCAGUAUUCAGUAUUCCCCAUUUUUCAGUUUAUGAUAUGUUUCUAACUUCCGCACAAUAUGUCUAUUUUGUUGAAAAUCUUUAAGUAUGCUUAUGAUAUGCCAGCAGGGUUAGCUUGGGAUCACUCGUGAUCCUAGGUUCCAUGUCCGCGUCCUGGGGGUAGCUUCAAGGCGUGACACAUUUAUCCUUGCUUUGUUCUUAAGACUACAUUGUUGUAAAUCAACACUUUAGCAUCAGAAAUGGACAUAAAAGGCCAUUGGUGAAACUAUUUUGUGAACUAAAAAGCCUCAAAUGAGUUGAAAAUCUCUGACUCUUCAGUGGUUCUGUUCCUUAUCAGAGUUUGAGAGGCUCGCAAUAGGGUUCUUCAAGCUGUAAUCGUCAAUCUUCUCAGGUUCAUACUUGUCAAGUUUUUUUUUAAAGUUUUGCGAUCUUAGACUCUAUUCUAAGGAUUAUUCCCGAAGAGGGAUGAUUACACCUACUCCACAUUUAGUACAACCAAUUUUUGUAGUAGCACCUUUGGCUAGAGGUGAUGCCUAGGGUUAGGAUCAAUGUGGUGGUCAUUGUGGGGCUUGAGGAGGACCCCAGAGAGGUAAGCCAGGUGGUAUAUUGGAUUCUCAUUUUAGAGGUGGACAGGGCUACCUAUAUGUAACUCCAAUAAGGGUGGAGGCUAAGGCAUCGGACGAUGUCAUCAUAGGUAUGAAUUUUUUAUGCCAUUAUCCUGCCUCAUCUUUAUUUAAUAUGGUUUCUAUAUUCUCUUAUGUAUGUGUGCACAACUUAUAGGUAGUUGAACGAGGUUACAGUGAAAAUUAGGUAUCUUAUGCCUCGUAUCCAUUAUUUGUUUGAGUAGCUUCAGGAUGGUGUAGUGUUCUCUGAGAUUGAUUUGAGAUUCAUUACCAUCAAUUGAGAAUUAGGUGGUGGACAUCCGUAAUAAAGCUUUUAGGUUUUUUUACGGUCAAUAUGAGUUCCUAGUGAUGUCUUUUGGAUUAACUAAAACUAAUGUGAUAUUCUUCAACUUGAUGAAAAAAUAUGUUCAGGACUUAUAUAGACUCCUUCGUAUGGUGUUCAUUGAUGACAUCCUUGUGCUCUCAUAGAGUAGGGAAGAUCAUGAGCAACAUUUGGAGGACUGUCCUCCAAACUUUAAGAAAUCAAAGGCUUUAUGCCAAGUUCUCAAAGUGAGAAUUAAGUUUGUAGUAUUCUUGGGGAACAUAGUGUCCAGUGAUAGCAUUAUGAUUGAUUUGAUAAAGAUUGAGGCUAUUCGUGAUUGAGCUAAGACCAUUUGAAUUACUAAGAUUUGGAGCUUCGUCUGAUUAGUUGGUUACUAAAUAUGAUUUAUGAAGCAUUUCUCAUCUAUUGCAUCAUUCUUUGACCUGAUUGACUCAUCUUGAUAUUCCUUUUGAGUGGUAAGAUGAGUGUGAGUUGAGCUUUCAAGGGAUCAAGGGGUUGCUUACUCUUACUCAUGUUCUGACUCUUCCAGUUGAGGGUGAGGGGAUCAUAGUGUAUUGCGAUGCAUUUGGCAAUUGUUUGGGUUGUGUAUUGAUGAAUCAUGGUCGUAUGAUUGCAUAUGUGUUGUGGUAAAUUAAGGUACAUACAUGCAACUACCCCACUCACGAUUUGGAGUUGGCGGUGGUAGUAUUUUCGCUGAAGAUUUGGAGGCAUUACUUAUAUGGAGUCCGAUGUGAGAUCUAUACUGAUCACAAGAGUUUGCAGUAUAUUAUGAGCCAUAAGGACCUUAAUUUGAGGUAGCGUAGAUGGAUGAGCUCCUGAAGGACUACUGAUGAGUCCACAAAUUGGACUCAUUUAGGGAUAUAUUUUAAUAGAAAUUGUGUCCUCAAAUGCUUAUUUUAUCUCAAUAUUAGAUGAAAACCCUUAAGUUUUAGGUAUUUGAAGUUUGAAGGAAAGCAUGGACACUACAUCACAAAAAGGAACGAAAAGGGUGAAAAGAAUGAAGAAAUAAAGGCCUGACGAUCGCCGAGUCCACUUGGCGAGUCACCGAAGGGUCUUACUUCGCCUUUUGUUCCAGUGUGCUGAACAUUGAAGGAAAGGAUCAAGUCAGCGAAAAAAGAAAGCAGUCGGUGCAUCGCCGAGAAGUUCCGCGAAGCUAUACCAUGUCGCCUAAUGACACAGAGCGCGACAAUGCUGAAGACUGGUGCAAGACGGCGAUGAACUACACCAAAGGGUAAAUCACCGAGUUGAUCAGCAAUUUCGACUAACGACGCCGAAUGAUCUGCUGCAACACAAAUAUGUGAAAACUAUAAAUACUAGUUAGAGUUGUAGUUUUAAGAGUCAAACAAUUAUUAUAAUUUUCAUAUAGAAUAGUACUUUUUGAUAUUUUUGCUCUAAGCUUGAGAGGGGUUUGAAGACUUGAAGAUCCAAAGGGUUUCAUCUUCAAGAUUUUGGAUUUGGGUCUCUUGGAUUCUUUGAUUUUGGCCUGUAUCAAGAAUUAAAUCUUCAUACCUAGUUAAAUGCGAACUUAAUUUGGUAUAAAUUUCUAUCUCUUAUAUAUGCGUGGCUAAAAACCCCAAUUCUUAGGGUGUGAUUUAGCGAAUAUGGGUUAAGAUAAUUGUUGGGUCUUGCUUGCUGAUAGUUUAAUCGUAGUUUAAUUGUGAUUUUGUUUAGUAGUUGUGGAUGAAUUUAAUGAAUUUGUAUUUGCAAAUACAAGUUUAUUUAUGUGUUUUCGGCUUGCUCGAAAAAGAGGUCGUAAAAGUAAGACAACUAAAUUGAUGGCCAGUGCUAGUGGGUCGACAUUAGGUUCAGCUCGAGAGAGUGAACCCUAGUCCCAUAUCCACACACUCAGCUCGAGAGAGUGAGUGGGUUAAGGCAUAGGCUGGUCUUCAUGCGACAAGUGGGUGUCCUAGAGGAACGCAUUUGAAAUGGGGUAAGUUGCUCAAAAGAGAGCUUAUCCCCCUUAAAGUCUAGCCUAGUCACAAUUACUCUAUGAAUCUUCUAUCGAAAGCAUGUACCCAAUAAUCUAGCAUAACCCGUAUUCCCUUCACAUCCUAAGGAUCCCCUCUCAUUACUUAGAACAGAUUAAAGAUUCAGGGGUUGAGGACAAUUAUUGAGGAAAAGAGUCUGUCAACUGAUGGGGUCAUUGAUAGAUACCCAUAGAUUAUAAGCUGUCUAAAGUCUCAUAAGUUCCAGAUCUUCACCAAGCCCUGUGGCCCAUAUAUUCCAAAUUGGGUUUGUGAAUUCUACGCUGCUUAUGGGGCCUUGAUACCACAGAGGAAGAAGCAAGCAACGAGAUUCAAGCCGGUUGACUAUGUAGUUGUCUGGGGAAAGAAAGUCAAGUGUGAUAGUGAGGCUAUUAAUGAUAUCCUGGAUUGUCCUGAUGACAUUGAUGAUGAGUGCCAGCAUCUGAUCAGGACAAAGACUUUAGACAAUAUGAAGAAAUGGUUGGCCCCGCUGAUAUCAGACGGUACUCCCAAGUGGCUAGAGAUUGGAGCACCAAUUGAAAAGAAGGAUCUUAACGUAGCUGCAAGGUUCUGGUUUGGCUUCAUCAAAAGUACUAUCAUGCCAUCCCAGAACAAUUCGAUCCUCCGCCUAGACAAGGCAGCCUAUCUGGGUUGCAUCAUUGAGGAGACAAGGAUAAAUUUGGGGAUCACUAUGGCACAAAAGAUGGUCAUGAGGGCCAAGCAUCACUAGACCUCACUUCCCUUCCAGGUGUUUAUCACCGAGUUGUGGAGAUGGGCUCGGGUUCCUAGCGAUGCAAAGAAGGAUGUGGGAGUGAUUCCCAUAUCAUCUACUGAUAUCCGGAUGAUUGAGGCAGAAUAUUUAAAGGAUUAGGCGGAGAAAAAAGAGGGUAGCCCUGAUGGACUCUUCCCCAGUUGUGGACAUAGACUCACUACCUGCAGAGGCAUCUUUUCCUACUUCGGCCCCUCGGCCUUCAGAUAUCUCUAUUGUUGUCCCUUCUGACACCCCUAGUUCCUCUGCUGCUAUGUUGCCUCCCAGAGCUGUUGUUGUUGCUAUUUCCUAGACCCUGUUACUCAGGUUGCAUUACUCCGAAUGGGGCAGCUUACCCACUCUGCCAAUCGUCGUGCUGCCAAAAUCGAGGCCUCAAUUCCGGUCAUGAUUCAGACUGCCCUGGCUGAUGCUGUAACACCAUUGAGCGCUACCAUUGAUGCCCUUGCGGCUAGGAUUGCGGUGUGUGAGCGUGGCUAAGGGGCCACCGAGGAGGUGACGGCCUGAGGAUCGCCUAACCCAUUGGGCGAGUCGCUGAAUGGCCAUGGUCUAGCCUAUUGUUCCAGUGUGCCAAGCCCUGAAGGAGAAAAUCAAGUUCGCGAUAGAAAGGAGAAAUCGGCGAGUCAUCGAAUGGUUCCGGGAUGCGUGCUAGAUCACCCAAAGUUACAGAACUUGAAGAUGGUGAAGGCCAAAGCAAAAUGGUGAUAGAAUUGACCAAAAGGGCGGAUCACCGAGUGGAUCGGUGAUCCCAAGUUAUUGCGCCGAAUGGUCCUUCGCAGCAUAUUUUUGGCGACUAUAAAUACAUUUUUAAAUUCCUAGUUUAGAAUCAAGUUUUCAUUAUAGAAAUAUUUUUAUCAGUUUUGAAGUUGAGAGCUUAGAAAUGAGAGUUUGAGACAAUAUUUCCUUAGCUUUGAAGAUUUCCAUUUCUGAGAAAUUGGAAGUGGGUGUUGAAGAUUCUUCAUCUUAGACCUCUGUAAAGACAAUAUUAAUCUUACCCAGUUGAUGGAAACACAAUUUGGUAACGAAUUUUAUCUUUUUAUGAUGUCUAGCUAAAAUCCCAAUUCUUGGGGUGUGAUUAUGUGAUUAUGGGUUGAUUUAACUGCUGGGUAUUAUUAAUUGAUAUUUUAAAUGUUGUUUAAAAGUGAUUUCAUUCAGUAAUUGUGGCUUAAUCUAAAGGGUUGUAUUUGCAAAUGCAACUCUACCUUCGUGUUUUUGGCUUGCUCGAGAGAGAGGUUUAAAAACGAAGAUUACUGAAUUGAUGGUCUAUGGGUAUUGGGUUGUCAUGGGUUCAGCUCGAGAGAGUGAAUCCUAAACCAUUUUCCACACAUUCAUCUCGAUAGAGUAAAUGGAAUAAAGCGUAGGUUGUUCUUAAUUGCUGCUUAUUGGUGUUCGAGAGAAACCAAUUUGAUUCAGGGUAAAUUGUUCGAGAGAAAGUUUAUCCCCACUAAAUCUAGCUUAUUCACUGAUUUACAGUUAUUUAUUAUUAAUUACAAUCACCCAUUUGUCUACCUUAGCCCAUAAUCCAAUGGUGAGAAGGGAAAAAGACAAUUAGUCAGAGAUGUGCACUGACUUGCACGAUUGGGAGUUUGGUUGUUGGAUUCCAAUGAAGGUGGAUUGGUGGUGAUUGAUGAGUCCACAAAUUGGACUCAUUUAGGGCUAUAUUUUUAAUAGAAAAUUGUGUCCUCAAAUGCUUAUUUUAUCUCAAUAUCUGAUGAAAACCCUUAUGUUUCAAGUAUGUGAAGUUUUUAGGAAAGCAUGGACACUACAUCGCAAAAAGGAACGAAAAGGCUGAAAAGAACGAAGAAAUGAAGGCCUGAGGAUCGCCAAGUCCACUUGGCGAGUCGUCGAAGGGUCUCACUUCGCCUUUUGUUCCAGUGUGCUGAGCCCUGAAGGAAAGGAUCAAGUCGGUGGAAAAAAGGAGCAGUCGGCACAUCGCCGAGAAAUUCUGCGAAGCAGUACUAUGUCGCCCAAUGACCCAGAGCACGACGAUGCCAAAGGAUGGUGCAAAACGGUGAUGAACUACACCAAAGGGAGAAUCGCUGAGUUGAUCGGCGAUUCCAACUAAUGUCGUCGAAUGGUCAGCUGCAGCACAAAUUUUUUGAAAACUAUAAAUACUCAUUGAGAGUUAUAGCUAAGUAUCAGAUUUUUAGUGUAAAAAUCAAUUAUUAUAAUUUUCAUAUAGAAUAGUACUUUUUAUUUUUGCUUUGAGUUUGAGAGGGUUUUGAAAACUUGAGAAAGAAGAUGGUUUCAUCUCCAAGGAUUUGGACUUGGGUCUCUUGAUUUCUUCAUUCUUGGCCUAUAACAAGACUUAUAUACUCAUACCCAUUUGAAUGCAAGCUCAUUUAGGUAUAAAUUUCUAUCUCUUGAUGUGUGGCUAAACAUCCCCAUUCUUGGGGUGUGACCUAGCGAAUAUGGGUUAAUAUUGUUGUUGGGUCUUUCUUGUUUAUAGAUUAAAUGUAGUUUAAUGGUGAUUUCACCUAGUAGUUGUGGUUGAAUUUAAUGAGUUUGUAGUUGCAAAUACAAGUCCACCAAUGUGUUUUCGACUUGCUUGAGAGAGCGGUCGUGAAACCAAGACUGCUAAACUGAUGGCCUAAGGAGUGGGUCGACAUGAGGUUCUGCCCGAGAGGGUGAGCCCUAGUCCCAUAUCCUAACACUCAGCUCAAUAGAGUGAGUGGGGCAAAGCGUAGGCUGGUCUUCAUGCGGCAAGUGGGUGUUCGAGAGGAACCCAUUUGAAACGGGGUAUGUUGCUCAGAGAGAAUUUAUUCCCUGAACAGAUUAAAGAAUGAGGGGUUGAGGACAAUCAUUGUGGAGAAGCGUCUAUCCACUGAUGGGGUCAUUGACAGGUACCCAGAGAUUAUGAGUUGACUGAAGUCUCAUAAAUUCCAGAUCUUCACCAAGCCCCGUGGCCCGUAUAUUCCAAAUUGGGUUCGGGAGUUCGACGUUGCUUAUAGGGCCUUGAUACCACAAAGAAAGAAGCAGGCAACAUCAUUCAAACCUGUUGACUAUGUAGUUAUCAGGGGAAAAGGGUGCAGUGUGAUUUUACUGCCAUCAAUUUUGUUCUAGAAUGCAAUACAAGACUUGAAGAUGCCUGCAUAUGAUCAGGACAAAGACGCUGGACAAAAUGAAGAAGUUGUUAGCCCCGCUGAUAUCCGAUGGCACUACGAAGUGGUUGGAGGCAGGGGAUCCAAUAGAAAAGAAAGAUCUAAACAUAGCUGUAAGGUUUUGGUUUGGCUUCAUCAGCAGCACUAUAAUGCCAUCCCAGAACGAGUCGAUUCUCCGCCUAGCCAAGGCAGCCUGUCUGGGUUGCAUUAUCGAGGAGACAAGGAUAAAUUUAGGGACGAUUAUGGCUCAGGAGAUGGUCAUGAGGGCCAAGCAGCGCCAGACUUCCCUUCUCUUUCCGGUGUUGAUCACCGAGUUAUGCAGACGGGCUCGGGUUCCUAGAGAUGCGAAGAAGAAUGUGGAAGUGAUUCCCACAUCCUCUACCGAUAUCUGGAGGAUUGAGGCGGAGUAUUUAAAGAAUCAGGCGGAGAAGAAGAAGGCAGCCCAGGUUGUUGAUCCUCAGACAUUACCUGCAAAGCCACCUUUGCCUACUCGGGCCCCUGGGCCUUCAGGUACUUCUAGUGUUGUUCCUUCUGACAUCCCUAGUUCCUCUGAUGCUAAAUUGCCUUCCAGAGCUACUGUUGUUGCUGUUUCCCAGAACCCGCUCACUUAGGCUGCAUUACUCCGGAUGCGGCAGCUAGCCCAUUCUGCCGAUCAUCGUGCUACCAGACUUGAGGCCUCCAUUCCAAGCAUGAUUCAGACUUCCCUGGCCGAUGUUGUGACACCAUUGAGCGCUACCAUUGAUGACACGACCCAGGAUUACCCCCUAUACGUAACACGGCGUACUCGAACCCGAAGUGGUCUAAUACAAGCCCUUAGCAUCAUAACAUAGGUAAUAGAAAAGUAUGGAAAAUUUUAAACUUCUUUAAGAUACAAUCGAAAAUAUUUUCAUAAGCAAGCGAAAGUCUUUACUAAAACCUUUGUCUCAAACCAUCUAUUUAAUUUCAUGAAUAAAAGGCCUUGGGAUGCAGCCCAUACAAAAUCUAAAAACCUAGAGAAAAGACAUCAGGGAAACAUGGGUUCGUCCUCGAAACUAUGAGGACUCACCAAAUCUUCAAGUCAUUUUGCCUCUUAGAAAUCUAGCCUCCAAAGUAACUCAAGUCUCCAACCAUACAUUUGGUUAGAAUGUACGCAAUAUGUGUUAGUACAAAAUGUACCAAGUAUGAAAGCUAGCACAACAUCAUAAGAGCAUCACAAAUGGUUAGUCAACAUAAGACAUAAUCAUAAGAGAUAAUAACAUAGUCAUAGUAUAUUCAUCAUAGUCAUAGCAUAAUCAUCAUAGUCAUAGCAUGAUCUCCAACAUAAGCUUCAUAUAAACAUAAGUCAACAUAAGACAUAGUUAAUGAGAAUAGGAGACAAGUCAUAAUCAUAUAAGCAUAAUUGACUCUUAGUCAUCCAUACCAUAAUAGCACUAUUCUCAAGUAACCUCAAAAGCAUACAUGUGAAAAGCAAGAAUAGCAUCCCACAAUACUACCCGAGGCAAGUAUUCCUUUUUGGUCAUCUUAAUCAUAGUCUAUAUGUAUGGUUAAGUCUUAAGCUUCUUUACCAUAAGGGCACCAUACUUCUAGGUAACCUCAAGGCACACGUGUGCAAUGCAUGAAAGGCAUCCCAUAAUAUCCUUCACCCUAAGCAUAACCUUGAAGUCAUCCUAGUCAUAUUCACCCUCCUUUGGUCUUACUUAUAAGACUACUUCAUAAAGACAAGGGAACUACCACAUUAGUCAAUCAUAUCUUGGAAGGAAACUAUGGCAACAACCCAAGCUAAGUCAUACUACAUAAGAGAACCCUUCACAACUAGUCCCAAGUCAUACUUGUGCCAUGUAUGGAUAUCAUCCCAUACUACUACCCACACUAAGUAUUCCUUUAGACCAUCAUGAAUGUCCACUAGUUGGGGACUUGUCCCUCUUGACUAUUUGCCUCUAUUCAUAUUAGGUACUUCUCUAUUUAGUACUAGGCAAGUUAUCACACCUGAAUGACUACAAGACAUCAAUUCAAGGCUACCAAGGAAUAACACCCACUAGGCUAGACCAAGCUAAUAAUCUAACUAAAAUGACCUUACUAUGCUAAGUCAAGCUACCAUCGAGAAAUACUAUCAUACUAGUCCAAACUAUCCAAGGAAGGGUAUAAAUGUCCCAUCCUAAUCACCAUGCAAUACAUCCUAUGAUGUUAAUGCAAACUAUCCUUAGGAGAGUAUGAUUCUCAAUCCCAAGCUACCAUGAGUACAACUAAGUCAAGCUAACCUUACAAGCACACCAAGAUGGUAUUGUAAGCUAUCCUUAGGAGAGUAUGAAUCUCAAUCCCAAGCUACCAUCAGUACUACUAACUCAAGCUAACCUUACAAGCACACCAAGAUGAUAUUGUAAGUUGUCCUUAUGAGAGUAUGAAUCUCAAUCCCAAGCUACCAUGAGUACUACUAACUCAAGCUAACCUUACAAGCAAACUAAGAUGCUAUUGUAAGCUAUCCUUAGGAUAGUAUGAAUUUUAAUCUCAAGCUACCAUUAGGAGAGUAUAUGUCCUCAAUCCUAAAGCUACCAUGAAUUGGUCUUGGCCUAACCAAAUCAAGGUACCAUGAAAUGCAUUCUAACAAUGCUAGUUUAAGCUACCCCUUAGGAGAGUAUAGAUCCUCAAUCCUAGGCUACCAUGCCUAUUCUAAUGGAAGCUACCAUGAAAAGCAACCUACAAAUGCUAAUUCAAGCUAGCCUUAGGAGAGCAUAAUUCCUCAAUCCUAAUCUAUCAUGAGAUGGUCUUGUCUUACCAAGUCAAACUACACAUGAAGGCAUCCUUACAAUGCCAAGUCAAGCUAUACCUUAGGAGAGUAUAGAUCCUCCAUCCCAAGUUAUCAAUCUUGGUCUUAUCCUACUAAGCCAAGCUAUAAAUGAAGGUAACGUAUGCCACAAUUCAAGCUAUUCUAGACUAACAUGAUUUGAUUUAUUUUAGGUUCUUAAGUCAACCUAGAAUCAUUCUAUGUGAGAGAACUUGAAUCUCCUAGCAUACUCAUGUCUAUGUGUAUAAGAGAAAGAGAACACACAACAAGAUCACAUCAUAUUGACUUUACACCCAAAGCCCUAACAAUGAUGGCUACAAGCCCUAAUUUCAAGCUUAACUUCACUCUAUCAUGAUCCACGUCUAAAUUACAAGAUAUUAAAUCACAUUCUUUACUAUUAAGUGAUUCUAGUCAUAAUUGCUUCAUAAGGUUCAAUUCUAACUUUACAAGUCACGAUCCUUCCUUUUCAAUCAAGUCUAGGUCAAUUCAUUAUUAGAUGAUCCUAACUAUGAUCAAUUAGUAUUCAAGACAUUGAUUUAGGAAUAUCACUUUAGAACCUUCAACUUUGCCUCUAAUGGCAUAAACCCACAAAGAUCACAUUCAUCAAUUUAGAUUAGGGUUUACCAUAGAAAUUACAUGAAUUCAUCAUAAUAUCACUAAAAAAAAGAUAAAUCAUUCAUAAUUGGGUGAUAUCCACUAGAUUGGAAUAAACACCCAAACCCUACCCACAAUGCAAGCACAACCCUAGCUAGAAUUUGGUUUUUUAUUUCACAAGUGGGGAAACUAUGGGGGCUCCAUGGGUGGAAGAACCCAUGGAUGAUUAAGCUUCACAUACCUUUAAUCAAAGCCCUAGCACAAGCUCUCAACAAUGGACUUUGUUCUUGACCCAAGCUUAAAGCUAUAUCUUCUUCUUCAAUGGGGGUUUUCUAGAGAGAGAAAUAUUCUUUGGAGAAAAUGAAGUUGGAUUUUCUUUGGAUUCUAGGGAGAAUGACUUAAUUGAGCCAAACUUAGGUCUAAUUAAAUUAUAUACCUUCUAGGAAGGGAAUAAAAUAAUAUAGAGUCAACUUUGGGAAAGAACUAAGGACCGACCCUAAACGUUUUAACUUAAAAUUUACAGGCCUUCACAACUUUCCUCGCCCUUUGCACCCUCAUGGAUCGCCAAGGGCACUAGGUGGCUCGCCAAGUGGACCCUUGGCUCGCCCAAAUUUCCAAUAAGCCCCCUAAAGGGGAAUAUCACUUAGGCGAUGGAGGGGGUAACUUGGAGAUUCGCCAAUCCAAUUGGUGAGCCACGACUUUGCUCGCCCUUUCUCCCACAACUUAGGCCAAGGGGACUUCCCACUAGGUGGCCCCAUGUGCACUUUGGCGCAUCGCCAAGUCACUUGGGCGAUCAUGCAGCCCAAUCUCUAGCUAGGCACCUAGAAGAACAAGUUCUCUUUCACUUUACCUUGAUAGCUUAGGCCCUUGCCCACUCCCUAGACUCGACAACCCCUCAUACCAAGGCCUAAGUUAGCCUAUAAGACUAUGAGGUGUAAGACGUGCCUUGACGUUCAACUACUAAACCCCUCAUUCUGUCCACGGGAGGUCCAAUCUAUGACUCUAACUCUCAUACCAAACCUUAGAACCCUAACUUUAGGCCCUAGUUUGGUCUACUAGUUUCCGGGGUGUUACAAUAUCUCCCUCUUAGGAACAUUCAUCCUCGAAUGACGAUUCUAAACACUCCUUAAAGGAAACGAUUCUAGACUAGCAGCCCAUCAUGCAUGCAACAUAUCUAGUGCACAUAAACAAGGAGGAAAACUUCAACUCCUACUAAACAUACUCAAUGCAUGAAACUUUCAUAACCAGUCAUGUUCAAGGUGGAACUACCAUCCCCUAGUCACAACGUGCUCAACAUACUCUCAUGGAGCUCAAAAUGUAGCUUCUCAUAAAAGCAUCUAUUCAAGGAGGAACCUAUCAACUCCAAAACUAAGGCAUGCUCAUAUAAUCAAUUCAUGAAGUCUAUAUGCAAAUCUUAUUUAAAUGCAUUACAACAUAAGGAAACAAUGCAAUUAAGUCAUUUCUAACAAGACCUAAGCAUUUCAUAAACAUGCAUCAUAUAAGAACAUCAUGGAAACAUACAAUUCACACAUGACUUCACAUAAGAGAAAACCAAAAGGAACUUAUCAUCUCAAGCUUGCAUAGGAGUAGAAGGAAAGGAUGAGGACAUUGGGACAUCUCAUUGUCCCUUGGCCUCCCAAGUAGCACUCUUAACCAAACUCCUUACUAAAGAAAACUCCACACUACUUCAUGGAACAACUUCUUUGUUCUCCUAUUUCUUAAAUUGCCGGUCUAAGUCUUCUACCGAUACUUCUAAAUUAGAAAGGUUCUCACAAAGCAACUAUAGCUCACAAGUAGCCUUACUAACACCACUCAAGAUCUCACAUGAGCCUAACAAACCGAGACUAAACUUCUCAUACUUACUACACCUCUCAAGGUGAAAAUUUCUAGCAACCCUAUUUCAUGAACAUCAAGGAUACUCAACGGCCUUGCUAUCUAAGCACAUUAUCCCCCACUUGGGAGUAAGCCUAUACAAACUCUUUACAACAUCACUUCUUUCAAUUCCAAGGUCAGAGCAAGUCAUCACUAAACCUCAACCCUCAUCACACAAGGUGAUUCUAAAACACCACAUUUCAUCAACUCUAUCAACAUACCUUAAAACUCAUUAUGACUAAGCCGGGUUCUACCAACAACUAAACAUAACCACAUAAUAACCUUGCUAGGUAGGCACACUAUCUCACCUCCCCCCUCCCCCGGGAGUAAGCCUACAUAAAAUCUUCUAACAUCUUUCAUACUAAAGACAACAUCACAACCUAUCAUCUCAAAUCUACCAAGUCACAUAGCCAUAAUUGGAGUCUCAACCAACCUUUCUGCCUCACUUCGUGAAGCAUAACCCUUCUAAUAGUCACAUCCUAAAGACCACCAGAUAAGGGAUAAGAGAGAGAGAGCUUAUAGAUCUAUGGCACGACUUGGAGAAUGAAGAAGUGAAGUUUCCUAAGCAUCCAAUAGCCUCCCAUUCGUAAAAGUGACGUGAUUCACAUUUAUGAACAAGACUCUAUUAGAUGUGGUUUAAGACAAUCCUAGAACCAUUCUAAACCUUGGGCUCUGAUACCAAGUUUGUCACGACUCAGGGGUACCCUCUAGACGUAACAUGAUGUACUCGACCCUGAAGGGGUCUCACAAGCCCUUAGCAUCAUAACAUGGGUAAUGGAAAAGUGUGGAAAAUUUUAAACUUCUUUAAGAUACAAUCGAAACAUUUUCAUAAGCAAGCGGAAGUCUUUACUAAAAUCUUUGUCUCAAACCAUCUAUUUAAUCUCAUGAAUAAAAGAUUUUGGGACGCAACCCAUACAAAGUCUAAAAACAUAAAGAAAAGACAUAACGGAAACAUGGGUUCAUCCUCGAAGCUAUGAGGACUCACCAAAUCUUCAAGUCUUUUUGCCUCUUAGAAAUCUAGCCUUCAAAGCAACUCAAGUCUCCAACCCUACAUUUAGUUAGAAUGUACGCAAUAUGCGUUAGUACAAAAUGUACCAAGUAUGAAAGAUAGCACAACAUCAUAAGAGCAUCUCAAAUGGUUAGUCAACAUAAGACAUAAGCAUAAGAGAUAAUAACGUAGUCAAAACAUAAUCAUCAUACUAAUAGCAUAAUCAUUAUAGUCAUACCAUGGUCUCUAACAUAAGCUUCAUAUAAACAUAAGUCAAUAUAAGACAUAGUUAAUGAGCAUAGGAGACAAGUCAUAAUCAUAUAAUCAUAAUUGACUCUUAGUCAUCCAUACCAUAAUAGCACUAUUCUCAAGUAACCUCAAAAGCAUACAUGUGCAAAGCAAGAAUAGCAUCCCACAAUACUACCCAAGCCAAGUAAUCCUUUUUGGUCAUCUUAAUCAUAGUCUAUAUGGAUGGUUAAGUCUUAAGCUUCUUUACCAUAAGGGCACCAUACUUCUAGCUAACCUCAAGGCACACUUGUGCAAUGCAUAAAAGGCAUCCCAUACUAUCCUUCACCGUAAGCAUAACCUUGAAGUCAUCUUAGUCAUAUUCACCCUCCUUUGGUCUUACUUAUAAGCUUACUUCAGAAAGACAAGGGAACUACUACUUUACUCAAUCAUAUCUUGGAAGGCAACUAUGGCAACAACCCAAGCUAAGUCAUGCUACAUAAGAGAACCCUUCACAACUAGUCCCAAGUCAUACUUGUGCCAUGUAUGGAUAGCAUCCCAUACUACUACUCACACUAAGUACUCUUUUAGACCAUCAUGAAUGUCCACUAGUUGGGGACUUGUCCAUCUUGACAAUUUUCCUCUAUUCAUAUUAGGUACUUCUCUAUUUAGUACUAGGCAAGUCAUCACACUUGAAUGAUUACAAGACAUCAAUUCAAGGCUACCAAGGAAUAGCACCCUACUAGGCUAGACCAAGCUAAUAAUCUAACUAACAUAACCUUACUAUGCUAAGUCAAGCUACCAUGGAGACAUACUAUCAUACUAGUCCAAGCUAUCCAAGGAAGGGUAUAAAUGUCCCAUACUAAUCACAUGCAAUACAUACUAUGAUGUUAAUGCAAGCCAUCCUUAGGAGAGUAUGAUUCUCAAUUCCAAGCUACCAUGAGUACUACUAACUCAAGCUAACCUUACAAGCACACCAAGAUGCUGUUGUAAGCUAUCCUUAGGAGAGUAUGAAUCUCAAUCCUAAGCUACCAUGAGUACUACUAACUCAAGCUAACCUUACAAGCACACCAAGAUGCUGUUGUAAACUAUCCUUAGGAGAGUAUGAAUCUCAAUCCCAAGCUACCAUGAGUAUUACUAACUCAAGCUAACCUUACAAACAAACCAAGAUGUUAUUGUAAGCUAUCCUUAGAAGAGUAUGAAUCUCAAUCCCAAGCUACCAUGAGUACUACUAACUCAAGCUAACCUUCCAAGCACACCAAUAUGCUAUUUUAAGCUAUCCCUAGGAGAGUAUGAAUCUCAAUCCCAAGCUACUAAUAGGAGAGUAUUUGUCCUCAAUCCUAAAGCUACCAUGAAGUGGUCUUGGCCUAACCAAAUCAAGCUACCAUGAAAUGCAUUCUAACAAUGCUAGUUAAAGCUACCCCUUAUGAGAGUAUUGAUCCUCAAUCCUAGGUUACCAUGCCUAUUCUAAUGCAGGCUACCAUGAAAAGGAUCCUACCAAUGCUAAUUUAAGCUAACCUUAGGAGAGCAUAAUUUCUCAAUCCUAAGCUACCAUGAUAUGGCCUUGUCUUACCAAGUCAAGCUACACAUGAAGGCAUCCUAACAAUGCCAAUUCAAGCUACACCUUAGGAGAGUACAGAUCCUCCAUCCCAAGCUAUCAAUUUUGGCCUUAUACUACUAAGCCAAGCUAUACAUGAAGGUAACGUAUGCCACAACUUCAAGCUAUUCUAUACUAACAUGCUUUGAUUUAUUUUAGGUUCUUAAGUCAACCUAGAAUCACUCUAUGUGAGAGAACUUGAAUCUCCUAGCAUACUCAUGUCUAAGUGUGAAAGAGAAAGAGAAUACCCAACAAGAGCACAUCAUAUUGACUUUACCCCAAAAUCCCUAACAAUGAUGGAUACAAACCCUACUUUCAAGCUUAACUUCAUUAUAUAAUGAUCCAUGUCUAAAUUACAAGCUAUUAAAUCAUAUUCUUUACUACUAAGUGAAUUUAAUCAUAAUUGCUUCAUAAAGGUUCAAUUUUAACUUUACAAGUCAAGAUCCUUCCUAUUCAAUCAAGUCUAGUUCAAUUCAUUAUUAGAUGAUCCUAACUAUGAUCAAUUAGUAUUUGAGACAUUGAUUUAGGAAGAUCACUUUAGAACCUUCAACUUUGCCUCUAAUGGCAUAAACCCACAAAGAUCAACAUUCAUCAAUUUAGAUUAGGGUUUACCAUAGAAAUCACAUGAAUUCAUCAUAAUAUCACUAAACAAAGCUAAAUGAAUCAUAAUUGGGUGAUAUCCACUAGAUUGGAAUCACACCCAAACCCUACCCACAAUGCAAGCACAACCCUAGCUAGAAUUUGGUUUUUGAUUUCAAAAGUGGGGAAACUAUGGGGGCUCCAUGGGUGGAAGAAUCCAUGGAUGAUUAAGCUUCACAUACCUUUAAUCAAAUCCCUAGUACAAUCUCUCAACAAUGGACUUUGUUAUUGACCCAAGCUUCAAGCUUUAUCUUCUUCUUCAAUGGGGGUUUUCUAGAGAGAGAAAUAUUCUUUGGAGAGGAUGAAGUUGUGUUUUCUUUGAAUUCUAGGGAGAAUGACUUAAUUGAGGCAAACUUAGGUCUAAUUAACUUAUAUACCUGCUAGGAAGGGAAUAAAAUAAUGUAGGGUCAACUUUGGGAAAGAACUAAGGACCCUAAACAUUUUAACUUAAAAUUUACAAGCCUUCGACUUUCCCCGCCCUUUGCACCCUCAUGGCUCGCCAAGGGCAUUAGGCGACUCGCCUAGUGGACCAUUGGCUCACCCAAAUUUCCAGUAAGCCUCCUAAAGGGGUAGAUAACUUAGGCGAUGGAGGGGGCAAGUUGGCGAUACACCAAUCCAACCGGCGAGCCACAACUUUUCUAGCCCAUUCGCCCACAACUUAGCCAAGGGGACUACCUACUAGGCGGCCCCAAGUGCACUUUGGCGCAUCGCCAAGUCACUUGGGCGAUUAUGCUCCCCAAUUGCCAAUUAGGCACCUAAGAGAACAAGUUCUCUUUCACUCUACCUUGAUAGCUUAGGGCCUUGCCCACUCCCUAGACUUGACAACCUCUAAUACCAAGGCCUAGUUAUCCUAUAAGACUACAGGGUGUAAGAUGUGCCUUGACGUUCAACUACUAAACCCCUCAUUCUAUGCAUGGGAGGUCUAAUCUAUGACUCUAACCCUCAUACCAAACCUUAGAACCCUAAAUUUUGGCCCUAUUUUGGUCUACUAGUUUUUGGGGUGUUAUAAUUUAUGCCAUUGCUACUAGGAUAGCAGUGUGUGAGCGUGGACAAUGGGCCACCGAAGAAGUGUAAGGCUUUAAAGGCCGCUAUUGUUGCGCUAAGGAGUGAUGUGGAUCAGCUGAAGUCCACUGGCAUGUCCAUGAUUUUUGGGACGGUGGAGAUUUCUAAUGUGCCAGAGAUGCCUCCGGCUACCACCGGAGAUGAGGUUAGAGUUGAGGAGACAACUGAUCUUGAGUCCGAAGCUGAGAUGGAUGAGGAGAUGCUUGAGGUUGCUGAGAAGGUUUCUUACAAAGGCCUUACAGAGACUUAGGAGGCCAUGAUCGAUGCAGUUGUGCAGACUUUAUUGGCAGAUAUUCCUUUAGCUGAUCCUAGUAGGGUUGGUGAUACUGCUGAUGUGACUCCGGGCACUGAUGCCCAAUUUCAGAGCACUACUCUGAGCACUAAUGCCCAGAAAGAUGGAGUGACUGUGUAGACAUGAUCAUUCUUUACCUCCCUCUCUGUCUUGUAUUUAUUGACUUGCGAAUAUUAUUUUGCUUGCAUUUGAGGACAAAUAGUUUUUAUUUGUGGUGGGGUGAGUCCCACCUUUUGUAACUUUUGUUAUGUCUAUAUAUUGUGUUUCUGAGAUUUAAAUUAUGUUAAUAUUGCAUUUUGUGGAUGAUGGAGCUUGUGGCUCCUUGUUUUUAAUUGUAAAUGAUUUUUGGACCCUUCCAAAAAAAAUUGUGCCACCUCUUGUUUGUGUUUGAAUGUGGUUGUUCUCUUGCAAAUUUGAGUAUCUGUCUUGAUCAAUACCGAUGACUCGAAUAGUGCUCAUAAUCGAACAAAAAUGAAUGUGCGGCUAUGAAGAGGCCAAAUGAAGUUGCAUAGACAAUAUGUGAACUUUUAGCAUCUCGUUGUGACUAGCCAAGUAUCAAAUUGAGUCUCUUGUGAUGAACAUUGCACACUAGCAAAAGUGUGGAGUCUUGUUUGACAUUGGUGUCAAUGCCUUAUGUGAUGAGCUUACCGUGAGCCAUAUGUGAUGACACCUAUAAUUUACCCCGUUGGUCCGGUUGACUAAGUGAUGCAAUCUCUUGAAAUGAUCUUAGGCAACUUUGAAGAGUGUGAAACAAUUUGACAUUAUACCUCUUUUUGUGGCCUACCUUGUGAGUGUGUGAACCUCACUUGAACACUUUUUGAGCCUUAGCCUUUCCUUGGAAGAAAUUUGAUGAAAUUUUGACAUUUCGUUAUCCCUUCACCCUUAAUCCUCAUGAGAUGUGGUUGUUUGAAUAGCCAACUUUAGGGCCAAAACCCCUAAAGUUGGGGGUGUGGUGAAAAAGAGAAGGUAAAAUCAAGAAGUGCAAAGAAGUCCCCUUUUGACCCAUGGUUUUGAGAAAUAUGGAACCCCUCCAUACAAAAAAAGAAGAAGAACAGAAUGAAAAGUUGUAGAAUAAAGUUGUGAAAAUACAAAAAGAGAUGGGGUUUCCAACAGUCCAUGGAAAGUGAAUAAUGGAGUGACUUGUGCACAAUGAGAAUGAUGAAGAAAAGGAAAGAAAGUGUUGUUCACACUACAUCUCAUGAGAAUUACGCCUCGGAUGUCCAUAUAAAGAACACGACGAGCAUAAAUACCCUCUUUAACUUCUAUUCUAACGGACUGAAUAUCUUUUAUAAGGAAUCGGAGGAAUAUGCGACGAUUUUUUCCCGGAAAUAUUGAGCCUAAAUGACCAUACCUUUCCACUCAGCCCCAUUACAAGCCNNNNNNNNNNNNNNNNNNNNNGAAUAAUGGGGUGACUUAUGAGCAUAAAGGAGAAUGAUGAGGAAAAGGAAAUGAAGUGUUGUUCAUACCACAUUUCAUAAGGAUAGAAGCCACUGAGCCUCAAUGACCAUACCUUUACACUCAGCCUCGUUACAAGCCUUGAAAAGACCUUUUUUAUCUUGAGUGAGCUGAAACACUUGUCUGUUGGAAAAUAAGGGCAAACCUAUGGGUGAAAUCAUGUAUUAUGUUCAUCUUUGUGAGUGUAAGUGUUGCAUUUGAUUCUGGAGCUUUAAAUUGUUGAACCAUUGUGUGUGAAUAUGGAAUCAUUCUUUGUGUGAGGGCAUUUGAGUAGCUUUGUUAAUCUUGAACUUGCAUUUGAAGCAAGUAUUGUGAACUUGAGAAUCUUUGAUAAUGGUGAGUCACAACUUGAAUCUUUGAGUGCACAAUUUAUCCUUGCACGAGUAAGUUGAGUCUUUUUAUGUGCAUUCAUGAUUAAAUCUUGUGUAGCACUGUUUGAGACAUCCCUUUUGAACUGCUAAACUUAAGUUUUACUUGAGGACAACCAAAAGUUUAAGUUGGGGGUGUUGAUGAGUCCACGGGUUGGACUCAUUUAGGGCUUUAUUUUAAUAGAUUUAGUGUCCUCAAAUACGUAUUUUGUGCCAAUAACUGAUGUAAAUCCUUGAUUUUCAGGUAUUUGGAUUUAGGAACAAAGAAUGGAAACUAAUGAGCAAAAAGGAACAAGGCAACUAAAAGAAAGAGGAAAAGAAGGCCUGAUGAUCGCCUAACCCAUUGGGCGAGUCGCCGAAUGGCCAUGAUCUCGCCUAAAGUUAUAGUGUGCCAAGCCCUGAAGGAGAAAAUCAAGUCGGCAAUGGAAAGGAGCAGUCGACGUGUCGCCGAACGAUUCCACGAUGCAGUGCUAGAUCGCCCAAAGUUACAGAACUUGAAGAUGCUGAAGGUAAAAGAAAAAAGGCGAUGGAAUUGACCAAAGGGCGGAUGGCCGAAUGGAUCGGCGAUCCCGACUUAUUGCACCGAAUGUUCCUUCGCAACAUAUUUUUGGCGACUAUAAAUACAUUUUUCAAUUCUUAGUUUAGCAUUAGUUUUCAUUAUCAAUCAGUUUUAGAAGAGAACUGAAAGUCUUGAGACAAUAUUUUUCCUUAGCUUUGAAGAAUUGAAGUUUUCCAUUUUUGAAAAAUUGGAAGUGGGUCUUUGAGAUUCUUCAACCUUGACCUUUGUAAAGACGAAAUUAAUCUUACCCAGUUGAUGGAAACACAAUUUGGUAACGAUUUCUAUCUUUUUAUGAUGUCUAGCUAAAACCCCAAUUCUUGGGGUGUGAUUAUGUGAUUAUGGGUUGAGUUAGUUGUAGCGUAUUGUUAAUUAAUAGUUUAAAUACUGUUUAAAAGUGAUUGCAAUCAGUAAUUAUGGUUUAAUUUAAAGGGUAGUAGUUGCAAAUGCAACUCUACCUUCGUGUUUUUGGCUUGCUCGAGAGAGAGAGGUUUUAAAACCAAGGUUACUGAUUUGAUGUUUUGUGGGUAUUGGGUUGUCAUGGGUUCAUUUCGAGAGAGUGAAUCCUAAACCCUUUUCCACACAUUCAGCUCGAGAGAGUGAAUGGACUAAAGUGUAGAUUGUUCUUAAUUGUUGCUUAUUGGUGUUCGAGAGAAACCAAUUUGAUUCGGGGUAAAUUGUUCGAGAGAAAGUUUAUCCCCACUAAAGUCUAGCUUAUUCACUGAUUUACAACUAUUUAGUAUUAAUUGCAAUUACCCAUUUGCCUACCUUAGCCUAUAAUCCAAUCACAUCCCAAGAACCCGUCUCUUUGUUAUUUUCGUGUCAUUUGUUGUUGUAGUUGAUAAUUACAAUCAAAAACCCCUGUUAUUUGACACUUGUGUCACCCCAAACUUGAACCAUGCUUUUAUUCGUAAAUGUUUUUACCUAUGAUUGACUUGAGCAUAUUCAUGAUUUUCUAUUGAUUCUCAAAUACAUACCACUCCCUGUGGGAUUCGACCCCAACUCACUUAGUUGGGUUAUAUUACUAACUAAUGAUCGUUGACGCUUAGAAUUGGAUGAAGUGUCAUUGAAAUGUUAUUAAUCACCAAGCAACACCAAACUUCCCUCCCUUUUUCGGUGUUGAUCACUGAGUUGUGCAGACGGGCUCGGGUGCCUCGGGAUAAGAAAAAGGAUGUAGAAGUUACUCUCACCUCCUGUACAGACAUUCGGAGGAUUGAGGCGGAGUACUUGAAAGAUGAGGCCGAGAAGAAGAAAGAAGCCCCGGUGGAUACAUCCCCGGUUGUUGAUAUUCAGACACUACCUGCAUAGGCAAUAUUGCCUACUCCAGCCCCUGGGUAUUCAGGUACAUCUAGUGUUGUCCCUUCUGUUACUCCCAGUCUCUCUACUGCUCUCUUGCCUCCCAGAUCUGGUACUGCUGCUGCUGGCCAACCUCAACUGACCCAGGCUGCAUUGCUACGGAUGGGGAAGCUAGCCCAUUUUGCUGAUAGACGUGCCUCGAGGCAUGAGGCCACCAUUCCUGGCAUGAUCGAGAGGGCCCUUGCUUCUGUUGUGACACCCUUGAGUGCGGAUAUUGAUGCCCUUGCGGCUCGGUUAGCGGUGUGUGAGAAAGGUCAAGGGGCCACUGAGGAGGUGACGACUCUAAAGGCCGUUAUUGAUGCACUGAGGAGAGAUGUGGAACAGCUGAAGUCCACCGACAUGUCGAUGAUUUUAGGAACGGUGGAAAUUUCUGAUAUGCCAGUUGAUCCAGAUAUGCCUCCAGCUACCACCGGAGAUAAGGUUUGAGUUGGAUAGGUAGCUGCUGCCGAGUCUGGGGAAGAGACCGAUGAGGAGUUGCUUGUUGCUGAUGAGGAUGCUUUUUUUUAGGGUCUCACAGAGACUGAGGAGGCCAUGGUAGAUGUAGUUGUGCAGACAUCUUUGGCAGACAUACCUUUGGCUGAUCCUAGUAGAACUGGCACUAUUAAUGUGAUUCCGGGCACUGAUGCCCAAGAUCAGAGUGUCGCACCGGGCAUUGAUUCCCCAACAGAUGGAGAGACUAUGUAAUCAGGACCUUUCUUUACCUCCCUCUCUGUCUUCUUUUCUUGAUUUUUGGAUAUUUUAGUGCAUUUGAGGACAAAUUGUUUUCUGUUUGUGGUGGGGUGAGGUAUUCCAUACCUACCUCUUGUGUUGAUGACAUUUUCUGUAUAUAUUGGGUUUUGUGCUAUAUAUUGUGUUUUGACAUUAUUUUUGUGGAUGUUUGAUCUUGUGGUUCCUUAUUUUGAAUUUGAAUGAUUUUUGGACCCUUCCGAAAAAUUUUGCCACCUCUUGUGUAUUUAAUUGUGGUUGUUCUUGUGUAAAUUUGAGUGUCGGUUGUGAUCAAUACCGAUGACUUGAAUAGUGCUCUCAAUCGAACAAACAUGAAUGUGCAGCUAUGAUAAGGCCAAAUGAAGUUGCAUAGGCAAUAUGUGAACUCUUUGCAUCUCAUUAUGACUAACUGAUUAUCAAAUUGAGUCUGUUGUGAUGAACGUUGCACACUAGCGAAAGUGUGUAUUCUUGUUUGACAUUGGUGGCAAUGCCUUGUGUGAUGAGCUUACCGUGAACCUUGUGUGAUGACACCUAGAAUUUCCCCCCUUGGCCCGGUUGACUAAGUGAUGCAAGCUCUUGAAAUGAUCUUAGGCAACAAUUUUAAAGAGUGAAACAAUUUGACAUUAUACCUCUUUUGUGGCCUACCUUGUGAGUGUGUGAACUUUGCUUGAACACCCUUUGAGCCUUACCCUUUUUCUUGGAAAAAACUUGAGCAAAGGAAACCUUUCUUUAUCCCUUCACCCAUAAUCCUCAUGAAAUGUGGUUUGUUUGAAUAGCCUACUUAGGCCAAAAGCCUAAGUUGGGGGUGUGGUGAAAAGAGAAGGUAAAUCAAGUAGUGCAAAGAAGGCCCACUUUGACCCAUGGUUUUGAGGAAGAUGGAACCCCUCCAUACUAAAAAAAAAAGAAAAAGAAAAGAGGAAUGAAAAAGAAAAAAAAUGAAAAAGUUUGAAAUAAAGUUGUGAAAGUGCAAAAGAAAUGGGGUGUCCGGUAUUCCAUGGAAAGUGAAUAAUGGGGUGACUUUUGAGCAUGAAUGAAAAUGUUGAAGAAAAGGAAAGAAACUGUUGUUCAUACCACAUUUCAUGAGGACAGCAACCAUUAAGCCUAAAUGACCAUAACUUUACACUCAACCCCGUUACAAGCCUUGAAAAGACCUUUUUGAUCUUGAGUGAGCUGAAGCAGAUGUUGAUUGGAAAUAAGGGCAAACCUAUGGGUGGAGUCAUGCAUUUGUUCAUCUUUGUGAGUACGAGAGUUGUUUGUGAUUCCAGAACUAUUAAGUGUUGAACCAUUGUGUGUGAAUAUGGAAUCAUUCUUUGUGUAAGGGCAUUUGAGUACCUUUGUUGAGCAUGAACUUGCAUUUGAAGCAAGUAUUGUGAGCUUGAGAUUCUUUGGUAAUGGUGAGUCAUAACUUGAGACUUUAAGUGCACAAUUGAUCCUUGCAUGAGUAAGUUGAGUCUUGUCAUGUGCAUUCAUGAUUGAGUCUUGUGUAGCACUAUUUGAGACAUCCUUUUUGAACUGCUGAACUUGAGUUUUACUUGAGGACAAGCAAAAGUUUAAGUUGGGUGUGUUGAUGAGUCCAAGAUUUGAACUCAUUUAGGGCUUUAUUUGGAUAGAUUUAGUGUCCUCAAAUACUUAUUUUGUGUCAAUAACUGAUGUAAAAUCCUUGAUUUCCAUGUAUUUGGAUUGAGGAACAAAGCAUGGACACUAAUUUGCCAAAAGGAACGAAGCGAGCUGAAAGAAGGAAGAAAAGAGAGCCUAGUGAUCGCCAUGUUUAUUUGGCGAGUCGCUGAGUGGCCAUUUGACCGCCUAAAGUUCUAGUGUGCCAAGCCUUGAAGAAGAAAAUAGAGUUGGCGAGAGAAAGGAGCUGUCGGCGGAUCGUCGAGUGGUUCCGCAAUGUAGUAUUAGAUCGCCCCAAGUUACAGACCUGGAGGAUGUUGAAGGCCAAAGCAAAAAGGCGAUGGAAUUUACCAAAGAGCGGAUCACCGAGCUGAUCGGCUAGCCCGACUUACUGCGCUGAAUGGUAUUUCGUAGCAUAUUUUUGGCGACUAUAAAUACGUUUUUGAACAUUUAGUUUACAACUUUUUACAUCAUAGUAUUAAUUAGAGAAAUUUGUUAAUUUGGAACUUAGAGUAUUAAGACAAGUUUUCCUUAGCUUUGAAGAAUUGAAGAUUUUCACUUUUGAGAAAUUCGAAGUGGGUCUUUGAGAUUCUUCAAUUUGGACAUUUGUAAAGACGAAAUUAAUCUUACCCAGUUGAUGGAAACACAAUUUGGUAAUGAUUUUUAUCUUAUUAUGAUGUCUAGCUAAAACCUCAAUUCUUGGGGUGUGAUUAUGUGAAUAUGGGCUGAUUUAGUUUAUGGAUAUUGUUAAUUGUUAGUUUAAAUGUUGUUUAGAAGUGAUUUCAAUCAGUAAUUGUGGUUUAACUUAAAGAAUUGUAGUUGCAAAUGCAGUUUUACCUUCAUGAUUUUGGCUUGCUCGAGAGAGAGGUUCUAAAACCAAGAUUAUUGAUUGAUGGUCGGUGAGUAUUGGGUUGUCAUGGGUUCAGCUCGAGAGAGUGAAUCUUAAACCAUUUUCCACACAUUCAGCUCGAGAGAGUGAAUGGACUAAGGAGUAAGGUGUUCUUAUUUUGUAUGUUUGUCGAUGUUCGAGAGAAAUUGACUUGAUUCGGGGUAAAUUAUUCGAGAGAAAGUUUACCUCCUUUAUAGUUUAGCUUAUUCACUAAUAUUCAUCUAUUUCCUAAUAAUUGCAAUUACCCAUUUGUCUACAUUAACCUAUAAUCGAAUCACAUCCUAAGAACCCAUCUCUUUAUUGUUAUUAAUGUAUUAUUUGUUGCUGUUGUAGUUGAUAAUUAAAACCAAAACCCCCCUGUUAUUUGACAUUCCUGUCACCUCUGAUUUUAAUUAUGUUUUUAUUCGUAAAUGUCUAUUCCUUUGGUUGAUUUGAACAUAUUCGUACUUUUCUAAUAAAUCUAAAGCACGUACCAUUCCCUGUGGGAUUCGACCCAAACUCAUUUAGUUGGGUUAUAUACUGACUAACGAUCGUUGAUGUUUAGAACUGGAUUAAGUGUCUUUGAUAGCGUUAUUAAAUCACACGGGUCCGGAACCGAAACCUACACAAGUGUAGAAGCAAUGAGUGUGUACCAAACAACACAGUACUCAACAGUCAACCUACUAAAAAAAGCUUACGAAUAAUAUUCAAAACCUCACUGUCUAGUUCAAUCAAGUAAUCAAAAUAAGAUUAUGGAAAUAGUAAUUCUCAAUUCAUACAUUUUCAACAAUGGGUUAUAUAAACUCUAACACCCAAUUCCGAAAAUGAGAUUUGAAUUAAAAAAUCUUUACUUGAAAAUAUUACCCAAGACAUUUGAAACUCAUUGGUGAAAACCAUUUUGAAAAAAGGAGUUAAAAUCAGUUCACAAUCACUAUUUUACUUUGGAACUCAAGUUCUUGAAAAAUCUUGUCAUUUACCAAUCAAAAUCUCAAGUUUUGAUGUUAAAAUCCAUAAAUAAUCAAAGGGAAAUGAAUUUUUAUACUCCCUCUGUCCCAAUUUAUAUGACUUACUUUCCUUUUUAGUCAGUCCCAAAAAGAAUGACACAUUUCUAUUUUAAGUAACAAUUUGCCUAUAAAAUGUCUUUUUUACCCUUAGGCCCAAAUCUGGUUUUCCUGUCCGCCUGGACCAGCAUUUGGGCCUAUUUCGUUUUGGGACCAAAGACCCAAUAUUCAACACCUGUCCUAAACUAAUCUUUGAAUUUUGCUUCUCUUUGGGCCUUUGGCACAACCCUUGUCUCCUUGUAACUGUCCUAGUAACUAACAAAUAAUACUCCCUCUGUCCCAAUUUAUAUGACUUACUUUCCUUUUUAGUCAGUCCCAAAAAGAAUGACACAUUUCUAUUUUAAGUAACAAUUUGCCUAUAAAAUGUCUUUUUUACCCUUAAUGAAAUGAUUUACAACCACACAAAUUUCUAUCAUUCAUUUUGGACCACAAGUUUUAAAAGUCUUUCCAUUUUUCUUAAAGUUUGUGCCAAAUCAAAGUACAUCAUAUAAAAUGGGACGGAGGGAGUAGUUUCAAAGGCUUACCCAAUUGUUUUAGCAGAAGAAAUCUCUCCAAAUCGCCUCUAAGGGUUUUACAAAGCUUAAAAUAAGGGAAAAUGGGUAAAACUCAGAAAAUGGCAGGCAAAAAGGGUUCCCUAAUGUCUCUUAAACGAACUCAUGUUCUCUUAAGAGAAACCCACUAAAGUUGGGGGGUCUCGAUUUCGCGAACCAGGGUUCGCUUUCGUGACCAUCGCGAUCGUGACUCAUGGUUCGCUUAAGUGAACUCUGCCUAAAAGAGGUCCUUUGCUUUCGGGAUCAGGGUCUCGCUAACGCGAACAUCGCGAUCGUCAGGUACCCUUCGGGAAAGCGAGACACACCAACAACUGAAAUAUCAGCCAACUUUCAAAUCAUCGAAUGGACCCUUAGGAUUCAUCUGAAACCCCGUACACACAAACUAUAUAUGCCAAUCAAUUAUACUUGACGUUCUGGACUCAACAGAACCAUCAAAAUACGAAUCCUGGUCUUCUUAACUUGAAAUCCAUGAAAGUCACUAUAAACUAAUCAUAAUGCCUAAAAGGCUAAAUCAAGCUCGGAACUUCUAAAAAUUAAACCAAGACCUCACAUAAGCCUAAAAUCAUCCCCCAAAUUUAAUGAAACUCUUGAAAUUUUGAUAUGAGUAUCUGAACUCCGAAUGUUGAUCAAAGUCAAUCCAAAGGCUAAAAUCUUAACAAUUUUCCAAUUUAGGACCUCUGAAUAAGAAACUGACAACUCUCUCAGACCAAUUUACACAUUCUUGGACUGAUGGAAUCGAUACAGUUUCAUUCUGAUACUCGAAACUCUGAAAGACACUGAAAAUCAAUUUUUAAUAUCUUUAGCCUUUGAAUUUCAAAAACUUUCAUAAAUCACAACUCUUUACACAAAGUUGGAAACCAAAUUUUAAAAGUCAAUCAUAAAUGACUGUGGGUCAUUAUUAGGAGGAGAAAAAUGGUAAUUUUACGAAAGUUUUAAAAAAUGACCUUCCGGGUCUUUGCAUGAAAAUACAAUUCUAUCUAAAGCGAAGUUUUUUAAUGAAGGGAAAGAAGUUCAAACAAUAUUCUUAAGGGCCUUCAUGCAUUUAAUAUAGUAUAGAUAGAUUAUAAGUAUAUAUAUAUAUAUAUAUAUAUAAUGAAAGUAUUUUAUUAUAAUAGAUAGUAUAUUGUGUGAAUAUUUAGUACACACUAUAAGUAUAUCUAUAAUAUAGAGAAAAGACAUAAAGUGACACCUGAAGUUAUCUCGAAUUUUCAAAAAGACACCUUAACUUUGUGGGCGUCCUAUUACCCCACAUAACAUUUUAAAUCACAAUAAAUACACAAUUUUUGCAUAAUAUGUAUUCUAAAUGCUUGAGUGUUGGUCUCACCCCCAAUUAAUAAUAUAACUACUUUUUUUCCAACCCAUUUAGUAAAGAUCAAAUAAAAUCUCGACCUACUCCAUUUAACCCUAAACCCCUUUCAGAUUUUCACUCCACUUACUCUCUUUGAUGAUCAAAACCCUAAAGCAUUUAAAUAGUCAAAGUAAAAUUGUUUCGUGAUGAUAAUUUCUUGAAUUAUGGAGUCAAAACCAAGAAGUGAAGGCUUACAUGUUAAUUGCUUCUUGAUAUGAAUGUAAAUUUUGGUUAAAAUGUUCUUUUUAUAUAGUAGUGAUUUUUUGAAAAAUCACCUUGGUAGUGAUUUUAUUGUUAUAUUCUUCUUGUGCUAUCUAUUAUUCAUGUGUAUGUAAUGUUAAUUUAGGAUUGAUUAGAGUUUGAAUAUAUUUUCACUGAUUUAGUUUUGAAAUGCACUUUCAGGAUUUAGAAAUUAGUUGAUUUCUUGACUUUUAAAUACAAUAAAAAGAAGAAAUUGAAGCUAGUAAAGCUAUAUGAAAAUCUUGUUAAGGAUGGAGAAUUUUUAUUUUAUUGUAGAUGGAAAGCUCUUCAAUAUCAAUCAAUGGAGGUUUUGGAGAAGAUGAAAAGUUAGUUUUUUAAUAAAAAAGAAAAUCCAAAUUUAUAAUGCCACAUGACAUUUUUACACUGGGUUGGGGUGUAUUUUUACUCCUCCAUGCGCCUAUCAAAUGUGAGAACAAAACUAUUGUGAAAAUGGGUCAAACGUGUUUAUUUAUUGUGAUUUAAAAUGGUUUUAUGUGGUAAUAGGACGUACGCAAACGGUAGGUGCCUUUUUGAAAAUUUGAGACAAGUAUAGGAGUCACUUUAUGUCUUUUCUCUAUGAUAUAAUAUAAGUAUUCCAUUAUAAUAAAUAGUAUAUUGUGUGUAUAUUUUUAUUAUACGAUAUAAGUAUGUAAGCAAUAUUUUAUUAUAAAUAGUUAUCAUUAUUUCAAAAUUAAAUAGAUAACAAUACACUAUAUUGAUAAUUGAUUCAAACUUUCGAAUUCAUAAAUGGCGAUAAUUUUUUUUAAAAAGAACUCGGUCCUUUAACCAAAACCCGGCCCGACCUAGUUAGCCUGGGAACGUGUGCAGACGGGUUAUGGGCCGGGCCGAAUGGGCGGUAUUGUAACAUCUCGUACUUCAAAAAGUCAACUAGAGAUUUGUACAUGUAAAACUUCACUUUUUAAUUUUGGGUCAACUUCAAAUGACCAUAACUUUCAGCACAUAAGGAGUAGGUGGCCCAUGAGGUAUCAAAUCAAAGGUCUUCGAGUUCUCUUCCCAACGCCGCUAAGUUUGCUAAAUUCCGAGCUUAGAUGAAGGAGUUAUGCCCAUUUGAGUGCAGCCUCUCUAGUUAAGGCAUUUCUUCCAAUUUAAGGAGGGGUAUUUUGGUCUUUUCAUCAUUCCAGUAGGCCUAAACAUUUUUUUUCCACCCCAAUAGGGGUCUAAAAUCAACUGAUUGAGAUCAGUUUUCAUUCAUUCAUAAACGCUUAGGGUUGAGAGAAGGGUUUCAAGAUGAGAAAAAGAAGAAAGUUUCAAAAGUUCUUCCAAGCUUUGAGGAUUUUUGCCAAAACUUAGUUCUUUCAAGGUAUGUAAGCUUUCAUAGUGUUGGGUUUAUUCACCCUCACACCAAUUAUGUAAAUUCAUCCAUAGAUCGUAAUUUAAGUUGGUUGAUUUGAAUUCUUGAGAAGUUCUUGAGGUUUUGUUUCAUUCUUUAACAAUGGAGUCUUGUUGUGUUUUUCAGGUGAGGGUUUUGCGAAUGAGUGAAGUUCUUGACGGAAUUUGAGUGGGUUUUCAUUGAUUAUGUAUUGGGUUUAUGAAUCAAAAGAAGUUUGGAGGAAAUCAUUCGAUUAUAGAUGAAUUAGGCCUUGAAUUUGAGCAAGAAAAUUCGUAAAAAAUUUGGACAUGGGCAGUGGCAUGGGGCGGCGCGCCACCAUAGCACCAGAACUAUAGCCCAGUAGUUUGGGGCCUGGCACGGUACGCCACUCAGUGCGUCCCAAACACUGUUUAGUAGUUUUGAGGCUGGUGCCCCACGCCACUCAGUGCGCCAGGGUCGUCAGGUCCCUUACCCUUUUGUCCUUCUUUCCAUGUGUGUUUCCUCGCAUCGUACCGAAGUUCUCUUCUUGAAAUUCACUCUUAAAAUAUUCAUUAAUGUUUGAGAGAUCAUGAAUGUCCUAAUCACAUCUCUUAAUUUACAUUUUCUAAGUAAAGUCAAGAAGAAAGUUGAAGAACGUCCUUUUGAAUCAUUUUGAGAAGUCUUUUGCAAUUAUCUAUAACUUGUUUUAAGACUUGAGUAAAUGAGCAUGAUAAUGAGGAGAGUUGCGUUUCAUGUUUCAAAAUGAGUAUAAGGGAACUAAGUAUUCCCAAGUAUGUAACAUUUUUACAUUUUAAAAGAGAGAAACACAAAUUUCUAAACGAGUUUACAAGUUCAAAGGAGUUCCAGAAUAUCUCCUCUUUUAAGAGGAUCUUUUGAUUAUUUAUCUCAAAUUGAGGAAGACUUAUGUUUUUAAAUAUUUGAGAUGAUAUAUAUAUUAUUGGGAGUAGUAUUGAGCAGCAAUAUGGGGAUGAGUUCAGACAACUCAAAAUCCUCAUAAACCAUGUAUGCCAAUAUGGGUAAUGGAUCAUACUUUUUAAAUGAUUCCUUAUUGCUUUUAAUCAUGGCUUAGUGGAUCCACUUAGUUGGAGAUGUUCUAUACCACGAAAAGGUAUAGGAGAGUUUUGGCAACGUUUGCGAGACGUUGUAUCAUCACGUAGCUCAUAGUGAUGGUUGUCGGUUAGAGAAUCUCCCAAAAAAGAGUAAAGACUUUAUUAUUGUAUUUUUAUAUACAUUUGAGUUAUUAUCUACUGUUUUAAUAGCUUUAUAUAUAAUGCAUCUUUUAUUGUUGUUUUCAUAUUGAGUUGAGUUGAGGUGAGUAGGUUUUCCCUUUCUAUCAGUUCAGCUAUAUAUCCCUAUGUUCCGUUUUCCCCUUACAUGUGCAUACAUUUAAUAUAUUGAUGCCAUUUGGCCUGCAUCAUUUCAUGAUGCAGUUACAAGUAUUCAGGAUCAUCAAUCGGUGCUUCGUUGAUCCCAUCGCAUUCCAGCUAGCUUUGGUGAGCCUUCUUGCUUUCUAGAGGGCUUCACAUUAUGGUUUUGUUUUGUUAAGAUGUAGUGGGUCUUGUCCCGAUAUCUAUCAUAGUCUUGUCCCGAUAUCUAUCAUAGUUAUUAGAGGCUUCAUAGACAAUAGUAAUAUGAGGAGUCUUUCAUUGUCCCUUGUUGAUGUUUUAAGGACUUUGAGUUGAACAAUUAUGUUUAUUAAGUAUUUUAGACUAUAUUAAGUAAUUAAACUAUCAUAGUAAUUAGAUCUUAUGAGUUAAUCUUUACAUUUGAGUUUCCAAUGUUGUUGAGUAAGUCUUCCGUUGAGUAUUGAGCCAGGCCAAGGGUUCGCUUGGGGACCAGCUAUGGUUCUCAAUUGUCGGCCACGUCCAGGGUGUAGGCUCGGUGCGUGACAACUUAGUAUUAGAGCACAGAGUUCAAGAGUCUUACGAUAUCUAUGAAGCCGUGUCUGUAGAGUGAUACGUCAAAACAUACACUUCAAUUAAGAGGUAUAAAUGGUUGAAGUUAAUUUAUAGAACUAAACGUGAGUUGAGAUCUAUCCCACAUAAAAUUUCUUUACAGAAAUGGUUUCACUGUCGCGUUUACCCAAAUGUUGUUAUUUUUUCCUAAAGAGAAAAACAAUUACAGAAUACAAAAUGGGUUUAGCUGUAAAGCUCUAGUAACCAAGGUUGUUAAAUAAGAUCGAGUUUAACAAUUAACAGAGUGUUGAUUUUAAAGUUGUUUUGAUAAUUGAAUGAAACUAGAAUUGUGUUCCCCAUAGCGUUGCAUCUAGUUUUUUUCCAUAAAUGAGUUUCAGGCAAUUCAUCUCUGCAAAAUACCGGCAAGUUAGAUAUAUCUAACACUUCUCAGUCUAAUUAGAUAACUUUCACUCAAGCCCUCUCUGUCCUAGAGUGUUAACAAGUUUUACUCUCACUUACGAUAGUGUUAAACUUCCUUUCUGUCGAACUCAAACUUUGACACCAUUUCCUUAGGUUAAUUCAGCUUUUUCCCAACCAUCACUUUUCUCUCGAAUAAAUGAUAGAUACAGGCUAACUCUAAUGCGUGCACUCAUUAGAAUAAAUGAAUAAUGAAAACUAAACUAUGAUUUGCAAAUAUACAUCGUCUUCAACUCGUCUUAUGAAAUUACACUCAGAUUUACGUCAUAGUUCCCACAAUCGCAGUUGUGGUAUUUAUCAACUCAUGAUUUCAUGUAAACAUACAGAAUUAUAUAAUGAAAACAUGAUAAGAAAGUACUUAUGAAAAUAUGCAAAAUCGAUAAACACUUGAUAAUUCAAAACCGAAAAUAAAACUUUGAAACUUGAUUCAAUGUUAAUCGUCCAAAACCAUAGCUAAGAAUAUUUGAAACUUCGUUGCUCGUUCCAGAUAUGACGAGAUAAAAACAAAAACACGAACUAAAAAAUUCAAAUAGAAUGUCUAAAAUGAGUCCUGCUCGAAGUAGGACUGAGAUGUCGGGCAACUUCACGGACGCUCUAAUGGUCCGUCAAGGGUUCACGGUCCAUAAAGCGCCUCAUGAUCCUUACUUGGGAACUUGCAAACUUGGUUCUUCAAAUCCUAUGUACUGGAACCUUGUCACGGAUGUCACCACUAUUCGUGACACUGACCACGGUCCGUAUAGGUGCCCGUGGUCUUCACUUGGCCAAAUCAAUCUUCAGCUUCUCAAGGUCUCCCACCCCCGUGAGGUCGUUUGUGGUCUUUACUUGAUAUUGCCACAGUUGAUCUUCUCCACACCUACUCACUAGAAAGGUACUUCACGACCCUCAUCACGAUCAGUAGUGAAGACCACGGUCCGUGAGGCCGUCCGUGGUCUUUACUUGUUUCAAUUCACUUUCACUACAUUUUCUUCUAUCUUUUUUCACAUCCAUAUGUUUCACCUGUACAAACACUACCAAACACAUCAUAUCCAUAUAAACACACCUGAUUCUAGUAUUAAUCCCUAGUUUUCAAGCAUCAAAUGUGCUAAGAUUUUGCGGCACAUCAACACCCUCAACUUAGAACCAUUACUUGUCCUCAAGAGAUGAGAAAAAUAAUGCAUUUCACUAUCAAACAUUCAAAAUCUUUUUGAAACUGUGCAGCACCCAUCUCAAUCACAAAUUGUAUCCAAAACCAUCAAUCUAACAUGCAAGGAUCAAUAUGUGACAUUCCAUUACUCACAGUCGACCAUGCUUAUGCAUGUGUACUAUAAGCUAACACAAUCUACUAUCAAAUGCAAUCACUAUGUCCUCACACUAAAGAAGUCCCUCACUCAUGAUAAUUGGGACUAAGUUCUAUGCUCGCACUCUCAAAUAACUUCUAACAUUAACAACAAAAGACCAUAGGGUUACCUUUGCUUUCUACGCUCUAUCUUACCAACAACCAGAAUAGGAUCACUGUAGGACUUUAUCAUCUUGUAACAUAGGCUCAUGCUAGGAAAUGGAUUUUUGGGUUUGUGAGUGACUAGUACCUUGGUUCUCCAAAGUUUUGUUCGCACACAACUUUUUCUGAGCGAUUCCCUUUUUUUCUUCAUUUCAGUACCUCCCAGCAGCCAUUAUUUUAUUUUCUUUUUCUUUUCUUGUUAUUUUUAUUUCACAUUUUGUGCUUUCAGGUAACUGGUUGAACCUUCUUUUUUACUUUUCCUUUCUACUCAGGUUGUAAUCACCCUUAACUUAGGCCUUUGGCCUGAGUUGUGACAUCAUUUCUUCGGAGAUCUAAGGAUAUGAUGUUUAAUGGGUAAGAACAAAAUUGGUUCUCAGGCUCAAAUCGGGUUCAAGUGAUAAACUAUUUUAUUUGGUUGUUUUAAUUUUGGCUUUUCAAUGGCUUAGCCAAAAUGGCCUACUGAUCCUUUCCUAUCUAGUUAUUCUCAGAUUUAAGCAAGACUACUCGGGCAAGUUCUAGUUUAUGCUCCUAGCGUUAGACUUCGAGCAAACCUCACACACACGACACAUGACUACAUUCUCCAGUUUCUUGGUUCACCAAUUUAUUUUCAGACUAGCAAUGUUCAACGCAUGAGUACCUAAGAUGUCAUCUAAAGAGCCUAACAGUCAAACUCCAGAUUAAGUCUAUCAUUUCAAACAUAACUCGUUGAUGCACAACUGAACAUAAAAACUUCACAUUUUCCUCAAACACACAAACACAACAAUCACAAUUAUCAGACAAACACAGAGUCAACCUCCAUUCAUUGUAAAGGCUAACAUGGCAGGUUGCUCGCCACCCCCUCCAAAAAAAAGACUUUGCCCUCAAAGUCAAUGAAGAAAAACAAUACAGGGCUGUGUGAAGGGGUCAUACCUAUGGCGCAUUAGGCGCCGACAGCCGGAUCAGCGUCGGCACCCUUAUCAACAGGUGCACUCUCAGAAACCAACUCUGGGUCAGGUUGGCUACCACUAACCUGGAAAGGUACUCCGCUACCAGAAGCGCCAACUAACACUGCAUCUCACUAUUGUUACGCAAGUGUUUCAUCCUCUCUUCCCUUUUUCCUCGAAGCCUUGCGGGAUUUUUUUUUUGUCUUCUUUCUUCUUUGGAUAGGUCAGCCGGCAGCUCCUCAUAGAACUCUCCAGCUUUGUGUUUUCUCUUGCUGGAUUUGCUUUUAGGGAGUUGCCCCCAGAAGUCGUCAAGGGAUUGAGUGGUAGGUGGCUCACUAAACAAGUUCAUCAAUGAAUAUGGCAUGAUCGGAGUAGGCACUUGAACCGACUUCUCAGCUAGUUGAAAAACUUGAGCUCACAUCUCAGCCAACUGCAUUUUGAACUCAUCAGUAUUGACUGAACCGGCAGCCUGCAACCGUUCCUGGACAAGGACCUCCAAACCAUCCAUCCUGUCUUUUAAGACAAGCAGCUCCUUCCGCAUCUCAUCUUUUAUCUUCUUCUCUGCAGUUAACACAUCUUGCUCUAUUAGCUGGGGCAUCCGACAUACAAUUUGGUCGACUAAGGUCCUGGUCUGUCGCUGAUCUGCAACCAAUUUCUCAAGGAAUAGAGUAGGAAUAAUGACAAAAGUACCUGGAGCCUGUGAGGCUGAAGCUGGUAGCGGUGGUGCCUCUGUAGAUAAUUGUGAUGACUCCUCCUACUCUGGCCCUCUAUCCGCAUGUGGAAUGUUGAUCGGUACAUGAGGAACCACAUCCAAAGAACCCACACCUCCGACUUUCGCACCAAAUAGAUGGUUAGCAACAUCUUUUAUUUUUGAAGCCUGGGUGAGCCUGAAUGCCUCACUCCACCUAUCCACUAGCCUUUUUGGGAGGAGGGGUGUUUGCUUUCCGACAUAAUUUCCCUACCAAACAGAAAAAUGGAAAUUCAGCUCUCUCAUUUAGUGCCCUAUCCCUCAUUUAUUUCGCUAUGAUCCGCCCCACAUUUAUCAAGUAACCAUCCAUAAGGCAAGCUACCAAAGAAGCCAGUGAGGGAGACAAGGUAUUAUCAUUACCUGUAGGUUUCAACUGUGCACAGACAAUAGCCCACCAGACCUUGACUGAAAAUGAAAGUGACGCUUUGGUAAUAUGUAUCGAUAAUCUUGUAACCCAAGAUGCAUUCUCCCCCUCUGAGGAAAUUUGCCUUGCAAUCCAGUGCAUAAUCCUCUCAUGAGAGCUCUGGACCUCUAUCUCAGCUUCACUGGUUACAACAUGAUGCUUGCCCUCAAAAAGGCCAACUGAAGCUAGUGUUGUGUAUUCUGGACCAUGCAACAUCCUACUGACAAUAGACUUAGAGAUAUUCACGGAUGUGCCCCGAACCAUAAUUGAAUCAAGUGGUCCCCAAGUACUAGCAAUGUCCUUCUUCCCAUGUUUAGUUGUCUCAGUCUCUGUAGCAAAGUUCAUCAAUGUGGCUACAUAUGAAGCAUAAAACUCUCGGGUGAGAUGGCUAGAAAAUUCUCCAGGUGCGUUGUUCAUCCAGUCAAACUGAUGCAGCUAAAAUAUCUUAUAAAUAUUGGGGAAUGAUUUGAUAUCUCCCACCACCACUCUAGCCUCUGGCAUGAUUGGUCUAUUCUUGAAGCCACCCGACUUGCUCACAAUUCCAUUCUUGAAGAAGUCUUCGGACCUGUUCACAAUCCUCAUAGAAUGGAAAAAGUCAAUCAGUUGUUGACUUGCUGCGGGAUCGAAUUCAUGGAGGUGGACAUAUUGGACCAUUGUAUCAUCAGUGGUAAUGUCCUCAUCCGCUUCUACAACACCUGUCUCUUCUUGUGCUCCAGUUUCAGCUUCUAUUUCUACUGCAGGUGGAGGGGUGGUUGCAUCAUCCUGAGAGCUGCUCGCAGACUCUACACUACCUCCUGAACCAUUACCAGACUGGCUACCUGAUUCGUCACCAUUACCGGAACUACUACCUUCCUCUUUAGAUUGGGAAGGAAUGUUCUGGAGAGUGGCCCUCGUUGUAUGGGAUCCAGUAGUUCGAGGUGGGUGAUUCUCAAUAGUGUUAUUUAUCUGAACCGCCAAACUACUAGACCCUAAAGCAUUAUCACCUUCUGAUUGAGAAGCAGUAGGUGAGGAAUAUGGGGCUGCGUUCUUUAUUCGGGGAGCCAUAGUACCUGAGAAAUACAAAAGAAAAACAUUAGUACACAAAUCAAUAAAAUAACACACUAUCGGGUACUCAAACUUCCACUGUGUAAUUACAACGUGACGCCUUGCCUUAAGAAUGUCGUCACCCAAUCUAUCAUUGGGAAGGGCCACAGAAUUGAAAUGCAAAAAAUAGAAUUUAAAAGAACAUAAACAAAAAUAAUAUUUUUGUUUUUGUUAUAUAUACGGGAGCCUAGAUGGGCCGUGGUGGGUACCACGGUCCGUGAAUACAAGUGAGUACAUUGACUGUGUGGGACAACUUACUGGAAUGGACCACGGAUGGAUUCAGAGUCCAUGGAGUGAACCACGGUCUGUGAAGACGAUCGUGAUCCUACCCUGCGUAACCCCAUUUUGCUAAGUGUGGUCCAUGAGGGGUUUCACGACCCGUAGUUGAUCCCACGUUCUGUGAAGCCCAUCGUGGACUUACACUUGGCCCUUUUUAAGUGUCCCUCUUCUUCCAAAACCACAUAUGCCCAAUUUUACCCAAUUUCAUCACCCAAUCACAUAGUGACGAGAUCUAAAUGCACACGAGUUCAACAAAUUUACCACAUCAAACAAUCGCCAUUCAAACAAGAACAAUGUAUACCUCAUAUAAACAUAACCAAGGCACACAAGUGUAAUCCCCCAAUUUCAACAGUUUCAUUGGCAAAAUUCACUUAAUCAUACUUUCCGCUCACAAAUAGGACUCAAACACACAUUAAUAUCACAGUUCAACACCAAUUCCUCAAGAAUCCACCAUGCCCAUACAUCAACAACUAGUUCCAUAUAAUUUCAACAAACCCAUAUACGAAAACUCCCAACUUAAACAAACCCACUACAAUUUUGUAUCAAUAAUACUAGUUCAUCACAUAAUCAUAGUAAAUUCGAACAAUUUAAGUACUUCUAACUUGCCUAUUGAUAAGAUCAAACUUAUAACAAGUUAAAGGAAGAACUUACUUUGAAUUCGAUUACAAAUUUCACCCAAAAGAGAGACAGUAAACUUUGACUUCAAAUUCUUGAUAAAAUAGAACUAGGGUUUUGAUUAUUUGAUGAAGAAUGGACAAUUUAGAGAUUAAAAUCCCUUGUUUAUAUUUCUAAUACCCGUUAUAGAGGAGAGGAAAGGGAAAGGAACUGACCCUUGGCGCUUAGGAUAGUUUAUAAAUGCUCAAUUGAAUUUCUCUUGAUGUGCGGGUCGGGUUGGGUUUCAAUGAUUCUGGGUUAAGAACGACGGACAGUGAAGUUUCCUGUGAAGGGCACCACGGUCCUUAUAGGUGUCCGUGAAUAUGACUUGACAACAUGAAACUUGCAUGAAGUUCACGAGAGGCUAGACGGUCCGUACAAAGUCUGACGGACCGUGAACCCUUCCAUGAACCAAUUUCCAGUAGCUCCUCUUAGGUGGGUGCUUGUGACGAGCCGUAAAGUUUCCCGUGAAGGGCACCACGACCCGUGGAACUGCCCGUGAAGGGCUUCCUGCACCCAGUUCUGCAAUUCUUAGUCCAUGUACUUCCUGCACACUUCAACACCAGUGACUCUAUAAAAAUAAAGAAAAAUGAGUAAAAGUAAACUACCUAUUACAAUUACCAUCUUGGGUUUCCUCCCAAGCAGCACAGAAUUUAACGUCACGGCGCGACGCAGGUUACUUGAUUACUCAGACUUCAUCAAGCUUACAUUCCUCCACUAUUUUCACUUCUUCUGGAACACCCAAAUAUGCCUUGAUUCGCUGACCAUUUGCCUUGAACCUCUCACCCUUGUCAUUCUCAAGCUCAAUAGCACCCGACUGGAGCAACUUAGUUACUUUAAAAGGUCCAGACCAUUUGGAUCUCAACUUCCCUGAAAACAGACGAAGUCUGGAAUUGGAAAGCAACACCAAGUCAUCAGGAGUGAAGGUUCUUUUCUCAAUAUGCUUAUCAUGAUACAGCUUCAUCCACUCCUUGUACAGUGUAGACCUCUCAUACGCUCUCAAGAGGAAUUCAUCCAUCUCAUUGAUCUGAUCCAAUCUCAGGUUUAUUGUUUCACUCCAACUAAGGUUCAGCUUUUUCAAAGCCCAGAGUGCCUUAUACUCAAGCUCAACCAGGAAAUGACAUGCCUUUCCAAACACCAAUUGAUAUGGAGACAUAUCAAUAGGCGUCUUGAAAGCUGUCUGAUAUGCCCAUAGAGCAUCAUCUAACUUUCUUGCCCAAUCUGUCAUGUUGGCAUUCACUGUUUUUGCCAGAAUAGCCUUUAUUUCCCUAUUUGAUACCUCCACUUGGCCACUGGUCUGCGGGUGAUAAGGUGUUGCCACCUUGUGCUGUUUUACCCCAUAUUUAGCCAGAAGAGCACUGAAUACCUUAUUCCAAAAAUGGGAACCCCCAUCACUAAUAAUAACUCUCGGUGUGCCAAACCUUGAGAAGAUAUUCUCCUUCAAAAACCCAUCAACACUCUUGCCAUAAUUCUUAGGCAGAGGAACUGCCUCAACCCAUUUGGACACAUAGUCCACUGCCACAAGUAUAUACGUUUACCCAUAGGAGGUCACAAAUGGGCCCAUGAAAUCAACUCCCCACACAUCAAAUAGUUCCACCUCCAGUAUAGGUGUCAUUGGUAGCUCAUGGUGUCGAAAGAUGGCUCCUUGUUGCUGGCAUACACAUCUCUUUACUAUAUCCAUUGCAUCCUGAUGAAUUGUAGGCCAGUAGUACCCACUCUGAAGUACCUUGUGGGCUGUCUGAGCACCUCCAUGAUGGCCACCCACUGGAGAGGAAUUGCAGGCCUCUAAAAUAUGUAAAAUCUCAGCCCCAGGGAUGCAUCCCCUGAUGAUAUUAUCAGCACACUCCCUGUACAAAUAAGGUUCAUCCCAAAAAUACUUACCCACAUCAUGCAGAACCUCUUUCUUUGCUAAAACGUCGGUCCCUCAGGCAUCAAGUCACUAACAAGAAAGUUAGCAAAAUCAGCAAACCAAGGAAUAAGAUCAAGAGUUGCAGUUAAUACUUGCUCAUCCGGGAACGAAUCAUUGAUUUGUAGCUCAAGCUCCUCUUUCUUUUCAGCAUCAAACCUAGACAGGUGAUCAGCCACCUGGUUUUUACAACCUCUCAUAUCCUUAACCUCAAAAUCAAACUCCUAAAGCAGUAACACCCAUCUGAUCAACCUAGUCUUGGCAUCUUUCUUUGCCAUCAGGUAUCUCAGAGCUACAUGAUCCGUGUGGACUAUCACUCUAGUACCCGGCAAGUAGGCCCUGAAUCUCUUAAAGGCAUAAACCACAGCCAGUAGUUCAUGUUCAGUGACUAUGUAGUUUCGUUGUGCUCCAUUUAGUGACUUGCUAGCAUAGUAGAUCGGAUGGAACAUCUUGUUGCGCUUCAGCCCCAACACAACUCCCAAGGCAGUACCACUAGCAUCGCACAUUACCUCAAAUGGUUUAUCCCAAUCUGGGCCAAUAAUCACUGGUGCAGAAAUCAGUUUCUCCUUCAAGCAUUCAAAGGCUUUUAGGCAUGCUUCAUCAAAAGCAAAUUUCACCUCGUUCUCCAAAGGUUGCACAAGGGAUGUGCAAUAUUCGAGAAGUCCUUUGAUGAAAUGCCUAUAAAAUCCAGCAUGUCUUAAAAAGCUUCGAACACCAUUCAAACAGAUAGGUGGAGACAAAUUUUCAAUCACCUCAAUUUUUGCUUUGUCAACCUCCAAUCCCUUUUGUGACACCUUAUGACCGAGGACUAUACCUUCCUUGACCAUGAAAUGGCAUUUCUCCCAGUUCUACACUAGAUUGGCCUCCUCGCAUCUGUGUAAAGCCCUGCUAAGAUUUAACAAGCAGUCAUCAAAAGUAUCACCUACCACUGAAAAGUAAUCCAUGAAUACCUCUAGAGUGUCUUCCACCAUGUCCGAGAAGAUGGACAUCAUACACCUCUGGAAAGUUGCUGGUGCAUUACAUAGUCCAAAUGGCAUACGUUUAAAUGCAAAGGUGCCAUAAGAACAUGUAAAAGUGGUAUUUUCCUAAUCUUCAUGAGCAAUUGAUAUCUGGUUGUACCUAGAGUAUCCAUCUAAGAAACAAUACCACCCUUUUCCAGCCAACCUGUCAAGCAUUUAGUCCAUGAAUGGCAUUGGGAAGUGAUCCUUCAAGGUCUACUUGUUCAGCUUUAUGUAGUCCAUGCACACUCGCCAUCUAGUGACCGGUCUCUACGGGAUCAACUCAUUCUUCGCAUUAGAAACCACUAUCAUACCACCAUUUUUAGACACACAAUGCACUGAGCUGACCCAAUGACUGUCAAAAAUAGGGUACACAACCCCAACAUCUAACCAUUUGAUGAUCUCCUUUUUGACCACCUAUUCCAUCGGUGGAUUUAACCUCCUCUGGUGCUCAAUGCUUGGGCUGCAAUCCUCCUCAAGUUGAAUCUUAUGGGUGCAUAUACCCGGAGGUAUCCCAAUGAUGUCAGUGAUGGUCCACCUAAUUACCCUUUUAUACCUUAUCAACACUUUGAUCACGGCUUGUGCAUGUUCUUCAUUCAAAUCUGCAGCCAAGAUCACAGGCAAAGUGUUGUUAGUGCCCAAAAAUACAUACCUAAGGUGACUAGGUAAUUGUUUCAAUUCCAGCACAAGCAGCUCUGAUUAAACGUAUCAAGGACACUUCAUCCAAUUCUAAGUGUCAACGAUCGCUAGUCAGUAUAAUAACCCAACUAAAUUAGUUGGGGUCGAAUGCCACAGUGAGUGGUACGUGUUUAAGAUUCAAAAGUAAAGUACGAAUAUGUUCAAGUCAAUCAUAGGAAUAGACAUUAUCUAAGGAAAACAUAAUUCAAAUUAAGGGGUGACACGAAUGUCAAAUAACAUGGGGGUUUUGAUUUCAACUAUCAGCUACAACAACAGCAAAUAACAUGAAUUUAACAAUAAUGAGAUGGGUUCUUGGGAUGCGAUUCAACUAUAGGCUAAUUAUAGAAAAAUGGAUAAUUGCAACUGUUAGUAAAUAGCUUUAAAUCAGUGAAUAAUCUAGACUUUAGUGGGGAUAAACUUUCUCUCGAACAAUUUACCCCGAAUCAAGUUGGUUUCUCUCGAACACCAACAAGCAAGCAAUUAAGAACAACCUACGCUUUAGUCCAUUCACUCUCUCGAGCUGAAUGUGUGAAAAAGGGUUUAGGAUUCACUCUCUCGAGCUGAACCCAUGACAACCCAAUACCCACAGACCAUCAAUUCAGUAAUCUUGGUUUUAAAACCUCUCUAUCGAGCAAGCCAAAAACAUGAAGGUAGAAUUGCAUUUGCAACUACAACCCUUUAAAUUAAACCACAAUUACUGAAUGAAAUCACUUUUAAAUAGCAUUUAAACUAACAAUUAGCAAUACCCAUAAACUAAAUCAACCCAUAAUCACACCCCCAAGAAUUGGGGUUUUAGCUAGACAUCAUAAAAUGAUAGAAAUCGCUACCAAAUUGUGUUUCCAUCAACUAGGUAAGAUUAAUUUCGUCUUUACAAAAGGUCUGAAUUGAAGAAUCCCAAAGACCCACUUCCAAUUUCUCAAAAAUAGAAAACUUCAAUUCUUCAAAGCUAAGCAAAAGUUUUUGUCUCAAUACUCAGAGUUCUCAAUAUCCAAAACUUAAAAAAUCUAUAUUAUGAAAACUGAUACUAAACUAAAUACUUAAAAAUUUAUUUAUAGUUGCCAAAAAUAUGCUACGAAGGUCCAUUCGGCGCAGUAAGUAGGGAUCGUCGAUAAGCUCGGUGAUCCGCCGUUUGGUCAGUUCCAUUGCCUUUUUGCUUUGGCCUUCAGUAUCCUCAAGUUCUGUAAGUUUGGGCGAUCCAUCACUACAUCGCGGAACUACUCACUGACUGCUCCUUUCUAUCGCCAAAUUGAUUUCUCCUUCAGGGAUUGGCACAUUGGAACUUUAGGAGGUGAAGAGGCCAUUAGGCAACUCGCCAAAGGGACUUGGCGAUCACCAGGCCUUCAUUUCUUCCUUCUUUCAGCUCGCUUCGUUCCUUUUUGCAAAUUAGUGUUUGUGCUUUGUUCCUCAAUCCAAAUACUUGGAAAUCAAGGAUUUAGAUCAAUUAUUGGCACAAAAUAAGCAUUUUAGGACACUAAUCUAUCCAAAUAAAGCCCUAAAUGAGUUCAAAUCUUGGACUCAUCAACACCGCCAACUUAAACUUUUGCUUGUCCUCAAGUAAAACUCAAGUUCAGCAGUUCAUAAAGGGUGUAUCAAACAGUGCUACACAAGACUCAAUUAUGAAUGCACACAACAAGACUCAACUUACUCAUGCAAGGAUCAAUUGUGCACUCAAAGAUUCAAGUUGUGACUCAUUAUUAUCAAAGAUUCUCAAGUUCACAAUACUUGCUUCAAAUGCAAGUUCAAGCUCAACAAAGGUACUCAAAUGCCCUCACACAAAAAAUGAUUCCAUAUUCACACACAAUGGUUCAACAAUUUAAAGCUCUGGAUUCAAAAACAACUCUCGUACUCACAAAGAUGAACACAAUGCAUGAUUUCACCCAUAGGUUUGCCCUUAUUUUCCAAUCAACAUUUGUUUCAGCUCACUCAAGAUCAAAAAGGUUUUCAAGGCUUGUAACGGGGCUGAGUGCAAAGGUAUGGUCAUUUAGGCUCAAUGGUUAUAAUCCUCAUGAAAUGUGGUAAGAACAAUUCUUUCUUCCCUUUUCUUCAUCAUUUUCCACUCAUGCUCAAAAGUCACCCCAUUAUUCACUUUCCAUAGACUAUUGGGCACCCCCUUUUCUUUUUGCAUUUUCACAACUUUAUUCCACCACUUUUUCAUUCUUUUUCUUUUUCAUUCUUCUUUUCUUUUUCUCUCUUUUUUUUUUGUAUGGAGGGGUUCCAUCUUUCUCACAAUCAUGGCUCAAAGGGGGGAGGGGCUCUUUUACAUUUCUUGAUUUGCCUUCUCUUUUCACCACACCCCCAACUUAGGCUUUUGGCCUAAGUUGACUAUUCAAAUAAACCACAACUCAUGACGAUUAUGGGUGAAGGGAUAAAGAAAGGUAACAAUUGUGUCAAGUUUCUUCCAAGAAAAGGGUAAGGCUAAAGGGCGUUCAAGCGAAGAUCACACACUCACAAGGUUGUCCACAAAAGACGUAUAAUGUCAAAUUGUUUCACACUCUUCAAAGUUGCCUAAGAUCAUUUCAAAAGAUUGCAUCACUUAGUCAGCCGGACCAACGGGGCAAUUUCUAGGUGUCAUCACACAUGGUUCACGGUAAGUUCAUCACACAAGGCAUUGGCACCAAUAUCAAACAAGACUCCACACUUUUGCUAGUGCGCAAUGUUCAUCACAAGAGACUCAUUCGAUAACCGGCUAGUCACAACGAGAUGCAAAAAGUUCACAUAUUGUCUAUGCAACUUCAUUUGGCCUCAACGUAGCCGCACAUUCAUUUUUGUUCGAUUAUGAGAACUAUUCAGGUCAUCGGUAUUGAUCAAGACCAAUACUCAAAUUUGCAAGAGAACAAACUCGUUCAAACACAAUCAAGAGGUGGCAUAAGAUUCAAAAAAAAUUGGAAGGGUCCAAAAAUCAUUUACAAUUAAAACAAGGAGCCACAAGCUCAAAUAUCCACAAAAGCAGUAUCAAAACACAAUAUAUAGCUCAAAAACCCAAUAUAUGAAUAGAACAAUAAUCACAAAAGGUGGGCCUCACCCCACCACAAAACAAAAGCAAUUUGUCCUCAAAUGCAAGAAAUAUCUAAAAAGUCAAUAAAAAGGGGACAGAGAGGGAGGUAAAGAAGAAUCGUGACUAAAUAGUCGCUCCAUCUGUCGGGGCAUCAGUGCCCGGUGUAACACUCUGAACUUGGGCCUCAGCGCCCGGAGUCACCUCAGAAGGACUGGCUCCAUUGGACCCACCAAUGGUGGUGUCAGUCUCAAACAUCACAUCCUCAAGGUCAGCCAUAUCAUCAUAAACCUCGGCAUCUCUCAAAUCUAUCUGCUCCUCGUCGGUCUCUACAUCUGAAUCCUCAGCUGCCAUAACAUCCCGAUGUACAUCUCCGGUGGUGGCCGGAGGAAUCUUAGAAGUCGUCGGGGCAUCAACAUCAUUAGCUGCCUCCAAUAGGGAAGUGAAGUCAGUGGACUUCAAGUAGUCCACGUCCUUCCUCAGAUCCGCAACCUCGGCUUUCAAAGCCGUAACCUCAGAAGUUUCCCCCUGUCUACUCUCACAAGCCUUAACUCUCGCAGUAAGAAUGUCAAUAGAAGUUUGGAGGGGGUCAAUGUAGCAAGGAUGACACUCUCAAUCAUCCAUGGGACUGCAACUUUUAAUCGAGUCACCCUCACAUCAGCUGAAUGGGCCAGGUGCCCCAUCUUCAAGAUCAUAGCUUGAGUGAUCUUGGUGGGCUGGGAAGAGGUAGAAGCACCAGGCUCCUGUGAAGAAGAAGUAAGAGCAAAUGUACAUGAAGUCCCAGAGACCGGAGUAGGCAAAGAUGCCUCUGCAUGUAUAGAAUCAAUGUCCACGUCCGGAGAUGUAUCAACUGGAGUUGCUCUCCUACUGUUAGCCUCAUCCCGAGUGUACUCGGCCUCAAUACCCCGGAUGUCUGUGGAGGAUGAAGGGGUAACCUCAAUAUCUCUAGUCGCAUCCAGGGGGACUCCAACACGUCGGCACAACUCUGUGAUCAGCACCGGGAAUGGAAGGGAUGUUUGAUGAUGUUUGGCCCGCAUGGCCAUCUUCUGCUCUAUGAUCAGUCCUAUGUCAAUACUCUUCCUGGAUAUGAUUAACCCGAGGCAGGCCGCCUUAGGAUGGCGGAGGAUGGAUUCGUUCUGGGAUGAUAUGAUGGAGCUACUCAUGAAUCCAGAUCAAUAUUGUGCAGCUACUCUCAAGUCUUUUUUUUCGAUCGGAACUCCGGCCUCAAUCCACCUCGGGGUGGUAUCAGAAAUGAGGGGAGCUAACCAGCCUUUGAGUUCAUCUAAUGAUGUCGUAGUGGUAGCCACAUUUGGGUAGUCAUAGACUGACCCUCUAUUAAGUACCGCGUUGAUGUGGUCAUGGCUACAAUGUACUACUGUCCCAUGUACAAUUAUGGACCCCACCGGUCUAAACUCACUGGUCUUCUUCUUACUUUUAGGAACCAGAUCACCAUAUGUUGUAUAAAACUCCCGAACCCAUGUAGGUAUGUACGGGCCUCGGGGUCUAGUGAAGUGCUCAAAGCGGUGAUACUAGAGAAUGUCCCUCACUUAGGAGUAUUUGCUCUCAAUACCUCUGUGGAAAGUAGCUUCUCCUCAAGGAUAGUCUAUAACCCAUCAUUUUUCAGUCUGUUGAGAAGUCUGGGAGGAGGAACCACAGGUGGCACUGGAGCCAGAGGAAGUGCCGGAGCUAGCACUGUGUCUGCCGGAGAAGAGGUUGUUGGGACUCUAGCUAAGUCAGUAUGAGACCUAGCACGGAUCUCGACUCUUCGGGACUGUAAAGGAUGGUCGUCCUCCGGCUCAGAUAACAUAGCUUGGGAGUUAUGAGCAGUUAUGAGCUUCACUCUCACUGCCGGAGUUGUACUCCGAAACCUCAGUUGUUGGCCUGUUUCUUUUGCCCAUGCCUCCAUUUGGAGGCUAUGUUCUUCCUUUCUUGGGAGAAUUGGCUCCCCUUUUCAUUUAUCACGAUACCCCGUGCUCUCUUACGAGUGCCAUGUCAAGAUUGGUUCUAGCCAUAUCUGUCAAAACAUCAAAAAGAGUUAGAGAUAAUUCAAACAAAAUUGAAUAAAAAUAUUUGCAAAAAGACUCACCGAACUGGUCGACGAGUCACCGAAUAUCUUUGGCAAUCCAGGUCGGGCUCGCCGAAAGGAUUAGCUCAAAAUUGUCUCAGACAAAAUGGCAUGUUGGUGAUGGGAAGGGCCUUUCGACAAAUUACCGACAGCAUUCGGUGAGCAAGGACUAGCCCACCGAAAGUUACAGUGCAUUUUAGGGGUUAGGGCUGCCGAAAAGAGCGAUCAAGGAAGACAUUCGGCGAGUCGCCGAGUACAUUCGGCGAACUCAGGCUUCUCGCCGAAAGUUAUAAAACCAAACAUCAAAUUUAGCAUAAAAUUAAAGGUGAUAAGGGGGGUUCGGUGAAGCGCCGAGUGGUUCGGCGAGCUCGACCCAGCUCGCCAAACGGCAACGUGCCUACUUCAAUCCCAUUUUCCAAACUCAACCCCGCAUACCCCGAAAACAAAAUCAAAACAGGCACUCCUCUAAUUAAACUCAGACCCAUUACACCCAUGCCUCCGAGAUACUCAGACGUUUUCCCGAUUUGGCCAAAUUUUGCCAUUUGAUGACUUUUGCCAUUAAAAAUGACGCCAACCGCUCCAUCAUUGGGCAAAGUACGUCAUUUGGCACAAAUGUGGGUUACUUAGACUUCACCCGACUAGACCCAACAACAACAAACCAACACCCAACAAUUUUGAUCAAUUUUAAGGCAUGCAAAAUUCGGGAAAUCAACGAUAAAGCAAUUUAGGCAUGAUAUUCAAAUUAAAACAGACACACACAUAUACAAUUACGAUCAGAGAGGCCCAGCACACAUCACUAAGAUAAGAAAUCAUUGCAUAAGAGUAAAAUUCACAAUAUAUAAAUUUGGGGUUUGGAAAACCAACUUUAGAAGCCGAAUAAAUACUUUGAAACGCUAGGCGGCAAAGAAUCCAACUUUAAACACAGACUUGACGACUAAAAUGCGGUAAAAACACAAAAAUAUAGAAUACUAUAGAGCGGGUAUGAUUUUGGUAAGUUGAAAAGUGAGGAAAUGUGAAAGAUGUUGAACUUUUGAAAUAUUGUCCUUUAAAAACCGUCCAGUUCUCGCCCAUUCGGCAACAUAAGUUUUGCUCGGCGACACGCCGAGUGGGCACUUACCUCGUUGAGUUUUACAGGACCUCCAGUUAAUGUGGGGGUCUAAAUGGCGGACUAAGUCGUGAUCGCCGACCUAGUCGGUGAUUCGCCAAUAUGCUCCUAGGCUCGCCGAGUUUUAAAGACUCCAAUUUCAAAUUGUCUAGAGUCCAACGGCGGUUCAAGUAGGACUCGCCGACCUCUUCGAUGAGUCACCGACUGGACUUUUAGCUCGCCAACCUGCACUUUUAAAACACAUUCCACACUUUGACCUGCACAAUUAACACACCAUUAUUUCAAAAACAAAAAUAAAGUGAUAAACACUUGGGUUGCCUCCCAAGAAGCGCUUUAGUUAAUAUAGUGGCACGACGCAAGUCCCCACUUAAAUUCCAUUUGAGGGGUUUGCCUCAUUUUCAUAAGGCAACCCUUCUUCUGGCUGUAGGUAGAGACAAGACAAUACUUGGUCCAUUUGGGACUAUAGUAGUUGAAUGAACAUGGAAUGAGAGUUUGUCAUCUGAUUCAGCAUUAAGACAUUCUCUCUUAUCUGCUUCAACACUUUGUCGUGCUUUUCGACUUUGUGUAGAAUGAGUGAGAGGACCUCUUCAAUUUACCCACCCUCUUGCUUCUUCGUCCUUCGACGCUCUUGAGGGGGGGAUGUACAUGUCCUUCUUUUUGGACACUAUCUCCAAUUACAUGACUUUCUUGGCCAAGACAUCCAGCUGAGUCAACAUUGUGGCCAAUUCUUGGUCUUUUUCUGUCUCCUUUUUUGUCUUGGCCAUGUGAUCAAGGAGUUGGGCUAAUAUUGCAUAAGGUAGUCGGAUGAGACCACUUGGAGAAAUUUGGUCAACCACUAUUCUAUUUUUGGGGUCAAGACCCCUGUAGAAGCAUUCCAGACGCAUCUUAUCUGGAAUUCCAUGAGUUGGGCACUGCUGCAAUAGGGCCUUGAAUCUCACCCAUAACUCAUGGAUUGACUCUCCCUCCAAUUGUAUGAAACUUAAGACGUUAUCCCUAAGAAUCACCAUCUUCAAAGGAGAGAGGUCCAUUUGGUCACCGUUGCUGCAAGACAUGCUCCUUUCUUCUAUUCUAAACAAGCAACACGAAAACCAAAACUAAAACUAAGUAGAUUCAACUAUAACUAACAAGAACAAAAUUCAACUUAACCAAAGAAUCUUAACCAACACCACUCCUCGACAGCGGUGCCAUUUUGAUUAAACGUAUCAAGGACACUUCAUCCAAUUCUAAGUGUCAACGAUCGCUAGUCAGUAUAAUAACCCAACUAAAUGAGUUGGAGUCGAAUCCCACAGGGAGUGGUACGUGUUUAAGAUUCAAGAGUAAAGUACGAAUAUGUUCAAGCCAAUCAUAGGAAUAGACAUUAUCGAAGGAAAACAUAAUUCAUAUUAAGGGGUGACACGAAUGUCAAAUAACAUGGGGGGUUUGAUUUCAACUAUCAGCUACAACAACAAGAAAUAACACGGAUUUUAAAAUAAUGAGAUGGGUUCUUGGGAUGUGAUUCGAUUAUAGGCUAAUUAUAGAUAAAUGGGUGAUUGCAACUGUUAGUAAAUAGUUGUAAAUCAGUGAAUAAGCUAGACUUUAGUGGGAUAAACUUUCUCUCGAACAAUUUACCCCGAAUCAAGUUGGUUUCUCUCAAACACCAACAAGCAAGCAAUUAAGAACAACCUACGCUUUAGUCCAUUCACUCUCUCGAGCUGAAUGUGUGGAAACGGUUUUAGGAUUCACUCUCUCAAGCUGAACCCAUGACAACCCAAUACCCACAGACCAUCAAUUCAGUAAUCUUGGUUUUAAAACCUCUCUCUCGAGCAAGCCUAAAAUACAAAGGUAGAAUUGCAUUCGCAACUACAACCCUUUAAAUUAAACCACAAUUACUAAAUGAAAUCACUUCUAAACAGCAUUAAAACUAACAAUUAGCAAUACCCAUAAACUAAAUCAAUCCAUAAUCACAUAAAUCACACCCCAAGAAUUGAAGUUUUAGCUAGACAUCAUAAAAAAUAAAAAUCAUUACCAAAUUGUGUUUUCAUCAACUGGGUAAUAUUAAUUUCGUCUUUACAAAGGUCUGAAUUUAAGAAUCUCAAAGACCCACUUCCAAUUUCUCAAAAAUGGAAAACUUCAAUUCUUCAAAGCUAAGGAAAAGUUUUUGUCUCAAUACCCAGAGUUCUAAAUCUCCAAAACUAAAAAAAUCUAUAUUAUGAAAACUGAUACUAAACUAAAUAUUCAAAAAUGUAUUUAUAGUUGCCAAAAAUAUAUUGCGAAGGGCUAUUCGACACAGUAAGUCAAGAUCGCCGAUCAGCUCAGUAAUCCGCCCUUUGGUCAGUUCCAUCGCAUUUUUUCUUUGGCCUUUAGCAUCCUCAAGUUUUGUAACUUUAGGGGAUCCAAUACUGCAUCGCGAAACUACUCGGUGACUCGUCGACUGCUCUUUUCUAUCACCAAAUUGAUUUUCUCCUUCAAGGCUUGGCACACUGAACUUUAGGCGAUCAAGUGGCCAUUAGGCGACUCGCCAAAGGGAAUUGGCGAUCACCAGGCCUUCAUUUCUUUCUUUUUUCAGCUCGCUUCGUUCCUUUUUGCAAAUUAGUGUCUGUGUUUUGUUCCUCAAUCCAAAUACCUAGAAAUAAAGGAUUUUUCAUCAGUUAUUGGCACAAAAUAAGCAUUUGAGGACACUAAAUCUAUGCAAAUAAAUCCCUAAAUGAGUCCAAAUCUAGGACUCAUCAAGCUCCUCAAUGGAUGGUUUUACUGGAGGACUUGGCCUGUUUUUCAUAUCCAGGUCCAGUUUUUUUGGAGCAUAAGAGUGUGUUCUCAUGCCUUGUAAAACAUUCAUGGUCUCCAUAUAGUCAGUCCAAAAAUCAGCUUCAAAGUUCAUCAACACGGCUGCUAAUGUUUCGACAGCCAACCUCUCCUCAAUAGUCGUUCCCAUCUCUUCUUCAUCAAAGGCCUUUAUUGCAGACACCACAUUCAUGACUUUCGGCUGUUUAAUUGACCUGCAAAUUUUAAACCUUACCUCUUCCUUGUUGAGUCUGAAUGUCAGUUCUCUACUCUCAACAUCUACCAAUACUCGUCCUGUGGUAGAAAUCGUCUUCCCAAAAUUAUGGGAACCUCAAAAUCGACUUCGCAAUCCAAGAUCACGAAGUCUGUCGGAAAGAUGAAAGUGUCCACCUUUACAAGCACAUCACAUAAGAUGCCCACAGGUCGCUUCACCGAUCUAUCUGCCAUCAUCAACCUCAUUGUUGUGAGUUUUGGAACUCCUAACCCCAGUUGCUUGUAGAUGGCUAGCGGCAUCAAGUUGAUAUUGUCCCCUAAGUCACCUACGGCCUUUGCAAACUCAAUUGAUCCGAUGGUACACUGUAUGGUGAAUGCACCCAGAUCCUCCAUUUUUUGUACUAGAGAUCUAGUGACAAUAGCACUGCAGUGAUGAACAUUGUUAGUAAAAUCAAAACUUACAGCUCGUUUCUUCGUGACCAAGUCCUUCAUGAACUUAGCAUAUCCUGGCAUCUGCUCUAGGGCUUCCACCAAUGGGAUGCUCACUGAUAGUUGUCUCAGCAUAGUUAUGAACUUAGCAAAUUUUCCAUCUUCAACUUUCUUUUUAAGCCUUUGAGGGAACGGAGGAGGUGGUCUUGGUAUCUAUUGUAGAGGCAUAGUUCCCUCAACCCCUCUUUCUUUUACUCCUGUUGGUUUUGCUAUUGGUUGAAUGUCGUCUACAUCAUCUACAUGUUCAGCUUCAGCCUCCUCUCUUCCAGUUCGCUCCAACACCUGUUCAUUCUCAGUACCUGCAGACAUUGGUUCAUUAAGAAUCUUACCACUCUUGGUGGUGAUAGCCAUGUAAUGCCCGUACUUCUUGGGAUUUUUAAUAGUGUCACUUGGUAGUGACCCAUUCUUCCUCUGGUUCAGUGAUGCUGAAUGUUGCCCCAACUGCUGCUCUAUUUGUUUGAUGGUGGUAGUGUGAGAGUCUACCAGUUGACUCAUACUGGAAAAAUCACCUUUCAUCUCCUUCACCCCUGCAUCAGUUGACUCAACCUUUUGAAAAACCUUAGCCAACAUGUCUUCCAGCAUAGACACGUUGGAACUACUAUUCACACGGUCUCUAUUACCUUGGGGCACAUACACACAACUGCGAUCAUUUCUGUACCCAUCUCUAUUCUGCCAGUUUCCCUGCUCUCUAUUCACUGGCAUGUCAUACUGUCCUUCUCUGGAAUAGUUCUGACCUGUAUUUCCAGAAUUAUAUCCUUGGUUUCCUGAGAUAUAAUUUUGGAAACCACCUUGAUUUCCCAAGUAUUUGGCCUCAUCAUCCAAGUCAAUAUCCUGAUCUUCAUACAUGUUUGGUGGUCCUACAACAUUUACAUUUUCAGAACUUGCGACAAUAUGUUUCGUGAGUAGAUCUAUCUGGGUCCUCAUGUGUGUCAUAUCCUGAUCUGUUUCUUCUUCUUUUUUUCUUUGUUAAGCUGAAAGUUCAAAAGUGAACCUAAGAUCUCCUACUUCUGCAUUCCUGGUAUACCAUGCCUAUUAUUCUUAGACACCUCAUCCAUCAGCUGCAUGCUCUCUGAGAAUGGCUUCCUCAUGAAUAAUCCUCCACACACUGCAUCAGCAACAGGUUUAGUAACAUAGUUUAAAGAUCUAUUCAAAACAUGUUUCAGAUGUCUCUCAGUGAGACCAUGGUUUGGACACUUCUUCAGCUUUUGGUUGAAUCUCCACUAGGUGUCAUGCAUCGCUUCUCCUCGUAACUGCUUGUGGGCACUUAUCUCAUCAUUCAUUUGCAGCUCUUUUGAUUCAGGAAAGAAUCAUUACAGGAAAGCCUCUUUGAACUCAAUCCAAGUCUUGAUUGAGUAAUCUGGCAUCUCAUUCAGGCAAUUGGUUGCCUCCCCAGUGAGAGACAAUAGGAACAGCCUCAAUCUCAUCAUUGUCUGACUAACUCCAAGAAUUUCUUGCGAUUUGCAUAUCACCACAAAGUUCAUCAAAUAUUGAUUCGCAUCAUCACCAGUUGCACCCCUGAACAUACCUUUCAAAUUCAGCAAUUGAAUCAUAGUGAUGGUGAUUGUAAAUUUCACACCUGGAGGUAGUACAUGUAACAAUAUCGCUCAUGUGGCUCCAGCUCCAUCCAAGAAUAAAUCAUCUUCUUCGUACAUCACGUGAGCUGGAUGUUGUGCUCUACCCCUUGGAUCUAGUGGUUGGCGGUGGGGAGGAACUAUUUCGUCCACUCCUAUAUUUUCUUCCACCACCCUAGGCGGGUUGUUCAAAGCAUUCUACUGAAUACCUCUUGCAUUCGUUUCAGCUUCCAAUCCCAAUCUUUGCCUCUAAGCCUCAAGUUCUUGUGCAUUCACCAUUUGCAGAUUAUUUUCCUAAGUUCCGGAUUGUAAGGGAUCAAUGGUGAUCCCUUACUUCUGGUAUUUGGCAUACACAUUCGAACUAACCUGUAAGAGACACAGACAAAGAACAAGACGUAAAAUUAGGAAAUAUAACUACGCUUUGAAUAAAAUCUAGUAAAACACUUCUGAAUUGAAAUUCCCCGACAGCGGCGCCAAAAUUUGAUACGUCCAAACUUACACCUCAAUUAAGAGGUAUAAAUGGUGGAAGUCAAUUUAUAGAACUCAACAUAAGUUGAGGUAGAUCCCACAGAGAAUUUCUUUACAGAAAUGGUUUCAUUGUCGCGUUUACCCAAAUGUUGUUAUUAUUUCCUAAAGAGAAAAACAAUUACAGAAUGUAAAAUGGGUUUAGCUAUAAAGCUCUAGUAACUAAGGUUGUUAAAUAAGAUCGAGUUUAACAGUUAACAAAGUGUUGAUUUUAAAGUUGUUUUGAUAAUUAAAUGAAACUAGGACUGCGUUCCCCAUAACGUUGCAUCUAGUGGUUUUCCUUAAAUGAGUUUCAGGAAAUUCAUCUUUGCAAAAUACCGACGAGUUAGAUAUAUCUAACACUUCUCAGUCUAAUUAGCUAACUUUCACUCAAGCCCUCUCGGUCCUAGAGAGUUAACAAGUUUUACUCUCGCUUACGAUAGUGUUAAAGGUUUUUUCUCUAGAACUCAAACUUUGACUCCAUUUCCUCAGGUUAAUUCAGCUUUUUCCCAACCAUCACUUUUCUCUUGAACAAAUGACAGAUACAGUCUAACUCUAAUGCGUGCACUCAUUAGAAUACAUGAAUAACGAAAACUGAACUGUGAUUUGCAAAUAUAAAUCGCCUUCUACUCGUCUUACGAAAUUACACUUAGAUUUUUGUCAUAGAUCCCACAAUCCCAGUUGUGGUAUUUAGCCACUCAUGAUUUCACGUAAACAUACAGAAUUAUAUAAUGAAAAUGUGAUAAGAAAGUACUUACAAAAAUAUGCAAAAUCGAUAAACACUUGAUAAUUCAAAAUCGAAAAUCCAACUUCGAAACUUUAUUCAAUGUUAAUCGUCUAAAACCAAAGCUAAGAAUAUUUGAAACUUCGUUGCUCGUUCUAGAUAUGACGAGAUAAAAACAAAAAAUGACCUAAUUACUUCAAAUAGAAUGUCUAAAAUGACUCAUACUCGAAGUAGGACUGAGAUAUCGAGCAACUUCACGGACACUCUGACGGUCUGACAAAGGCUUCACGGUCCAUGAAGCCCCUCGUGAUCCUUACUUGGGAACUUGCAAACUUGGUUCUUCAAAGCCUAUGUACUGGAAUCUUGUCACGGACGUCACCACGGUUAGUGACACUGACCACGGUCCGUAUAGGUGCCUGUGGUCUUAACUUGGUCAAAUCAAUCUUCAGCUUCUUAAGGUCUCUUCAAUGGUUCAACUGUACAGACACUACCACGAACCGUUGUGAGGACCACAGUCGUGAGGUCAUCCGUGGUCUUUAUUUGAUAUUGCCACAGGUUAUCUUCUCCACAUCUGCUCACUGGAAAGGUAGUUCAUGACCCUCAUCACUAUCAGUAGUGAAGACCACGGUCCGUGAGGCCGUCCAUGGUCUUUACUUGCUUCAAUUCACUUUCACUGCAUUUUUUUUGUUUUUUUAUCUUCUUUCAUGUCCACCUAUUUUUCAUGUACAUAAACAACCAAACACAUCAUAUCCACAUAAAUACACCCGAUUCUAGUAUUAAUCCUUAGUUUUCAAGCAUCAAAUGUGCCAAGAUUUUGCGUCACAUCAUAGAGUACUUGUUAUCGAUGUGAAGUGCGCCACAUCUAUAAUUAGGAGGCUACAACAUUUAGGAAAUAUUUUACUUCCUUCUUACUAUCUUUCGCGCGAUAGAGUUCAACUCUGUAAAAGUUUCCUCAUAAUUCGUGCUUGCACGUAUCUUUACAGAUCAUGCCUCCACGAAGAGAUGCUCGAGGUCAUCCUGCAAGGAGAAAUAUUGAUCCACAAGACCAAGGUGUACCCAAUGCGCCAAAAGUGCGACUAUAACACCCCAAAAAUUAGUAGGCUAAACUAGAGCAAAAUGUGAGGAUUAACGUCAAGGAAGAAGGGCAAGGGCCAAGGAAGGGGGAUAGGGCAGCCUACCUUGAAGUAGGCACUGCCCCACCUACCACGCCCACCACCACGACUCAUGGUCAAGACCACGGCCCUUGGUGAAGCUCGUGGUGGGCUAGGCAGAACCCUUCCGUAAUAUGUCAAAAAUCAACCCCUCUUCACGAGCCACUUCACGGCUCGUGGGAAGGCUCGUGGAGGGGAGUUGGUUCUGUGAGGGUGGAAAGGAAGUCGAAUGCCACUGCCUCAAGGCCCACGAGAGGGAGCACGGCUCGUGGCAAGCACCACAGCUCGUGGCAAGCACCACGGCACAUGGAGCCCCUCGUGAAGAUGCCUUGGGCUUAUGGGAUAAAGGCACUUGUUUCCUAGCCACUACCUCAAGUCCACGAAGGGGACCAUGGAUCGUGGUCAUGACCACGGCUGGUGGGUUCCCACGUGAUACCUGGCAGCUCACUUAAAGUGAAGGAUGUUUUGGAUCAUUUUUGUUUUAAUCCCACUUAAGUAAGUUCGAUUUGCCUUAACUUAGGGUCACUAUAUAACUCAUUUUAAUCCAAAAUUCCACCCAUUCAACUCAUUAUUUCCAAAACCCAAAUCAAAUCCCCAAAGUUCAUCCCCUUCAAAUAUUCUCUCUCUAGAACUUGUAGGAGAAGAAGAAGAAGAAGAAGGGAGGAGGAGGAGAAGAAGACGAAGAAGAAAAAGAAUAAGGAAGUUGGAGCUAGGGUUCAAGAAUCAUAGAUAUUCACAUCAAAUUCAUUGGGCUUUGUUGUUAAGGUAUGGUAGCAUUCAUCUAUGGAACCCCUUCAAAAUCCCAAUUUCAAAGAUAGAAAUCCCCAAAUGUUAGGGUUUGAUUCCAAAGUCAUGGGUUCCUUUCAAAAUCGAUUCUAAUGAUUGAAUUAUGUUAUAUUAAGCAUGAAUUUAUUAUUUCCUAUGGUUUUUAUGGUGAAUCCCCAAAACCCAUGAAAUCCCCAUAUUUCUCAAUUAUGAUCUUAGGAUAUGGGUCUUUGUUGAUGAAAGAAGAAUGUUAUGAAAUUAUACACGUAGUGAUUGGGUUACUUGAAUUAUGAUGAUAUCCAUGUCUAAUGUUUGAAUUCUUGAUGUGUUGAUUGAAAGUGAGCUAUGACUCUUGAAAGGGCAAAGCAUGAUAUUAUGCAUGUUUUAUGAAGUUUAUGUAAAUGCUUUUAGAACACUUUGAGAGUGAAGUGUUUAUGAUUAUGUUGUAAUUAUUGUGUUAUUAAAAGGAUAUUCUCAUAUACACACCUAUGUAUGAAUGUGAUAUGAUUUGAAAGCUUUUCUCACAUCAUGAAGAUUCUAAGGUUGAAAGGCUUUCUCACCUAAUUGAAUCUAAGACUUGUAUGUAGACAUGGAUAGUGAAAGGUUAUUCUCACGCAUCAUCUAAGAGUUAUAUUAUGAAUUGAAUAUGGAUCGAGUGUUAAGACAUUCUUCCAUGGAUAUGAAUUUAUGUCAAGAGUUAAUAAGUACUCCGUGGGAAUUAAUGCUUAGCACCGAGUGGAUAUGGUAUAUGAGAUGGAAGCUUUUACACUAGUUGAGUCCGACUUUCCAAAUGGGAUCCGUUUACACUAGUUGAGUCUAGGUUCCUAAAGUAUGUCUCAUGAGAUGGAGACUUUUUAUGCUAGUUGAGUGCGAGUUUCUAGAAACAAUCUCCUUAUCCCAUAAACUAUGUGCCCACAUAGGAUAUUUAGCUAGUGGAUCCACCUAAGCUAAAAUUAUUGUUCUACCUUAGGCUAGUAGGACAACCCUUUUUGGUGUGGGUAACACCGGAUUCCAUGUUAAGCUCACAUGGUCUCCUGCGGUUAAGGCUAUUCCCACAAUAAGAACAAGAAUAUGAAUUAUGAACUAUGGUUACUCAAGAAGCUUAUAUAUGAGUUCUCAAAGGUGUUAAAGGUGAUGAUGACUAUGUUGGCUAUGUUUAUGACAUUAUGUUGCUCCACUAUCUUUAUGAUGAUGUUUAAACUUGGUAAAUUGCAUACUGUCAAACGAAAUGUCCCCUUUAGCGUGUUUUCAAUGUUUUUGUGCAUGGCUAUCGUACUUAGUGCAUCUUUGUACUAACGCCUAGUUUUCCUACUUUUUCCCAAGUGUAGUGUCCGGUUCUCAAGGUGAUCAUUUUAGUGGCUAAACCUUGGACUUUUGUAUCUUCCGACCUUGUUGGUGAGUCCUCAUGGUUCGAGGAUGACUUUUUCUCAUGUUGUAGUUUUGUUUCAUGUAUUUCCCUUUUUGGAUAUGUUGUAUGGGCUAGGCCCUAUUUCAUUCAAACAUUGUAAUAGAUGGCUAUGUUGAGACUUAGUGUCUAGACUUCCGCUUCUCUUUAUGAAAUUUUUAGACAUAGAAAUGUGUUGUUUUACUCUUAUUGUUCUAGUGGUUAUGUUAUGAAGACUAAGUGUCUUCUAUAGAGUCCUUCGGGGUUCUAUACACCAUAUUAUAUCUAGGGGUACCCCUGGUGGUGAAAAACUUGGUAAUUAGAGCACAAGGUUUAAAAUGAUCCUAGGAUGAUGUCUCAUAAGCCACGUCUAGUAGAAUCUUGUUCAUGAGUGUGAAGCAUGCCACAUUAUGAAUAAGAAGCUACAUACAAGAUGUUUAGGAAAUUCCACUUAUUCAUUACUCUUGUCAUGCGAUAGAGUUUAACUCUAUAAGGUCUUUCUUCUAAUCCUUACUCGAUGGUCUAUGGAUAAGACUACUCGAAGGUCUUUCACUAGAAAGAAUGAAGAAGACAAUGUGAAUCAAAGAGCUCCUACUCAAGCUCCUCAAGCUCCAGUUGAUCCUCUAGUUAAGAAUGUUACACAUGCAGAGUUUAGGGUGUCUCUUCAAACUUUGUCUCAAGCCCUGACGGCUCAAGCCAAUAGAGUGGUGAUUGCUCCCAUGAACCUAAUAUGAAUUCCGCAGCUUCAAGAGUGAGGGACUUUGCUAGGAUGAACCCUCCGGAGUUUGAUGGCUCCAAAGUUGAGGAAGAUCCUCAAGAAUUUAUCGAUGAGUUCUAUAAGGUACUUGCUAUUAUGGGGGUAACUUCGGUAGAGAAGGCGAAGUUAGCCGCUUACCAAUUGAAAGGUGUUGCUCAAGUGUGGUAUAAUCAAUGGAAGGAUGUGGGGGCGAUGGGAGCGGGUCUCGUAGAGUGGGAAGUGUUCAAAUUGUCGUUUCUUGCUAGGUUCUUUCCCCUAGAGUUGAGGGAAGCAAAGAUGCAAGAGUUUAUUAACCUUCUUCAAAGAGGUAUGAGUGUGAAGGAGUAUGCUCUAAAGUUCACCCAACUAUCCAAGUAUUCUCCAACUAUAGUGGUAGAUUCGAGGGCUAGGAUGAAUAAGUUUGUGAUGGGAGUGUCCUACAUGGUAGUCAAAGAAUGUCGUACGGAAAUGCUUAUCCCAGAUAUGGAUAUUUCAAGUCUCAUGGUGCAUGCUUAAAAAAUGGAGGAAGAGAAACAUAAAGAAAAGAAUAGGGAGGUAAAAAGAGCUAGGAUCGGUGAUGGGAACUUCUCCAAUACUAGGUCUGAUGGACAAGCUCGACCAAGGUUUAAACAAAGGUUUUCGAACCAAGGUUCUUCUAACGCUCCUUCGAGAGUCAACAAGGAUAGGGUGUCCAACCUUAAACCUCAAGGAGGUAAUGGUAGUGGUUCUUAUGUGGCUAGAUCUACUUGUGCGAAGUGUGGAAAGAAGCAUGAUGGUAAGUUCCUAGUUGGCACGGAUGGUUGCUUUGAUUGUGGAAAAAGUGGUCAUAAAAUGAGAGAUUGUCCGAUGCUUAAGGUUCAAGGAAGAGAGGGCAAGCAAGCUCCUCCUAGUGGUUCAAACUCCAAUGCUCCCCAUCAAAAUCGUUUCUAUGCUCUCCAAAACCGAGGUGAACAAGAGAAUUCUCCAGACGUGGUCACCGAUAUGUUAAAAGUUUUCCAUAUUGAUGUGUAUACCUUGUUAGAUCUCGGUGCUACUUUGUCUUUCGUUGCAAUGAGAUUUGAUGUGCUUCCUGAGGUGUUGUUAGAACCUUUUCUAUCUCUACUCCUGUUGGUGAUUCUGUGGUGGCUAAGAGGGUUUAUAGAAAAUGCCUCGUUUCCCUAUCCUAUAGAGUUAAUCUUGUUGAUUUGGUAGAACUUGACAUGCUAGAUUUUGACAUUAUACUUGGUAUGGAUUGGUUACACUCUUGUUAUGCGUCAAUUGAUUGUAGCACUUAGGUAGUCAAGUUUCAGCUCCCGAAUGAGCCUGUCCUUGAGUGAAAGGGGGGAAAUUCUAUGCAUAAGGGUCAGUUUGUCUCAUGUUUGAAGGCUAGAAAGAUGAUCUCGAAAGGUUACUUUUACCAUGUUGUUAGGGUGAGGGAUGUAGAUUCUGAAACCCAUUAUCUUGAGUCGGUUCCCGUGGUUAAUGAGUUCCCGAAAGUUUACCCAGAUGACUUACCCGGUAUUCCUCUCGAGCGGGACAUAGACUUCGGUAUUAAACUUCUCCCAGAUAUGCAACCUAUCUCAAUUCCUUGUUAUAGAAUGGCCCCGGUUGAGUUAAAGGAGUUGAAAGAACAGUUGAAGGAUUUGUUAGACAAGGGUUUUAUUUGAUAUAGUAUCUCUUUGUGAGGAGCUCCGGUGUUAUUUGUUAGAAAGAAAGAUGGGUCUCUUCAUAUGUGUAUCGAUUAUCGACAAUUGAAUAAAGUGACCAUUAAGAACAAGUAUCCUUUUCCAAGGAUAGAUGACUUGUUUGACCAACUUCAAGGGGCUAGUUAUUUCUCAAAGAUUGAUCUUCGUUUGGGUUAUCACCAAUUGAGGGUGAGAGGGGUUGGCAUUCCGAAGACGGCUUUUCGAACUCAGUAUGGUCAUUAUGAAUUCCUAGUGAUGUCAUUUGGUUUAACUAAUGCUCUGGUGGCAUUUAUGGACUUGAUGAAUAGAGUGUUUAGGCAAUACCUAGACAUGUUUGUGAUUGUGUUUAUCAUGAUAUUUUGAUCUAUUCAAGGAGUGAGAAUGAGCAUGUGGACCAUUUAAGAGUUGUAUUGCAAGUUAUUAAGGACCAUCAACUUUUUGCCAAGUUUAGUAAGUGUGAAUUUUCGUUAAGGUUUGUAGCAUAUUCCUUGGGCAUAUUGUGUCAAGUAGGGCUAUUGAGGUGGAUCCUAAGAAGACGGAUGCGGUCAAGAGUUGUCCAAGACCUCUAACUUCUUCGGACAUAAGAAGUUUUUUGGGUUUGGCCGGUUAUUAUAGAAGGUUUGUUGAACGAUUUUCUUCCAUUGCUUCUCCUUUGACAGCUUUGACUCAAAAGAAGUCUAAGUUUUUGUGGUUGGAAGCUUGUGAGAAAAGUUUCCAAGAGUUGAAAGAUAGACUUACUUCCGCUCCGGUGUUGACAUUACCGAAAGGUACAGAUAGCUUUGUAGUGUAUUGUGAUUCCUCUAGAGUUGGGUUGGGAUGUGUGCUUAUGCAAAUGGUAAGGUUAUUGCCUAUGCUUCAAGGCAACUUAAGGUCCAUGAGAAGAAUUAUCCUACCCAUGACCUUAAGUUAGCGGUGGUUGUGUUUGCCUUAAAAAUAUAGAGGCAUUAUUUGUAUGGGGUCCAUGUGGAUGUUUUCACCGAUCACAAGAGUUUACAAUAUGUGUUUAGUCAAAAGGAUUUGAAUCUUUGCGAAAGUCGGUGGCUUGAAUUAUUGAAGGAUUAUGAUAUGAGUGUUCUUUAUCACCGCGACAAAGCAAAUAUGGUAGCGGAUGCUCUUAGUCGAUUGUCUAUGGGGAGUGUUGCUCAUGUGGAUGAUGAUAAUAAAGAUUUGGCUCGGGAUGUUCAUAGGUUGGCAUGGUUAGGUAUUCAAUUAGUGGAUUCCACCAAGUGUGGUGUCAUGGUUCACAAUGGGUCUGAAUCGUCUUUUGUGGUGGAUGUGAAAUCUAAGUAGGGCCUUGAUCCUAUUUUGGUUGAACUGAAAGAGGCGAUACUCAAGAAAUCCAUUGAGGCUUUCUCCCAAGGGGGACAUGGUGUACUUAGAUACCAAGGUUGUUUAAUUGUGCCUAAUGUUGAUGACUUGAGGGAGCUAAUCUUGUCGGAAGCUCAUAGUUUUCGAUAUUCUAUUCACCCGGGAGCCACCAAGAUUUACCAUGACUUGCGGAAGGUCUAUUAGUGGAAUGGGAAGAACAAAGAUAUCGCGGAGUUUGUGGCUAAGUGCCCUAAUUGUCAACAAGUUAAGGUUGAGCAUCAAAGACUGGGAUGUUUAUCCCAAGAUAUAGGUAUCCCCACUUGGAAGUAGGAAGAGAUAAAUAUGAAUUUUAUUGUGGGUUUACCUCGCACCCGGAGACAACAAGAUUCUAUAUGGGUUAUUGUAGAUCGAAUGACCAAAUCGGCUCACUUUAUUCCCGUCAAGGAUUCCUUUUCAGCGGAGGACUAUGCUAAGUUGUAUAUAAAAGAAAUGGUGAAGUUUCAUGGAGUGCCUUUAUCCAUUAUUUUCGAUCGUGGCCCUCAAUUCACUUCUCACUUUUGGAGGUAUUUUCAAAAGGGUCUAGGCACCAAGGUUAAGCUUAGCUCAGCCUUUCAUCCCCAAACCGAUGGGCAAACGGAGCGCACCAUCCAAACUUGGGAAGAUAUGUUAAGGGCUUGUGUCAUUGAAUUUAAGGGUAAAUGGGAUGACCAUUUGCCAAUAGUAGAGUUUGUCUACAAUAAUAGCUAUCACUCAAGUAUUGGUAUGGCUCCAUUUGAGGCCUUGUAUGGUAGGAGGUAUAGAUUUCCUAUAGCUUGGUUCGAGGUUAGGGAAAUGGCUUUGAUAGGUCCCGAAUUAGUUCUAGAGGCCAUUGAGAAAGUUUGACUUAUUAGAGAUAGUUUGAGAACUGCUCAAAGCCGGCAAAAGUCUUAUGCCGAUGUGAGGAGAAGGGAUCUAGAAUUUGAGGUUAACGAUUGGGUCUAUUUGAAAAUCUCAUCAAUGCAGGGUGUGAUAAGAUUUGACAAGAAAGGGAAGCUUAGUCCCCAUAUGUAGGGCCAUACCAAAUUUUGAGGCGUAUUGAUAAAGUUGCCUAUGAGUUAGAUUUUCCAAGUGAGUUGGCUUCGAUGCAUCCGGUGUUUCAUGUUUCUAUGCUUAAGAAGUGUAUUGGAGAUCCGGAAUCCAUAAUCCCCUUAGAAGGGUUGGGGGUUGAUGAAAGUCUAUCAUAUGAGGAAGUUCCGGUAGAGAUCCUAGACCUCAAGUUAAAAGGUUGAGAAACAAGGAAAGAGCUUCCGUGAAGGUUAUAUGGAGGAAUCAACUAGUUGAGGGUUCAAUUUGGGAGGCCGAGGCCGAUAUGAAGUCCCGCUAUCCUCAUUUUUUUCCUUCUACUUCUACUCUAGCUUGAGGUAAGUAGUUCCUCUUGAGUUUUCCUUGUUUUGGGAGUCAUGUGUGUUAUUUGAGUUUAUCCAUGAUUUCCCUAUGUUAUGCAUGUUCUUGAGAAAUUUAUGUUUAGUAAGAAAAUGAGUUUUUAUGAUUGAUUGUCCUCGUGUUGUUGUGCAUUGAGUAAGAGUUGCCUGUGUGCACCAUGAGGUUGUGUUGAGCAUGCUUUUAGUUUGGAGAUGGUAAUUCCUCCUAUGAACAUGAGAAAUGUUCAGAUUUCAUGCAUAAUGGGUUAUUAGAUGUAGUUCGUACUUCCUUGUGAUGCAUUGAAUAAAUUUGAGUUGGAAUUGAAGUUUCCUCCUUAUAAUUGUGCUUUAUUUUGGUGUUGCAUGCAUGAUGGGCUGCUAGUCUUGGUCUUUAUUUCCAUAAGGUGUCUAGAUCAUCCUUCGAGGACGAAUGUUCCCAAGGGGGAGAUAUUGUAACAACCUGGAAAUUAGUAGGCUAAACUAGAGCUAAUCGUGAGGGUUAACGUCAAAGAAGAAGGGUAGGGGACAAGGGAGGGGGGUAGGGCAGCCUACCUUGGAGUAGGCAAUGCCCCACCUACCACGCCCACCACCACGGCCCUUGGUGAGGCUCGUGGUGGUCUAGGCAGUAGCCUCCCCAAAUCAGCCAAAAAUCACCCCCUCUUCACGAGCCACUGCACUGCUCAUGGUGAAGACCACGGCUCAUGGGAAGGCUCAUGGAGGGGAGUUGGUUGUGUGAGGGUCGAAAGGAAGUGGCAAGCGACUGCCUCAAGGCCCACGAGAGGGACCACGGCUCAUGGAAAGCACCACAGCUCGUGGAGCCCCUCGUGAAGAUGCCUUGGGCUUAUGGGUUAAAGACAUUUGUUACCUAGCCACUACCUCAAGUCCACGAAGGGGACCAUGGCUCGUUGUCAUGACCACUGCUUGUGGGGCCCUACGUGAGACCUAGCAGCUCACUUAAAGUGAUGGGUGUUUUGGGUAAUUUCGGUUUUAAUCCCACUUAAGUAAGGUCAUUUUGCCUUAACUUAGUGUCACUAUAAAAGUCAUUUUAACCCAAAAUUCCACCCAUUCAACUCAUUAUUUCCAAAACCCAAAUAAAAUCCCCAAAGUUCAUCCCCUCUAAAUAUUCUCUCUCUAGAACUUGUAGAAGAAGAAGAAGGAAGUUGGAGCUAGGGUUCAAGAAGCAAGGGUAUUCACAUCAAAUUCAUUGGAUUUUGUUGUUAAGGUAUGGUGCCAUUCAUACAUGGAUAGAUUUCAUCCAUGGAGCCCCUUCAAAAUCCCAAUUUCAAAGAUAGAAAUCCCCAAAUGAUAGGGUUUAAUUCCAAAGUCAUGGGUUCCUUUUGAAAUCGCUUCUAAUAAUUGAAUUAUGUUAUAUUAAGCAUGAAUUGAUUAUUUCCUAUGGUAUGAUUAAUCCCCAAGAACCCAUGAAAUCCCCAUAUUUCUCAAUUGCUAUCUUAAGAUGUGGGUCUUUGUUGAUGAAAGAAGAAUGUUAUGAAAUUAUACACAUAGUGAUUGGGCUACUUGAAUUAUGAUGAUAUCCAUGUCUAAUGUUUGAAUUCUUGAUGUGUUGAUUGAAAGUGAGCCAUGACUCUUGAAAGGGCAAAGCAUGAUAUUAUGCAUGUUUUAUGAAGUUUAUGUAAAUGCUUUUAGAACACUUUGAGAGUGAAGUGUUUAUGAUUAUGUUGUAAUUGUUGUGUUAUUAAAAGGAUAUUCUCAUAUACACACCUAUGUAUGGAUGUGAUAUGAUUUGAAAGCUUUUCUCACAUAAUGAAGAUUCUAAGGUUGAAAGAAUUUCUCACCUAAUUAAAUCUAACACUUGUUUGUAGAAAUGACGGUGAAAGGUUAUUCUCACACAUGAUCUAAGAUCUAUCUUAUGAAUUGAACAUGGAUCGAGUGUUAAAACAUUUUUUCAAGGAUAUGAAUUUAAGUCAAGACUUAAUAAGUACUCCGUGGGAAUUAAUGCUUAGCACCGAGUGGAUAUUGUAUAUGAGAUAGAAGAUUUUACACUAGUUGAGUCCGGCUUUCCAAAUGGGAUCCUUUUACACUACUUGAGUCUGGGUUCCCAAAGUAUGUCUCAUGAGAUGGAGACCUUUUAUGCUAGUUGAGUCCAGGUUUCUAGAAGCAAUCUCCUUAUCCCAUAAACUAUGUGCCCACAUAGGAUAUUUAGCUAAUGGAUCCACAUAAGCUAAAAGUAUGGUUCUACCUUAGGCAAGUAGGGUAACUCUUUUCAGUGUGGUAUCACCGGAUUCCAUGUUAAGCUCACAUGAUCUCAUUUCGGUUUAGUCUUAUUCCAACAAUAAGAACAAGAAUAUGAAUUAUGAACUAAUGGUUACUCAAUAAGCUUUUAUAUGAGUUCUCAAAGGUGUUAAAGGUGAUGAUGACUAUGUUGGCUAUGUUUAUGACAUUAUGUUGUUCCACUAUCUUUAUGAUGAUGUUUAAACUUGAUAAAUUGCACACUCUCAGACGAAAUGUCCCCUUUAGCAUGUUUUCAAUGUUUUUGUGCAUGGCUAUCAUACUUAGUGCAUCUUUGUACUAACGCCUAUUUUUCCUACAUUUUUACCAAGUGUAGGGUCCGGUUCUCGAGUUGAUCAUUUUAUUGACUAAAGCUUGGACUUGUGUAUCUUAUGAGGUUUGUGCGUCCUCAUGGUUCGAGGAUGGCUUUUUCUCAUGUUGUAGUUUCGUUUCACGUAUUUCCCUUUUUGGAUAUGUUGUAUGGGUUAGGCCAUAUUUCAUUCAAACAUUGUAAGAGAUUGCUAUGUUCAAACUUAGUGUCUAGACUUUCGCUUGUCAUUAUGAAAUUGUGAGACAUAAAAAUGUAUUUUUUACUCUUAUUGUUCUAUUGCUUAUAUUAUGAAGACUAAGUGGCUUGUAUGGAGUCUUUCGAGGUUCUAUACGCCAUGUUACAUCUAGGGGGUACCCCUGGGUCGUUAUAGUGACCCCCCUCAAGGAGAGGUCACAAAUGCUGAGUUCCAUGAUGUUAUCCAGAUGUUGAGUCAAAUUGUGGCCAAUCAAGCUGGUCAACAAAGAGUGGUUCAUCAAGAUGUGGCUGAUACAUCCAGGAUCCGUGAGUUCUUAAGAAUGAAUCCUCCAGAAUUCUCAAGGUCAAAUAUCACUGAAGAUCCAGAGAACUUUGUCGAGGAGCUACAAAAGGUGUUUGAGGUUAUGCAUGUUGUUGAUGUUGAGCGGGUGGAGUUAGCUGCAUACCAGCUCAAGGGUGUUGCUAGGAUUUGGAAUGACCAAUGGAAGAAGAACAGGGUUGAAGGGGCACCAAUUGUGAGUUGGAUUGUGCUUGAAAGUGCCUUUAUGGGGCGUUUCUUUCCCCGCGAGCUGAGAGAGGCAAAGGUAAGAGAAUUUCUCACUCUUAAAUAGCAGUCCAUGAGUGUGCAUGAGUACAACCUCAAUUCACUUAACUGUCCCUUUAUGCUCCAGAGAUGGUUGUUGAUAUGAGGAGCAUGAUGAGUCUAUUUGUGUCUGGACUGUCCCGCUUGUCAAGCAAAAAGGGUAAGGGGGGCAAUAGUGCCCAAUUUUCUUCAGUGGCUCCAGUAGAUAGUGUUGCUCCAAGAGGAGCUACUUUAGGGACAUGUGGAUGAGCAAACUGUCUAUAUGUUAUCACCAGUCGCCAAGAGAAUGAGAAUUCACCAGAUGUUGUCAUUGGUAUAAUCAAAGUUUUUACUUUUGAUGUAUAUGCAUUACUUGAUCCAGGUGUGAGUCUAUUUUUUGGGACUUCGUAUAUAGCUAUGAGAUUCAAUAUUUUUCCCGAACGACUUCUUGAGCCCUUCAGUGUUUCCACACCUGUUUGUGAGUCUACUCUAGCCGAGUGAGUUUAUCGUGAUUGUGUCAUCUCUGUCAAUCACAAGGACACCAUGGAUAACUUAGUCGAGUUAGACAUAGUGGACUUUGAUGUUAUUCUAGGUAUGGAUUGGCUUCAUGUUUCUUAUGCCUCAGUUGAUUGUAGAACUAGAGUAGUCAAGUUCCAGUUUCCUAAUGAGUUAGUUAUAGAGUGGAGGAGUAGUUCAACAAUGCCUAAGGGUCGUUUCAUCUCAUAUCUUAAGGCCAGAAAGUUAGUUACUAAGGGGUGCAUAUAUCACUUAGUCCAAGUUAACAAUUCUAGUGUUGAGACACCGCCUAUUCAGUCAGUUCCAGUUGUAAGUGAGUUUCCAGAGGUCUUUCUAGAUGAUCUUCCCAGAGUCCCUCUUGAGAGAGAAAUCGACUUCGGCAUAGAUAUUCUUCAUGAUACCCGACCUAUCUCCAUUCCGCCAUAUAAAAUUGCUCCAGCUGAGUUAAAAGAGUAGUUGAAAGAUCUUUUCGAUAAGGGUUUUAUUCGACCUAGUGUCUAACCUUGGGGCACUCCAGUCUUAUAUGUGAGGAAGAAAGAUCGUUAUCUUAGUAUGUGUAUUGAUUACCGUCAGUUGUACAAGGUUACUAUAAAGAAUAAGUAUCCCCUUCCGAGAAUUAAAGAUCUAUUUGAUCAACUUUAGGGUGCCACCUUCUUUUCUAAGAUAUACCUCAAAUCUGGCUAUCACCAGUUGAGAAUAAGAAAAAGUGACAUUCCAAAGAAUAUAUUGAGGACCCUUUAUGGUCACUAUGAAUUUCUUAUUAUGUCUUUUGGCAUGACUAAUGCUCCUGCAGCGUUCAUGGAUCUUAUGAACAAAGUAUUUAAGCCAUAUCUUGACAUGUUUGUUAUCGUCUUCAUUGAUGACAUACUGAUUUAUUCGAGGAAUAAGGAGGAUCAUGCUAGUCAUCUCAUAGUAGUUCUCCAAACUCUCAUAGAUAGAGAGUUGUAUGCUAAUUUUUCUAAGUGUGAGUUUUGGUUUGAGCCUGUGGCGUUCUUAGGCCACAUUGUAUCCGGAGAAGGGAUCCGAGUUGACACUCAAAAGAUUGAAGCAGUGCAGAAAUGGCCCAGACCCACAUCUCUAACUGCUAUAAGGAGUUUCUUGGGAUUGGCCGGUUAUUAUGGAAGGUUUGUCGAGGGAUUUUCAUCUAUUUCAUCCCCGUUGACAAAGUUGACUCAGAAGAUAGUAAAGUUUCAAUGAUUUGAAGCUUGUGAGAAAAGCUUUCAGGAAUUGAAAACCCAAUUAACUAUUGCCCCAGUGAUGACCCUACUAGAGGGUACACAAGGCUUUGUUGUGUAUUGUGAUCCGUCUAGAGUUGCACUUGGUUGUGUAUUGAUUCAGAAUGGUAAGGUCAAAGCCUAUGCCUCCAAACAACUCAAGGUUCACGACAAGAAUUACCCAACUCAUGAUCUAGAGUUGGUUGUUGUAGUAUUUGCUUUGAAAAUAUGGCGUCACUAUCGCUAUGGUAUUCAUGAAGAUGUGUUCACCGAUCACAAUAGACUUCAGUAUGUUUUCAGUUAAAAAGAGCUUAAUCUAAGGAGGUAGUUAGAGUUACUCAAGGAUUACAAAAUGAGUAUCCUCUAUCACUCUGGUAAGGCUAAUGUUGUUGUUGAUGCUUAUGAGACAUACUGCCCAUAUUGAGGAAGGCAAGAAAGAAUUAGCCAAAGAUGUGCACAAACUUGCACGAUUGGGAGUCCAAUUGUUGGAUUCCAAUGAUGGUGGAGUGGUGGUGAUGAAUGGGGCUGAAUCAUCACUAGUGUUGGAAAUUAAGGAGAAACAAGACCAAAACAACGUUUUGCUUGAGCUAAAGACAAAUAUUCAUAAGCAUAUAGUGAUGGCUUUUGAAUAAGGGGGAGAUAGUCUAUUGAGGUAUCAAGGUAGAUUGUAUGUACCAAGGGUGGACGAACUCCAAGAGAGGAUCAUGGAAGAAGCUCAUAGCUCCAGAUAUUCGAUCCAUCCCGAUUCCACAAAGAUGUAUUGUGACUUGAGAGAAGUCUAUUGGUGGAGUAGUAUGAAAAGGUGUAUUGCAAAGUUCGUUGCUAAGUGCCCGAAUUUCCAACAGGUCAAGGUAGAUCACCAAAGGACCGGUGGUAUGGCUUAGAAUAUAGAUAUUCCGGAAUGUAAGUGGGAGAUGAUCAAUAUGGAUUUCAUUACUAGUUUGUCGUGAUUUCGCAGGCAACAUGAUUCAAUUUUUAUGAUUGUAGAUUGGAUGUCUAAAGCAGCUCAUUUCUUGCCGCUAAAGACUACCUUUUCGACAGAAGAUUAUGCCAGGUUAUAUGUUCAAGAGAUAGUCAGACUCCAUGGAGUUCAUGUGUCCAUCAUUUCAGAUAGAAGGGCACAAUUCACCGCUCAGUUUUAGAAGUCUUUCCAGAAAGGUUUGGGUUCAAAGGUGAACCUUACUACCUCUUUCCAUCCUCAAACUGAUGGUCAAGCAGAGCGUAGAAUUCAGACCUUAGAAGACAUGUUGAGGGCAUGUGUCAUAGACUUCAAGGGUAAUUGGGAUGAUCACUUACCCCUCAUAGAGUUUGCUUACAAUAAUAACUAUCACUCUAGCAUCCAGAUGGCUACUUUUGAGGCUCUUUAUGGGAGGAUAUGUAGAUCUCCUAUUGGUUGUUUAAGGUUGGUGAAGCUGAGUUGAUAGGACCAGAUGUGGUUUAUCAAGCCAGGGAGAAGGUGAAGAUUAUUCAUGAAAGGAUAAAGACAGUGCAAAGUCGUUAGAAAUCCUAUAUAGAUGUUAGGAGAAGAGACUUGGAGUUUGAGGUAGAUGAUUGGGUUUACUUGAAGGUUUCAACCAUGAAGGGUGUUAUGAGAUUUGGCAAGAAUGGGGAACUCAGUCCCGGUAUAUUAGUCCUUACAAGAUAUCUAAGAGAAGAGUUAGCAGCAGUCCAUCCGGUAUUCCACAUUUCUAUGUUGGAGAAGUGUAUGGACGAUCGUUCACUUAUUAUACCUACUGAGAAUAUUGGUAUUAAAGACCGUCUAUCUUAUGAGGAGAUACCCGUUCAGAUUCUUGGCCGUCAGGUUUGCAAGUUGAGAACCAAGAAGGUUGCAUCAGUCAAGGUCUUAUGGAGGAAUUAAUUUGUUGAGGAAGCUACUUAGGAGGCUGAGGAGGAUAUGAAGAAGAGAUACCCACAUCUCUUUGUUUCCGGAGAAAUUCCAAACCAAGGUACUAAUUCUUUGUAAAAGUACUCUUUAAGUUAAUAUGUUGAGUUAUGUGAAUUGCAUGUUGUGUACUUGAUUUGGGGUUGUUAGAUGCUUCCCCUUUGCCCUUUUUGGCUUACUAUGAUCUCAUUCAAGGAUGAAUGUUCCCAAGGGGGAGAUAAUUUAACAUCUCGUACUUCAAAAAGUCAUUAAGAGAUUUGUACAAGAAAAACUUCAGUUUUUAGUUUUGGGUCAACUUCAAAUGACAUAACUUUCAACAAAUAAGAAGUUAGGUGGCCCAUAAGGUAUAAAAUCGAAGGUCUUUGAGUUCUCUUUCCAACGCCACCAAGUUUGCUAUAUUUCGAGCUUGGAUGAAGGAGUUAUGACCAUUUGAGUGCAGCCUCUCUAGUUAGGGCAUUUCUUCCAUUUUAAGGAACGGUAUUUUGGUCUUUUCCUUACCCCAUUAGGCCUAAACGUUUUUUCACCCAAAUAGGGGUCUAAACUGAUAGAGAUUAGUUUUCAUUCAUUCAUAAACGCUUAGGGUUGAGAGAAGGGUUUCAAUAGGAGAAAAAAAAAA